RNAcentral lists this long non-coding RNA (92811 nucleotides) under Triticum aestivum (bread wheat). Its description in RNAcentral is "long non-coding RNA (TAES_LNC002838)". The stretch from base 4595 to 4729 matches the Rfam family "MIR1120/MIR1122 microRNA precursor family". Lineage: Eukaryota; Viridiplantae; Streptophyta; Magnoliopsida; Poales; Poaceae. The record is from RNAcentral.
UUUGUUUUUCGUUUUUCAUUUUAUUCAUGUCAUGCAUAUCAUAUCAUGUCAUCAUGUGCAUCUCAUUUGCAUACGUGUUCGUCUCAUGCAUCCGAGCAUUUUCCCCGUUCUUCAUUUCGCAAUCCGACACUCCCACAUGCACCGGCGCACCCCUCUUGUCUUCUUUCGUGUGCGGGUGUUGAGCGUUCUCGGUAUGGGCUGAGCCUUGCCAAGUGGCCCUGGUAUAGCAUCGGUAGACCACCUGUCAAGUUUCAGGUCAUUUGGAGCUCGUUUGGUACUCCAACGGUUAUCCGCAUAUCCGCAAAGGCCUCUUUUAAGUUGCAGCCCAACACUCCUCCAAAACAGCCCAAUAACCCAUCUAACUCCCUUCCAUGCUCUCCGUCGUUCGAUCACGAUCGUGUGGGCGAAAACUACACCCCAUUUGGACACUCCUAGCUCCCUCUACCUCUAUAUAUAGACCCCUUCCCCGAAAUUCCAGACGAAACCCUAGACGAAUCCCUCUCCGCGCCGCCGGACACGUCCGGAUCGGACUGGACGCGUCCGCCGCCGCGCCCGGACGAAUCGCCCGCUGCCACGUGGCGCCGCCGCGCCCGCCGCCGCCGAAGCCCGCCGCGGCCCGCGCCACGCCCGCGGGGCCCGGAUCCGCCGUUGCCGCCGUNNNNNNNNNNNNNNNNNNNNNNNNNNNNNNNNNNNNNNNNNNNNNNNNNNNNNNNNNNNNNNNNNNNNNNNNNNNNNNNNNNNNNNNNNNNNNNNNNNNNNNNNNNNNNNNNNNNNNNNNNNNNNNNNNNNNNNNNNNNNNNNNNNNNNNNNNNNNNNNNNNNNNNNNNNNNNNNNNNNNNNNNNNNNNNNNNNNNNNNNNNNNNNNNNNNNNNNNNNNNNNNNNNNNNNNNNNNNNNNNNNNNNNNNNNNNNNNNNNNNNNNNNNNNNNNNNNNNNNNNNNNNNNNNNNNNNNNNNNNNNNNNNNNNNNNNNNNNNNNNNNNNNNNNNNNNNNNNNNNNNNNNNNNNNNNNNNNNNNNNNNNNNNNNNNNNNNNNNNNNNNNNNNNNNNNNNNNNNNNNNNNNNNNNNNNNNNNNNNNNNNNNNNNNNNNNNNNNNNNNNNNNNNNNNNNNNNNNNNNNNNNNNNNNNUUGCCGCCGUCCGCGGGGCGCCCGCGCGCUGCCGCCGGCUGCCGCCUCCGCCCGAGCUCCUCCGUCUCCGCUGCCGCGGGACCCCGCCGCCGUCGCUCCUCCCGACGCCGCCCCGCUCCUCCCGUCGCCGCCCCGGCCAGAUCCGGCCGCGGGAAGGCCGGAUCCGGCCCGGAGAAGCUCCGCCUGCCGCUCCUUCCUCCGUCUCCGGCGAGUCGCGCCGCCUCCUCGGUUCGCGCGCCCGAUCUCCAGAUCCGGUUGACUUUCCUUCCCCCCCGUUUUCGUCUAAGUCUUUUACUGGUGUUAAAAUCAUUGCAUCUUCAUCGCAUCACAUCUUCGCACCCGUAGCUCCGUUUCAUGCGUGUAAUAGGUCAAAUUGUUCUCCUCGAAGAGUACAUCAUUUCAUUCCAUUGCAUCGUUUACAUUUGAGGUCAUCUUAAUGCCCGAAAUGCUGUUGGAAGAGGGCUUCAUUUUGUUAGUUGCACAUUCUUAUCAGAACGAGCUCUUUUGUCAUUUUUGCCAUAGUUGAUGUGUGCAUCCUAUGGACUUGGUCCCUAAAUGUGUUUUGAACUAGGCUAUGUCUUCUUUACAGAGGUGCUUACCAUGUAUUUUUGUGAUCAAUGUGGUGGCUAGCACAAGCAUGCAAAUUAGGCUUCGUGUUAACGCUGUUUUUAGUUCCUGCUCUGCUAUAAAUUUGAUGCCAUGUAAACAUGUUGCUACAGAGAAAUCCAUGCAUAAUUUGAGAUACUUCAGUAAGGGUGUUUUGAAAACAUGGUUUUGCUCUAUUCAUCCAUGAUCCUGGUUGCAAUUAUGGAGUAGUUUAGCAUGUCUUUUUCAUGCUCUACUUUUGCUUCAAAUUGUUUCCUGGCAGAUUGCUUACAAGUUAUUCAAUUUUGCCGGGGUUGUUGUAGUUGAUCCGGGUAUGCCAUGAUGUUGUUCCUUGCCAUGUGUAGCUUUUAUGUCGUGUCUUCUUGAUGGAUGUAUGCUUAGUUUAUCAUGAGGAGCUCUGUAGUGAGUGCAUCGAGCUCGCGAAGGUGCCUUCAUUUUUAUUCCAAUGCCAUGCUUGUUUGCUGAAAUCUGUUAAUGAAACUUGCUAUGUUUACGUGGGUUCCAUCAUAUUUUCUGAUCCUUUUUGGCUUAUGGUCAGUAAGGGAUUUUUGAUCUAUGCUUUGAGUAGAUUCAUGCCAUGCCAUAGUUUGCUAUUAUAAGUUCCUGUAGCAUGUUGAUAACCUGCUCUGAACAUUGCUUCGUGCUGCUAUUUAUGCCAUGUCCAGCCUGUUAAAUUUUGCUCUUUCUCCAUGCUUGUUUGAACCUGUUAUGAUGUGAGUGAGCCGUAGCUCAGUGUUUCUCUUUUGUAAAUCAUCUCCUGUAGAUCAUUGCCAUAUGCUUUGCUUUUAUGUUGGGGUGAUGUAGCAUAGUUUCUUGUUGCAUGCAAAGUAGCAUCGUGCUGUAAAUCGCAGCUUUGUGUCAUUGUCUUGCUUGCCAUUUGCAAACCUUGCAUCCGUUCCCGGUGAUCUUUAUAUCGAUUUCGACUGAAAUCAUCUCAUCUUUCCAGCGGCAUACUUGGUUUGCCAAGUUGAUGCCUUGUUCAUCAUCCUUCCUUCCGAAGCACGCACAUGCAUUGCAUAUCACAUCUCGCAUAUCAUGACAUGUUUUGCAUCAUGUUGCUUGUGCAUUGCACCGUGAUUUAUUGUGGUUCCUUUGCUUGUGUUCUUGCUUUGGGUAGAGCCGGGAGACGAGUACGUCCAUGAGGACUCUGUUGAGAACGCUUACGAGGAUCCAGUCUUCGACAACUCUGAGAACCUUGCAGGCAAGAUGAACAUACCUUCGAUACCACUUCUAUCUUUGCUUGCUAGUACUCGCUCUAUCACUAUGUUAGCCCUACCUGCCUUGGUUUACCAUGCCUACCUAUUGCCAUGUUGAACCUCUAACCAUCCUGUUCUAGCAAACCGUUGUUUGGCCAUGUCACCGCUUUUGCUCAGCCCCUCUUAUAGCAUUGUUAGCUGCAGGUGAAGCUGAAGUUUGUUCCUGGUCGGAACGUGGUUACUUUGGGAUAUCACAAUAUCUCCUGUUUAUAUUAAUGCACCUUAUAUACUUGGUAAAGGGUGGAAGGCUCGGCCUUAUGUCUGGUGACUUGUUCCACUCUUGCCGCCCUAGUUCCGUAUACCGGUGUUAUGUUCCUUGAUUUUGCCUUCCUUACACGGUUGGGUGAUUUAUGGGACCCCCUUAACAGUUCGCUUUGAAUAAAACUCCUCCAGCAAGGCCCAAACUUGGUUUUACCAUUUGCCACCUAAGCCUUUUUCCCUUGGGUUUUCGCGAGCCCAAGGGUCAUCUUUAUUUAACCCCCAGGCCAGUGCUCCUCCGAGUGUUGGUCCAAACUAGAGCACCGUGCGGGACCAUUCCUUGUCAACUUGGAUUACAUCGGUACCUGUACGCUUAGCUUAUCCGGUGUGCCCUGAGAAUGAGAUAUGUGCAGCUCCUAUCGGGAUUUGUCGGCACAGCGGGUGGUCUUGCUGGACUUGUUUUACCAUUGUCGAAAUGUUUUGCGAACCGGGAUUCCGAGACUGAUCGGGUCUUCCCGGGAGAAGGUAUAUUCCUUUGUUGACCGUGAGAGCUUGUGAUGGGCUAAGUUGGGACACCCCUGCAGGGUAUAUAAUCUUUCGAAAGCCGUGCCCGCGGUUAUGAGGCAGAUGGGAAUUUGUUAAUGUCCGGUUGUAGAUAACUUGACACUUGACCUCUUUAAAAUGCAUCAACAGCGUGUGUAGCCAUGAUGGUCUCUUCUCGGCGGAGUCCGGAAAGUGAACACGAUUUGUGUUAUGCUUGACGUAAGUAGUUUCAGGAUCACUUCUUGAUCACUUUUAGCUUCUCGACCGCCGCGUUGCUUCUCUUCUCGCUCUCACUUGCAUAUGAUAGCCACCAUAUAUGCUUAGUGCUUGCCGCAGCUCCACCAUAUUACACCUUUUCCUUCCUAUGAGCUUAAAUAGUCUUGAUCUCGCGGGUGUGAGAUUGCUGAGUCCCUGUGGCUCACAGAUUCUACCAAAACAGAUGCAGGUGCCGAUGAUACCAGCGCAGAUGGCGUAACUGAGCUGAAGUGGGAGUUUGACGAGGCUCUUGGUCGUUACUAUGUAUCGUUUCCAGAUGAUCAGUAGUGGAGCCCAGUCGGGACGAUCGGGGAUCUAGCAUUUGGGGUUGUCUUCUUUUCAUUUGAACUUGACCGUAGCCGGUCUAUGAGUGUACUUUGAAUGAUGUAUGAACUUAAUUUAUGUAUUAUCUGAAGUGGCGAUUGUAAGCCAACUCUCGUAUCCCAUUCUUGUUAAUUACAUGGGAAUGUGUGAAGAUGACCCUUCUUGCGACAAAACUACUAUGCGGUUAUGCCUCUAAGUCGUGCUUCGACACGUGGGAGAUACAGCGGCAUCGUGGGUGUUACACAUACUCCCUCCGUUCUAAAAUAGAUGACCCAAAUUCAUACUAAAGUACUCCCUCUGUCCUAAAAUUCUUGUCUUAGAUUUGUUCAAAUACGGAUGUAUCUAGUUACGUUUUAGUGUUAGAUACAUCCGCAUUUAGAUAAAUUUAAGACAAAAAUUUUGGGACGGAGGGAGUAUGAAUUUGGAUCAUCUAUUUUAGAACGGAGGAAGUACAUGUCUACCAUCAUGCCAUGGACGCCUCCAUAGCACACAAUGUGAGGACUGGUCCAACAAGUGUAGUUCUAUGUGUGACGAAUACGGUCAAUCGGCAUGUACUCCCGCUCUUCCUAAAUGUAAGUCUUUUUAGAUAUUUCAAUAUGGACUACAUACAGAGCAAAAUGAGUGAAUCUACAUUCUAAAGUAUGUAUAUAUACAUCUAUAUAUACUCCAUAUUGAAAUAUCUAAAAAUACUUAUAUUUAGAAAUGAAGAGAGUAUUUGUGUGCGGCCACCCCUAACAAAAUGUAUACAUUUUUUUUGAGUGGCAACAAAAUGUAUACAUAUGCGGCUGUUUUACCGACCAAAUGGUCUGGCACUGGCUGCUCCUCCGUACAUAUGUUUAUGUAUAAAAGUACAGUCGGGCGAUGAUUUUGUUUUGUUUUCCUCUAUUUUCUGGGGUAAAAAUACAUGAAUAUAUCUCUUCAGAAACACAGACAUAUUCUAGAGGUACAUGAAUACUUAUUUUUAACAUAUGAAAAUUUUCGUUUAAUGUUUGAAAAAUACACAAACAUUUUCUAAAAUGUGCCAAAAAACAUUUCCAUUUGAUAAAUAUACGAACAUUUUAUAAAUAUUCAAUAAAUUUUACAUAAAACUUAUUAAAAAUAUGUGAGAAUUUUGUUUAUAAACUACUUCAAUUAUUUUCAAAUGGGUGAACUUUUUGUAUUACAUGAACUUUUAUUAAUGCACAAUGAACAAAUUUUGGCAUACAUUUUUUAUUAUGCGAUGGAAAAUUUUGAAAUACAGGAUGAAUGUUUUUUAAUUCAUGAUUAUUGUCUUUAGUUAUGUGUUUUUUUAAGUUAUGUGUUUUUUUCAAUAACGUAGGAACGUUUGUUUAGGUAUUUGAUAACAUAAUUUAUACAUGACAGAGCAUUUAUAUAGUCACAAUUAUUAUAAUUAAAAGAAAUCUAAAUUAGAAUGAAUCAAAUGAUCGGUAUAGAAAAAAACCUAAAUACUAAAAAAAAUCCUAUAAAAUCCUUCGAAUAAAAGAGCCCCUGAUAUGGGAGAGCGCUAGUAACCAACGGCGCCACAAGGGAAAACACAGACCACCACGUCCCUACAGUCUUUUUUUCUGCCGGGUUAAAGGAAUUUCAUUGCUCAACUUGGAGGGAGAUCCUCCAUACAAAGUUGUGGUGCAUUAGCAGGACCUGAUCUGAUCCAUAGUGCAGUACGGCCUUCAGCAUGUCGCUACAGUCUUACCUAAAUGGACUAAUUUAUCUACAGGAAAAAGACAAAGACAAAGAGAGAAUAAACUAAUUGUGUAAUAAAUUUUAUUUGCAUAUACUCCCUAUAUUCUAAUUUAUUUAAAGAUUUAGUUUUGUCUUAACUCUUAAGUGAAACUUCACUAUAUUUAACUAAGUCUAUAAAAACGAGAUACUCCCUCCGAUCCAUAUUAAUUGUCGCUCAACAACUAAUAUGAAUCGGAGGGAGUGAUAAAAACAUAUUUCACGUUAUAAAUGUUGAUAGAUUCUUCUAUAAACCUAGUCAAGUUAGAAAAGCCUGAUUAGGGCAAGCCUAAAGUUUUAACAUAAAAAAGAAUCUCUUGCUGCAAAGAAAAAAAAACGUAAAAGAAACUCUUAAAUUGAGCUUCAUUGCCAAUGGUACGAUUCAAUUGUAAGACCUAAACGGAGUCUUCGAACAGUUUGGAACUGAAACUCAUGACAGAUAGUGAAAGCUGGAACAAACAAGGGUCACAUGCCCCGGUCCCCGGCGCUCCUUGGCUCUUCCUCUUCGUUCCCUCUCAGAUUCCAUAAAUCUCUGUCGCACAUCUGUGGCAGGCAAGGCAGCGUGAGAAUAAAACGAAAAUAGGGCUCGCGUCAUGUAUGUUACAGCGAGCUCUGAAAAGCAGAUAGGCUCACGGGAUGCUACAGCGCGUGGCAUGUACUCAUGUAGAGAAAAUUGCACUAGCCAUCGACUGUUGGGAUGGAAUUUGUACAGAACACACUCUUUGAAUUUGCUAUACAAAACAUCAUCUAUUGCUGUAAUCGGUUGCAGAUAGCUCUAAUUCAUCAUUUGAAUCUGUCGACAAGAUGUGCAAUCGGUGGGUCCUGCCUGUAAGUGCACAUGCGGCCAAAUGAACAUGUCACAUCAGUCGACUCAACCCUAACUAUUUUUAAAUUUUUUUUUGGAUUGCUUACCAAAUUGCCACGUGAUAAACCUAACUAAAACUUCUAGUCCUAUGGUCAGAAUGAGUCAACUUUUCCAGUUCUUUACUCUCUCUCUCUCUCUCUCUCUCUCUNNNNNNNNNNNNNNNNNNNNNNNNNNNNNNNNNNNNNNNNNNNNNNNNNNNNNNNNNNNNNNNNNNNNNNNNNNNNNNNNNNNNNNNNNNNNNNNNNNNNNNNNNNNNNNNNNNNNNNNNNNNNNNNNNNNNNNNNNNNNNNNNNNNNNNNNNNNNNNNNNNNNNNNNNNNNNNNNNNNNNNNNNNNNNNNNNNNNNNNNNNNNNNNNNNNNNNNNNNNNNNNNNNNNNNNNNNNNNNNNNNNNNNNNNNNNNNNNNNNNNNNNNNNNNNNNNNNNNNNNNNNNNNNNNNNNNNNNNNNNNNNNNNNNNNNNNNNAAUAUUAAAUUUUAAAAAGAAAAAAUUGACAAAUUUUAUUUACUCAAUACAUAUAUGAUUUACUGGAUUGCUUUUGUAUUUUCGAAAAUAUUAAAAUUGGAAAAAUAAAAAAUUGAAAAAAUUUGUUGACCGGUCAGGAUAUUUGCCAGUGCGGUCCAUUCACAAGGAAAUCAUGUCAAUGUGACAAUGUAGUCAAGCGAGGUCCAUUCGCAGGAAUCCUGUCGAUAUAGUCAAAUGAUGAAUUAAUGCUAGUUGCAAUGGGUUAAACUAAUAGUCUGUGUAUUUUUUAAACAAAUUAGUCAUUUGUGCAAUUUCCUCAGCCAUGUAGGAGGCUAGCGCGCGGGAUAUUCAAAACGAUGCCCUCAUCUACAUCUGUUGAAUGAUAAAAUAAAAAAACAAAUAGUAAGAAAAUUCAAAUAAUUCUAAAACUUUUUUGCAAGCAAGAUGCUUGCAUGCACCAGGUGCGUGCAAAAUUUCAUGGGUAAAUGACAUUCGAGGAUCUCAUGUUAAAAAAGACAAAAUCAACUAUGAAAAGCGAGUUUUUUCAAACUUCCUCACAUACUUGAAAUUCGUCAUUUUUGCCAUGAGCUCCUUGUAUGUCUAAACUUCAUCAAUUUUUUUUGGAUCUUUUUAGUAUUUUACUAUUUUAAAUGAUUUUAUUACUGUUCACGGAUGAGAGCAUCUAGACCUGACCUGGGUGCAGAAACGCCGCCGCGGGCGUUAUAUCACUGUUACCACGUGAUGCCGAGUUAUACUGUCACUGUUACCACGUGAUGCCGAAUAAUAACGGAUACCUUAUAUUUAUACGCACGAUGCAGGAGGGUAGUGCGAUUUCCUCGGCCAUGUAGUAGGAGGUAGCGCGUGUUAUACUGUCACUGUUACCAGGUGAUACCGAGUAAUUACUGAUACCUUCAUAUUCACUAGUAGACUGCCCGUGUGUUGUCACGGGCUUUUCAUAAUUUGAUUGGUUGCAUGUAAAAUUUCAUAUAGAUAGAAAAUAUAGCCAAAAUAAUUGUAAUGUAAUUCGCUUGCAAUGUAUUUCGAUAAUAAAAUAUAAUUCUACCUUAUACACAAAAGGGUUAUCAUAUCUGAUGCACAAAAUAAAGGUGGUACACAAACAUUGACCUCUUUACUGUGCAUUGCAUUACAAAUGAUAAUAACACUUGAAUGUUUUGUUAUGCUUAAGAUCGAUAUUGCAUAUGAAUUUAGACACUUGAAACCAUACAAUAUACUAUUUAGAAACCGUUGCAGCAAAACACAUCUUCUAGAACAUGCUACUCCUAGCUAUCUUGGGAGAGGUAGAUACAUCAAUCUUUGAUAACAUUUGUUGAUCAAAAAUUUAUUGGCAUUUAUUUAUAUUUUUAUAGUAAUUUUUAGUUUUGUUAGAAUUAUGUAAAUUCAGAUUUAAUGUAUCGGCUCAAAAUGAAAUUCACAUAAGACUCAAAAGGAAAUGUGUGUGUUGUACUAUGAACUAUGAUGUAAAGGGAAGCGAGCAACUCCUAUUCAAAUACCAACAGGAGAAAAACCCUAAUUAUACAUACACUAAGACAUUAAAAUAAAAAAUAAGGGUGAAAGGGUGAUUGACAUGCAGCAUCAAUUGUGAAUAAGUAGGCUAAAACUUGCCCAGAGAAUAUUGCUCAUGACUCACAAGUUUACAACAUACUUUUUUCUGUAUUAGCACAAAAGUCGAAUAAUACAUGGUAGGAUUGAGGAGGAGGAGGUCUAUAAUAUUAGUCUUACCGAUUGUUCAUUAUUCUAUUAGCAACUAAGAGUCCUCAUGGCACCCGCAGGGUUCGGGUGCGGGUAAUGCUUGCCCAAACCCUCACCCGUCCCAUUUUUUUCUGCCCAAACCCGUACCUGUACACCCCGGGUAUCAUAUCGUUCCCAUACCCGUACCUGGCCGGGUGCGGGUAAUACCCGCGGGUAACCCAUACCCGUAUGGCUCACCUUUCAAAUAAAAUUUUGCCAUGUACUUUCAGCAAUCAGCAUGUACAUACCACAUUUCAGCAUUUAUAUCAGUAUAUACCACAUUUCAGCAUGUAUAUUACAGCAUCUGAACACACACAUACAUAUAUCAGCACAUGUAUUCCAGCAUUUCAGCACAUAAACAUGUCAAGUUUUAGCACUUGAACAAUAGUUUCAGAAUUUCAGCACAUAUGUCAAGUUUCAGCACUUGGAAAUAUUUCAGCACAUGCAUAGUCAUUUCAACCACAAAGUUCGACACACAAAUAAGUUCGUAGACCGCAAAUAGGUUCAACACACAAAUGGUAAAUAGGUUCAACACACAAAUAAGUUCAACAUCUCAACACACAAAUAGGUUCAACAUCUGACAUCUCCAACAUGAAACCGAAUGGUCCAGACCAACUUGACUUGCUUUCAUCUUCUCUCCACUUCAUGAGCCUUGACUAGCCUUGACAUUUCAAAGCAUCAAUUCCUAGUAUGGGACAUAUAAAUUGCAAGACAUGAGAACUUGAGAGUAAUGAGUACAAGCUAUGUUUUGUUUGCAAUUCUUAUGUACUACUAAGAUAACAAGAAUAGAAGAUAACAUGAAUACAAUACAAGAUAUCUUUGACGUGCAAUUCUAUAGUAGUAAUAAGAUACAUCAUAACAAGAAUACAAGAUAUGUUUGAUUUGAAUUCUUAAGUACUACCAAGUACUAACCUGCAUCCCUUCUUGAAUAUCUUGAAGACAAGUCCAGAAGCUAGUUUCUGUUGUGUGAGCAUCUACAAAAGUAGACAAACGUCAACAACAUUUCAGCAAGAGAAAAUAUUAACGAAGUGCACUAUUUUGUCACCUUUGUACUUGUUUCGAAGCCAAUCUUGCGAGCACAUUAAAACCUCCACCAUAUAAGGUGUAAGUCGGCUUCUAUGAUCAUUGAGCUUUCUGCCACUUAUACUAAAGGCUGACUCUGAAGCAACUGUUGUUACGGGAAUAGCAAAUAUGUCUCUUGCUACUUUCCUUAAGGUCGGAUACCUUGUUCCAGCCACCUUCCACCAAUCCAGCACAUUGAACUUUUCAACGUAAGGCACUAAACCAUCAGUCAAGUGCUGCUCUAUUUCACCUUGAAGUCUAGCUGUUGCAGGCAUUUGCUGAGCUACAAUGUUCUGAAAUACACUCAUGAUUGCAGGAGCUUUCAUUGUGGUCAUCAUAGACUCAUCAUCUGGUGUACAUGCCUCAUUUUCCACUUCAUACUCCUCCAAUAAUGAAUGCAAACUACCAACUAUGUCAUCAACUUUUUCAAUGCAUUCAUAAGAAGAUGGCUCAAUUCCAUGGAGCAUGGCAAAGAUCGGCUAAAUCUAAUGAACACAUUCAAUCAUUCAACAAUAGAUCUAAUCAACACAAUAAAAAAGGUGAAACUCUUCACCAAAUUGGAUGCUUUGCUGCUGGAUUUGCUGCCCUUCUCGCCGCCGUUGCAGGUGUAGCACUGGCACCACCACGGCCACAACCACGACCACGCCCCACCUUGCAACCGGGAACAGUGGAGCUGCGCCCGGGAACCCGCCCUGUUGAUGGUGGCUGAAGACACACGGGCUUGGAGGUAGGAGAAGGUGUCGGCACACGAGACCCACUGCCAGUGCCUUCUUCAAAUCCAUCCCCGUCCACCGGAGUUGGAUCCGCGCUGGAGUGAAGCGCCUCGUCGGCGUCCUCCUGGUCGAGCGCCAUGGCGGCUGGAGGUGCCAGGACGUGGAGGGAGAUGGCGACAAGAGGAGCUGCAGGUCUCGCGUGGAGGUCGCGUCGAGGACAGGAGGUAGAGGGAGGAGAGGAGGAGAGGAUGGAGGUGGCCGGUCGCGUCGCUGCAGGCAGCGGCGGCGACCUAUGGUUCCUCCUCUCUAGGGUUUGUGGCGAGAGAGACAGAGGGAGGUGGGUUUCUGGAGUGACGGCACGGGGGUGGGUUGGGGUCUCGGGGAGGGAUUUGGGAAUUGGGAUCGAGGGGGAGUGGACUGAUGGGCCUGGGCGUUGGCCGUUGGGCCGCUGGCUGCCGCCUCGGCUGGGUUCAGUUAGGGUUUUGAUGUUUUUAGUGACUGACAUUUAGGGCCUACCUGUCAUAAUGAAUAAGCAUACGGGUACGCAGGUAUGCGGGUAUGGGUAUUGUCGUCCCAUACUCGUACCCGGCUUACUCGAUGGGUAUAGUUUUUUGUCCCAUUUAUAAACCCAUGGGUAAUUUUUCUUCCCAAAUCCUUACCCUAAUAGGGUUUUUACCCGCCGGGUUCGCGGGUAGCGGGUACCCAUUGCCAUCUGGAACUAAGAGAGAAGGGGGGGGGGAGGGAGGGAGAAUCAGAUCUCCAAAUUGUCUCCAUGUGUCUACACUAUCCAAAACCGCCAUAUGUGAGGAGGAAUGGGGUCACGACGUCUCAGGGCAGCAUGCUAGAUCAGGCCGGAUCACAUCACGCUGGAAAAAAUAUAUAGUUUUUUGAAAUAUUGCAAGGCACCCCGAAGAUAUUGACGUUACAAGUUGCUACGAGCUUAAAUGCUUAAAACAAUCAACCGAAAAUACCAACAUACUUCUCCAUUUUGAGCUAGUCCACCUAACGAGGACUUCUUCAUUAAUACCCACAAUCGUUCCAGAUAGCUAACAGGAGGUAAGUCAGUAAAUGUUGUACUCCCUCCCUUCCUAAAUAUAAGUCUUUUUCGAAAGUUCAAUAAGGACUACAUAUAGAUGUAUAUAGACAUAUUUUAAAGUGUAGAUUCAUUCAUUUUGCUCCGUAUGUAGUUCACAUUGGAGUCUCUAGGAAGACUUAUAUUUAGGAACGGAGGGAGUACAAAUAAUAAUUUCAGUUGAGUUGAAAGACUUAAAUUAAAAACCAACAAAUACUGUUAUUUUAAUAGGCACCAAUAACGUCCUUUUCAGCAUCAUAAUAUAUAAUCCAAAAUCAUAUUAACAAUUUUGGGGUAACUUUAUACUACUUAUGAGUAUAAAUAAUAUGAUUAAUUAACAAACCUUGGAUUGUAAUAAUCUGAGAAAACAUUUAUAUGUUUCAAAGAGUCAGAUGAUGUGAGUGUCGUCUGAAAGCUUUCUGGAUAAAUAAGGAUAUAUAGAGUUGUUAAGUUCAAGAAAACAGAAUAGCUCUCCUUACACAAAGUCUAAGUUCACCACCGUUAGAUGUAUAAAAGGGGAAAAGACGCUAUGAAUAAGAGAAAUAACAAAUAAAGAUAGAAAUGUGUUAAGUUCACCACACUCUUUAUUUUCUUGCUGGGUUGAAUAGGUAACAAUAUGUUUUAGAAGAUGAUGACUUCCUAAUACUUAAGCACAUAAUUGUACUCUACUGAACCGUGGGGGACGAAUCGGAGGUACAGUAGAAGACUGAACAAAUAGGUUUUAUUUGUAUUAACCACACCCUACAUGUACAACACUGAGAAGCUCCUCGUGAAACAAGCUUACAAUAGUGAGCAUUGAACAAUCAUGCUCUCUUCUUGCUAGCCAGUGUUGAGAACACUUGUGUAGCAAUUAGUAUAUCAAUGUCCUCGUAGAUAGGUUGAUGAAGAUUGCCAGCAAUGAAAAUAUCAUCCAGUACAUAGGCCUGGAAAUUUCACCAUUGGCACUCAUGGGAAUUAGUUAGUACUAAAAAGAAUUGUAUACCUCUCGCAAGAAAUUUCAUACAACUCCAUUGCUGGUUCUUCAAUGUCAAAAUUUCAGCAUAUAUGUGAACAUUAAAAAGACUUCACAUACCUAAAUAAAUUAUGAAAAACACUCAUGCUGCAGUGCGGCUCCCGUGUCCUCGUCAGUUUUGAUACACCUACCACGUACUUGCAGCUUGGGGCGCGACCCCUACAUCCUUGGUGGCGGCUGAUGAAGUCAUGUACCUAGGGUAGGGUCAUGAACCUAUCUAGGGUACCCUACCCAAGGACAUCAUCCUCAGAAGAAGCUACCUUCCAGUCGACCAAGAGAGACUUCACUUGACGAACUCAAGGACACUCGACUGAAGGUAGCCACUCGACCAUGAAGCUAAUCACUCGACGAGCAGGAGACCUAAAGUCACUCAGUUCGCAACGGCCUGUCAUUAGGUAGCUUUAAUAGUCUUCAUGGCACUUUAUGAGGGCGUUACCAGUAACCCCCUGUCUUAAUGUACUUUAAACCCUGCAUAACUGAGGGCCGGAGGGGUCUGGCGAACUCUAUAUAAGACACCCUCCUCCUUAGUGUAAAGGGUUCGCACCCCUGUAACUCAUAUACACAGAAACCAGUCGACCGCCUCCGGGCUCCGAGACGUAGGGCUAUUACUUCCUCCGAGAAGGGCCUGAACUCGUUAAACACUCGUGUGUACAACUACUCCAUAGCUAGGAUCUUGCCUCUCCAUACCUACCUCCCAUUCUACUGUCAGGCUUAGAACCACAACAGUUGGCGCCCACCUUGGGGCAAGUGUCUUAGCGACUUUUUGGAGAAGUUGCAAUUUGUCCGAUUGCCUUCAUCAUGGUUUCUGGCGGAGCUCUGGUCGAGGGCCGCGAGAUCCGUCUCGGUGCACUCGCUUUCAUCGCCGACGACUCCGCUUGGCUCCAGGAGGCACCACUCGACAUCGACGCGCUCCCCGUCCGCGGGGCGACGCACUUUAGGGCGUGUGUCCGCGGCGUCCUGCUGCGGCAGCCGUCGACCCCAUACCGGUCGACUCCUGCGCCAUCCUCCCACCGUGUCUCCCGCCAGCGCAAGCGCUCCGGUCGGUCGAGGCUUCAGCGUUGGGUGAGACACGCAGUGGCUCGCCAAUCGGCCACCACCCAAGUCGCGGCAAUCGAGCCCGACGAAUCUCUCUACGGCAUGUUCGAUCUGUCGACUAGCUCCGUAGAGACUACAUCCGAGUGCGACAGCAGUGAUCCAGCGGCGGAGGUCCUGAUGGUCAACGGGCCUCGUAGCCCUCCAGGUUUUCCUCGCGUCGAUGGGAUGGACGAUGGAGGCGACCUUGCUCAGGCCCAUGAAGAAUAUCAGCCCGAGCCGCUCACUUCUCAGCAAAGGGAAGAUCUUCGCCGUCGGAACAUGGAUGCCCUGCAUACUCCCAUCGCGGGAGAAACUCCCGAAGCUCGAGCUUUGGAAGAGGCGCGUUUGGCCAACUUGGCUGAACGCAAUCGACUGGAGAAUCUCCAGCGAGAACUCGACGAGCGUGCGCGUCAACGAGUACCUGACUCCAGCCGACGUCAACUCUUUCCGCAACCGACUCAGGUAUACCGAAUCCCAAUUCAGAAUUUAGCAGCUGCAGCCCGUAUAGCAGAGUCAAUUCAGCCCUCUCAGUCAGAGGCUGGAAGAGGCUUGUUGCAGAUCAGAGAUUUGCUCCGGGCGGCAGGAGAUCAGAAUUCAGCUGUGUCGCAGUCGCGCAACAGGAUUCACAGUCGAUCUGUCGCUGCGAAUAUUGUUCAGUCGGCCCACAGCCCAAGGUCGCCUCCGAGGCGCGUGGGACGUGAUGGCCGGCGGGAUCAUUAUGAUGACCGACUCGACCGUGAUGAUAGACGUCGAGUGCCCACUCCUCCGAGAAGUGGGUCUAACGUCCAUCGGCAGCAAGAUGACAGGCGCCAGCUCAGUGUUGGGCGGAGAGCUCCGGUCGACCCCAGAGAACCGGGCUUUGACGCGAGAUCCAUCAUCGUGCAAGGUUUGGUCGACCGGAAUAGAGCUCAUAGAGGUGGCCAUGACAGAGAUGCACCCACUAGCAGCCAAGUCCAUGUUUCAGGUCCGGAAUGCUUUAGUAGAGCCAUCAGAGCCGCAGUGAUACCCCCCAACUUCAGGUUGGCGACUGGGGUAAGUAAGUUCACCGGAGAGUCGAAGCCUGAAACCUGGUUGGAAGACUACCGAGUGGCAGUACAGAUUGGUGGCGGUAAUGAUGAGGUGGCCAUGAAGCAUCUGCCACUCAUGCUAGAGGGUUCGGCCAGAGCGUGGUUGAAUCAGUUAGCUCCUAGCAGCAUUUACACCUGGGAAGAUCUUUCCUGAGUGUUCGUCAGGACAUUCGAAGGAACUUGCAAGCGACCGGCCGGAUUGACAGACUUGCAAGUCUGCGUACAAAAGUCGAGUGAAACAUUGAGAGAUUACAUCCAGAGAUGGAUCACUUUGCAUCAUACCGUGGAGAAUGUGUCGGACCAUCAAGCGGUCUGUGCUUUUAAGGAUGGUGUCAAGAACAGAGAAUUGAGCCUGAAGUUUGGUCGGACCGGAGAUAUGACCCUGAGUCGAAUGAUGGAGAUUGCCACCAAAUAAGCUAACGGUGAAGAAGAGGACAGGCUCCGGAGUGGCAAGUAUAAGCCGAGUCAAUCGGAAAAAGGGAACUCCAGUUGGAAGCAUAAGCGAAAGGCCGAGCCAGCUGCUCCUGGAGAGGCUCUGGCCGUGACUCAGGGCAAAUUCAAAGGGAAGCCCAAAGGAUCUUGGAACCCCAAGAAGGUAAAGGAUAAAGAGGGAAAUGACGUGAUGGAUCUACCGUGUCACAUCCACACGAAGAAAGACGAAGAGGGAAACUUCAUCUACCCGAAACAUACCACUCGCCAGUGCCGGCUCUUAAUCCAGCAAUUUCAAGGAAAACAGCCCAAGGACAAGGAGAAGGAGUCGGACAAGGCCGAGGACAAGGAGGACAGUGAUGGAGGGUACCCUCAUGUCAAUUCCACCCUGAUGAUUUUUGCUGAUGUAGAGAGCAAAAGUCGACUGAAAGUGAUCAACCGAGAGGUGAAUAUGGUCGCCCCGGCGACACCAAGCUACCUGAAAUGGCCGCAAACUCCCAUUACAUUCGACCAGUCCGAUCACCCUACUCACAUUGCCACCCCUGGGAGGCAAGCGCUGGUGGUCGACCCAGUCAUCGAAGGCACUCGACUGACCAAGGUAUUGAUGGAUGGCGGCAGUGGAUUGAAUAUAUUGUAUGCAGAGACGCUCAAGGGAAUGGGCAUUCCGAUGUCCAAGCUCAGCUCCAGCAACAUGAGUUUUCACGGAGUCAUCCCCGGAAAGAAGGCCGAGUCUCUCGGUCAAAUAGCCCUGGAUGUAGUGUUCGGCGACUCGAAGCAUUUCCGUAAAGAGAAGCUGGCAUUUGAAGUCGUGGAUUUCCAGAGCGCUUACCACGCUAUUUUGGGAAGGCUAGCCUACGCCUGCUUCAUGGCUCGACCAUGUUAUGUGUACCUCAAGCUAAAGAUGCCUGGCCCCAAAGGAGUGAUCACUGUCACCGGCAGUCGAAAGAAGGCAGAAGAGUGUUUCCAGAAAGGCUCGAAGAUCGCGGAUGAUCAGAUAACAGUGGUGGAGCUGGAUGGGUACAAGAAAAAGGCAGAUCCGAGUGAUUUGCUGCGGGCCAAGAAGCCUGCCACAGAGUCAGCAUUCCAGUCGUCAGGGGAGACGAAGCCAGUUCACAUCCACCCGACUGACCCAAACGCAGCUCCGACCCACAUUUCCACAACACUCGACUCUAAAUAGGAAGAAGCGCUCAUCCAGUUCCUCCGUGAGAACUGAGACAUCUUUGCAUGGAAGCCAGCUGACAUGCCGGGUGUUCCCAGGGGGCUGGCUGAGCAUCGCCUUAGAGUCGACUCAAAAGCAAAACCUGUUAAAGAACAUCUUCGAUGGUCCGCCGUUCAGAAGAAAAAAGCCAUUGGCGAGGAGGUGGCUCGACUCCUUGCAGCAGAGUUUAUCCGAGAGGUGUACCACUCCGAGUGGCUCGCCAAUGUCGUCAUGGUCCCCAAGAAGGACAACUCGCUUCGCAUGUGCAUUGAUUUCAAACAUAUCAAUCGGGCCUGCCCGAAAGAUCAUUUUCCUCUCCCUCGCAUCGACCAAAUUGUUGACUCGACUGCGGGAUGUGAGAGAUUGUAUUUUCUAGAUGCUUAUUCCGGGUAUCAUCAGAUCCGUCUGUAUGGACCUGACGAAAUAAAAACAGCUUUCAUCACCCCAUUCGGGUGCUUUUGCUAUAUCACCAUGCCAUUCGGUCUCAAGAAUGCCGGAGCCACGUUCAUGAGAAUGAUUCAAAAGUGUUUACUCACUCAAAUCAGUCGGAACGUAGAAGCGUACAUGGAUGAUAUCGUGGUCAAGUCACGAAAGGGUUCCGACCUGUUGACUGACUUAGCUGAAACAUUUGCCAAUCUCAGGAGGUAUGAUAUCAAGCUCAAUCCAUCAAAGUGCACAUUUGGAGUACCUGGCGGAAAGUUACUCGGUUUUCUCGUUUCAGAACGAGGAAUCGAUGCUAACCCAGAAAAAGUUGGCACCAUACUCCGAAUGAAAUGCCCUGUGCGUGUGCACGAUGUCCAGAAGCUUACUGGAUGCUUGGCCGCGUUAAGUCGAUUCAUCUCUCGCCUCGGUGAAAAAGCGUUGCCUCUUUACCGACUGAUGAAGAAGGCAGACAAGUUCGAGUGGACUCCAGAAGCUGAUGCAGCGUUUGCCGAGCUAAAAGCUCUACUCUCCACCCAGCCGGUGAGCCUCUGUUGCUUUACAUUGCAGCCACAGGACAUGUCAUCAGUACAGUACUUACGGUCGAGCGGGAAGAGGAAGGUAAAACCUUCAAAGUUCAGCGCCCAGUGUAUUAUCUCUCUGAAGUUUUGACUCCAUCGAAGCAAAGAUAUCCUCAUUAUCAGAAGCUCGUAUAUGGGAUCUACAUGACCAUGAAGAAGGUUGCUCAUUAUUUCUCUGAUCAUGACAUUACAGUCGUCAGCGACGCACCAUUAUCAGAGAUUCUGCACAACAGAGACGCAACUGGUCGAGUGGCUAAAUGGGCGAUUGAACUUCUUCCCCUUGAUAUCAAAUUUGAGGCAAAGAAAGCCAUUAAGUCCCAGGCUAUAGCAGAUUUCCUCGCCGAGUGGAUCGAACAACAACAGCCGACUCAAGUUCACUCGGAGCAUUGGAAAAUGUUCUUUGAUGGUUCUAAGAUGUUAAAUGGUUCUGGUGCUGGAGUGGUUUUGGUUUCCCCCCGAGGAGAUAAACUCAGAUAUGUGCUCCAGAUCCACUUUGAUUCCUCCAACAAUGAAGCAGAAUAUGAAGCACUUUUGUAUGGGUUGCGCAUGGCCAUUUCACUCGGUGUCCGUCGCCUUAUGGUUUAUGGCGACUCAGAUUUGGUGGUCAAUCAAGUGAUGAAGGAGUGGGAUGUUAGAAGCCCAGCUAUGACUAGAUACUGCAAUGCAGUGAGAAAGCUGGAGAAGAAAUUCGAGGGAUUAUAGCUCCAUCACAUUCCCCGACUGAAAAAUCAAGCGGCCGAUGACUUGGCGAAGAUAGGUUCCAAGACAGAAGCCAUUCCGAGUGGUGUGUUUUUGGAGCAUAUUCACACUCCGUCGGUUCAAGAAGAUCCUUUCACUGAAGAAGUCCCACAGCCCAGAAGUGCCACUGAUCCGACUAAAGUCGAGGUCCCAGCCGUGGUCGACUUGGUCAUGGAGGUCUUGGUCGUCACUCCUGAUUGGACAGUGCCCUAUUUCGCCUAUAUUUUGAGAAAAGAACUCCCUGAGGAUGAAGAAGAGGCUCGAGAGAUUGUCCGCCGAUCCAAAGCCUUCACCGUCAUGAGGGAUCAGUUAUACAGAGAGAGUGCGACUGGAGUCAGCCAGAAAUUCAUAACACCAGAGGAAGGUUGAAUGAUUCUCAACGACAUCCACUCGGGGACCUGUGGCCAUCAUGCGUCCUCUCGGACCAUCGUGGCUAAGGCAUACCGAGCUGGUUUUUAUUGGCCCAGGGCGAAUGAAAUGGCAAAGGAAAUAGUCGACAAAUGUGAAGGAUGCCAAUUUUACUCCAAUAUGUCACACAAACCCGCCUCGGCCCUGAAGACCAUUCCACUUGUCUCACCUUUUGCCGUGUGGGGCCUGGAUUUGGUAGGCCCCUUGAGAACAGGUAGGAGCGGUUUCACCCAUGUGCUGGUAGCAGUCGACAAGUUCACCAAGUGGAUUGAAGCCAAACCCAUCAAGAACCUCGAUGCCGGCACUGCUGUCAGCUUUAUCAGAGAGUUAAUAUUCAGAUAUGGAGUCCCACAUAGCAUCAUCACUGACAACGGGUCAAACUUCGACUCCGAAGAAUUUAGAGCUUUCUGCACAUCUCAAGGCACACGAGUCGACUAUGCUUCAGUCGCCCAUCCGCAGUCGAAUGGACAGGCAGAACGAGCUAACGGCUUGAUUCUGAAAGGGUUGAAACCCCGUUUGAUGCGUGAUCUCAAGCAUGCGGCUGGCGCGUGGGUCGACGAACUUCCCUCGGUGCUUUGGGGGUUAAGGACCACGCCCAACCGGUCGACUGGCAGAACUUCGUUCUUCUUGGUCUAUGGAGCUGAAGCAGUCUUGCAGAGUGACCUUCUCCACAAUGCCCCUCGGGUCGAGCUCUACACCGAAGCUGAAGCAGAACAAGCCCGACAGGACGUAGUCGAACUUCUGGAAGAAGAAAGAGAGAUGGCCUUAAUCCGGUCGACCAUUUACCAACAGGACUUGCGUUGCUUCCAUGCCAGAAAUGUGAAGAGUCGAGCUUUCCAGGAGGGAGAUUUAGUUCUCCGAGUGGAUCAACAAAAACCACACAAGCUUGCUCCUACUUGGGAAGGUCCCUUCAUCGUCACCAAGGUUCUCCACAAUGGAGCAUACCGUCUCUACAAUGUCGAGCAUCAGAUCGACGAGCCCCGAGCUUGGAACGCGGAGCUUCUCCGCCCCUUUUACACUUAAGUUUUUCACUCGGACGAGUUGUAAUAAAAGUACUUCUGUAGUUUAUUUAUCAAAGACAAGAGCUUUAUAGUUUUCCCAAUAAUUGUUAUUACUUUUGUCCACAUAAAUCGAUCCCCCAGCGGGUGGCUUGGCCGCGAAUCCGAUUCGCCUAAGUCUGUAAAAAAAUCCUACCGAGUGGUAAGCCAGCCUUCCACUCGGAGGCUUAGCUGCGAAAUCCGUUUCGCCUAAGAUAAACAAAAUCCUACCAAGUGGUAAGCCAACCUUCCACUCGGAGGCUUAGCUGCAGCCCAGUGCUCGUCCAAGUUUUUGAAAAUCCUACCGAGUGGAGAGCAAACCUCCCACUCGGGGGCUUAGCUGCAGCCCAGUGCUCGCCUAAGUUUUUGAAAUUCCUACCGAGUGGAGAGCAAACCUCCCACUCGGAGGCUUAGCUGCAGUCCAAGUACUCGCCUAAGUUAAACAAAAUCCUNNNNNNNNNNNNNNNNNNNNNNNNNNNNNNNNNNNNNNNNNNNNNNNNNNNNNNNNNNNNNNNNNNNNNNNNNNNNNNNNNNNNNNNNNNNNNNNNNNNNNNNNNNNNNNNNNNNNNNNNNNNNNNNNNNNNNNNNNNNNNNNNNNNNNNNNNNNNNNNNNNNNNNNNNNNNNNNNNNNNNNNNNNNNNNNNNNNNNNNNNNNNNNNNNNNNNNNNNNNNNNNNNNNNNNNNNNNNNNNNNNNNNNNNNNNNNNNNNNNNNNNNNNNNNNNNNNNNNNNNNNNNNNNNNNNNNNNNNNNNNNNNNNNNNNNNNNNNNNNNNNNNNNNNNNNNNNNNNNNNNNNNNNNNNNNNNNNNNNNNNNNNNNNNNNNNNNNNNNNNNNNNNNNNNNNNNNNNNNNNNNNNNNNNNNNNNNNNNNNNNNNNNNNNNNNNNNNNNNNNNNNNNNNNNNNNNNCUUAGCUGCAGCCCAGUGCUCGCCUAAGUUUUUGAAAAUCCUACCGAGUGGAGAGCGAACCUCCCACUCGGGGGCUUAGCUGCAGCCCAGUGCUCGCCUAAGUUUUUGAAAAUCCUACCGAGUGGAGAGCAAACCUCCCACUCGGGGGCUUAGCUGCAGCCCAGUGCUCGCCUAAGUUUUCGAAAUCCUACCGAGUGGAGAGCAAACCUCCCACUCGGAGGCUUAGCUUCAGCCCAGUGCCCGCCUAAGUUUAUGGGAAAACAAGUCGAUUGCAAUGAGCGCUUCACUUAAACCUGCAAAAGACACCUCAGACCAAAAUACAAACAUAUUCAAUGUCGAAUUCAAGUUCGGAUAAAACCUAACGGAACCGAAAGUGCUCAGGCGAUAAGCCUGUUAAGGUUUAUCAGUUACAAAACUCACUCGGCAUACCGAGGCAAAUUUAAAGUAUCAAGCUCAGAAGUUUUUUACCCCUCCUGUGGAGGGCUGGAAGGUGCAACAAAUUCAUCCAGGUCGAUUCCAUCUGCAAUCCGAGUGGCGGCGGCAAUGAAGGUCUCCAUGAAAGAUCGGAAAUCAUGCUUCUUGGUGUUAGCCACCCUGAGAGCCACCAGCUUGUCCUCUCGUGCAUCCUUGCAGUGAACGCGGACCAGAGACAGAGCAACAUCUGCGCCACACCUAGUAGAAGACUUCUUCCACUCCUACACUCGACUUGGAACCUCGUUCAGUCGAGUCAUCAGAGACUCGAGGUCGUUCUGGAGUGUCUCUCUUGGCCAGAGUGUCGUGUCGAUGCGAGAAGUUGCGACCUUCAGCCUUGCGAGAUAGUCGACGACAGCUGCGACGCGAGAUUCAAGUCGGAGCACAUUCAUGGCGACUUUGUCAUUCACGGGAGAGUUGAUGGGAUCCAGGUUUAUCUCCAUUCGACCAGUAUCCUCUUCAAAGUUCUGGCAAAAUUCUGCAAGCACAACCUGUCGUGGUUCUAAGCCUGACAGUAGAGUGGGGGGUAGGUAUGGAGAGGCAAGGUCCUAGCUAUGGAGAGGUUGUAAACACAAGGGAUGUACGAGUUCUGGCCCUUCUCGGAAGAAGUAAUAGCCCUACGUCUCGGAGCCCGGAGGCGGUCGAGUGGAUUAUGAGUAUAUGAGUUACAAGGUGCCGAACCCCUCUGCCUGUGGAGGGGGGUGGCUUAUAUAGAGUGCGCCAGGACCCCAGCCAACCCACGUAGGAGAGGGUUUAAGGUGAGUUAAGUCUGGGGCGUUACUGGUAACGCCCCACAUAAAGUGCCUUUACUAUCAUAAAGCCUACUUGAUUACAGGCCGUUGCAGUGCAGAGUGUCUCUUGACUUUCCGGUAGUCGAGUGAGUCUUCGUGGUCGAGUCCUUCAAGUCAGUCGAGUGCGUCCCUCGUUGGUCGACUGGAAGGUGACUUCUUCUAAGGGUGUCCUUGGGUAAGGUACUUGGAUCAGGUCCAUGACCCUACCCUAGGGACAUAACCCCAUCAUUAGCCCCCGAAUGAAUUGAGGCUUCGAGUGAGGAAGGAGUUGAUGUUGUUUCCGAUUAACCUUUGCGCUCUGGUUGUGCGUUGUCCUGGACCAAAGAAUCUCUUCGUUGACAGGGAGCAACUUGCCUUCAGUUGACUCGAUCCAUUCUAUUUUUACGUCGAGUGAUCUUUCGGGCUUCGACGAUCUCCGAGCGACGGAUUGCCGGAAACACCGCGUCUGACAGACUGAUUUGCUGUUCGCGGAUUCCGUGGGAUGCGAAAUUUGGGGACGCGCGCGAAGCGGGGCGGACCGCGGCGUUCGGAUGGGACGGGGCAUAGACGCCUCGAUCUCCGCGCCGCCUUUUUCGCCACGUAUCCCGUCUGCAUAACUGCUCCCAGAUAUGAUUAGAUCGACGGGCCCACCUGUCAUCCACUCCGAAGGGACCUUAUAAAUGUGCCCGGCGAGGAUUUCUGUGCUGCGCCUCAGCAUUCUCUCCCUGUCUCUGCUUCCUUCUUCUCCGCCCAGCGUGCUCGCUCUCGCCCCCGCACCACUUCCCUUCGCGCAUCUCGCCGGCGACCAUGGCCAAGGAGAAGACGGCGGCGCUGGAGCGUGCAAAGAAGGCGUCGGCGUCGGAGAAGGCGAAGGGGAGAUCCACCAGCCGCGGAGGGUCCUCGUCCAGAUCCCGCCUGCCGAAGGGCUGGGUCCAAGGAGACUGGAUCCAGUCGACCAUCACAGAGAAUGACCUCCUCGACAUGGCCAACGAGGGCUUGAUCCCUCACGGAGCUGCGAGGCUUCCGGGGAAGGAAUGGCAGCCUCAGCCAGAAGAGGGUGAGUGUGUGCUUUUGGCCACCCAUGUUGAUCGUGGGUUUUCCUUGCCGCCGAGUGUUUUCUUCCGUGGCUUCUUGAAUUUCUUCGGAGCGCAGCUCCACCACUUUACCCCAAACUCCAUUGCCUAUCUUGCUGCGUUCGUGUCCAUGUGUGAGGGUUUCUUGGGCUGUCGACCGCACUGGGGAUCCAGGUGAGGAAUAAGAGCACCUUCCCGCCCAUGACCUUUCCCGAGUCGGUCAGAGGCUGGCAGUCGACCUGGUUCUACUGCCGGGACCAGUCGACGCCGGGGCAGUCGAGUGGACUCCCACAGUUUACCAUGGACCGAGUGAACAAGCCCUCCUCUCUGAAGUUGAUUCCGGAGGAGAAAGCUGAUGUGAAGAUGUUGAUGGAGCGCGUGGUGCAGUUGGUUCGGGAGGGAGUGACGGGCAUGGACCUCUUGGAGGUCUUCCUCAGGCGUCGCAUCCAGCCUCUUCAGUUCCGGAGCCACUGCAUGUGGUUGUACUGUGGGACCGAAGACAAGACUCGAGUCCAUCCAGAAGCAGUCGACGAUGUCACUCUGGAAAGAUGGAUGGUAGCCGUUACCGGAAACAAGGACAACCCACGCGGAGCCAGAAGGAUUCCUCCACUCGACCACAACAGCGAUCCAAACAAGGUACAUUUGCUCUGCCCUCCACUGCGUUCUUGUCGCACUCAUUUCUGUUUAUCCUGCCGACUGGUCGACUGAUCCUUGUCUUGAUAUCUGCUAGGCUCUCACCAAGUUGUACUCGAUGCCCAAUGAGGCACAAACUCCGACUGAGGAGGGUGAGGCGAGCGGGGGUGAGAGCCAGGAAGAGGAGGAGUGGGACUCGGACGUUGCAGGGGAUGACGACGACGAUGAUGAUGACGACGGCGAUGACGAUGACGUUGAAGACGAGGAGGAAGAGGAGGAGGAGGUCGUACCACCGCGCUCGGAAAGGCGGUCGAAGCUUGUCCACGACCCUUCAACCGAACGUGGUAAGGGGGUUGCGACCACCACUCAGUCGACCAAGCGUCCUCGGACCAUCUCUCCGGUGCCGACUGAAAAGGCGCCGAAGCAGCCCAGGGCGGCCUCGUCGAAGCCGAUCAAGCUCCUGCCGAAGAUGAAGGUGUCCAUCCCUACCAUAUCAGGGUAAUCGUGUUGUUUGAAUCUUCUCAUUUUGUGUGAACUUUGUCUCUGGUCGACGCUGAAGUUAGUCGACUGAUCCUUUGGAGUUGCAGUGCUGCUACUUCUGAAAACUCGGCCCGGGCUGAUGACCACGAGAUGGAAGACGCAGCAACUUCGAACCCAGGUACUGUAUUCUUAACGCCGUUCUUAGUCGACUGACUCGCGAUCUCUGAUCCUGAUUCUUCUCCGCAGCUCCACCCAAUACUGUUAUCAAUCUUCCUGAUGAUGAUGAGGAUGAAGAGCCGCUGAAGCGCAGGAGGAGUCGGAAAGCGUCCGCCAGUAAGGUGCCUCAGGAUGUGACGGCGCCUGAGAUUCUGACUGUGGAGGAAGAGAACACCACUCGACACACGGUGUCCUUCGCAAAUCCACUGACGAGUGCUCAGCAGCCCUCCCUCUUCACGACGCACCACGUCCCAGAGGACCAAGCUGGCGCAGCGAAGGAGGCGAUACGCCAGGCGGGACUCAUGAUGGAGCAGCUGAAGACCAUCCGGGACGCGAGCCAGGCAGCUUAUGACGCCAGUUCUGCCCUCCAAAGCAAUGUUCAGAUCAGUUGACCACCGUUUGUUCUGUUGGAUAUGCUGCCAAAAACUUUUCUUUUCCAGAAUUUAUAGUAGUCACCCACUGGGUGUUGUCGAUUGAGCUCUGUAUUAGCGGGGGCACGCUGAGUGCACCCGCUGGGUGUAGUCCCCAAGGCUAAGGUCGACUGCUGGCAGUCGGCCUUAGGCUUUAAAAUUUCAGUCUUUCUGUCAGUCGACUAUGUCGACUGGAUUUCACAAACCGGUGGAGGCACGCUAAGUGCACCCACUGGGUGUAGUCCCCGAGACUGUGGUCGACUGCUUGCAGUUGAUCACAGUCUUAGAAAAUGCAUCUCGCACUUUUUUUUGAGGUCGACUGGUCGACUUUGUCUUCAACAGGAUUAGUGGGGGCACGCUGAGUGCACCCACUGGGUGUAGUCCCCGAGACUACGGUCAAAUGCUUGUAUUCGGCUGUAGUCUUAGAAACGUGAGUUUUUCCCUUUUUCACUCGGAAGUGAAUUAUAUUUGACAUUUAGUCGAUUGGUUCUUCGCAGAACUCUUGUGAUCUUGUGGCUCGCUACUCAGAGCUGGAACACAAGCAUACUCAAGUCGAGCUGAGCUUGAAGCUGGUUCAGGAGAAGCUGACAAAGGCAAAGGAGGAGACCGAAGGUAUGUUUGGUGAGACCCUGAUGACUGCUUUUCCCCUUGCUUGUUUCAAAAUCUGAUCUUGCUGUAACUUGCAGGUAAGGUAAGGGAGGCCCAACAGAAGAAAGACCUUGAGCUAGCUGAGAAGAUCAAGCUUGCUGACGAGAAGUUAGCUUCAGUCACCAAGCUCGAACAAGACAAUACCAAUCUGAAAGCUGCUCUUGGGAUUGCCAACAAGGAGGUUAGUCGACUGAAAACUGAUAAAGCUGCCCUGACCGACCAAGUCACCAGGUUGACUGGGAAGAAAACUGAUCUGGAGGCCUUCCUGAGUGGACUUGCCAAGAAGCUGUUUCUUAUGCUUGAAGGUAAACCUCUAUGCUUGGCAGACAUUUCCAAUUGUGAUUUUUCCAUUCGACCAUCCCCUUGACUUAGUGAUCACCCUUGCAGAAUUUUGUCAAAACUUUGAAGAAGAAACUAGCCGGCUGGAGCCAAACCUCGACCCCGUCAAUUCUCCGGUGAACGAUGAAGUUGCCAUGGAUGUUCUCCGACUGGAGUCCCGUGUUGCAGCUGUCGUGGACUAUCUCGCAAGACUGAAGGCUGCCACAUCUCGCAUCGACUCGACGCUCUGGCCUGAGGAGACACUUCAGAAUGAUCUUGAGUCGCUGAUGGCCCGGUUGAACACGAUCCCUGGUCGAGUGCAGGAAUGGAAGAAGUCCUCGGCUUGGUGUGGUGCAGAUGUUGCUCUGUGUCUUGCCCGAGUCCACUGUAAGGAUGCAUGAGAAGAGAAGCUGGCGGCUCUUCGGGUGGCCAACACCAAGAAACACGACUUCAGGUCCUUUAUGGAAACUUUCCUUGCAGCUGCCACUCGGAUCGCCGACGGGAUCGACCUUGAUGAAUUCGUUGCACCUUCCAGCCCUCCACAGGAGGGGUAAAAAACUUCUUCUGGCUCGACGUUUUAAAUUUGCCUCGGUAUACCGAGUGGAAUUGUAACCGAUAAACCUUAACAGGCUUAACGCCUGAGCACUCUCGGUUCCUUUAGAUAUCGAUUCAAACUUGAAUUUGGUGCUUGAAUACGAUUGCUUUUGGCUCGAAAUGUCUUUUGCAGGUUCAAAGCAAGGCGCCUUUAUUGCAACCGACUUAUUCUUCAGUCCUACUUAGGCGAGUGCUUGGACUGCAGCUAAGCCCCCGAGUGAGAGGGUUGCUCUUCACUCGGUAGGAUUUUCGUAACUUAGGCGAGCACAGGGCUGCAGCUAAGCCCCUGAGUGAGAGGGUUGCUCCUCACUCGGUAGGAUUUUUAUAACUUAGGCAAGUGCUUGGACUGCAGCUAAGCCUCCGAGUGAGAGGGUUGCUCUUCACUCGGUAGGAUUUUCGUAACUUAGGCGAGCACAGGGCUGCAGCUAAGCCCCCGAGUGAGAGGGUUGAUCCUCACUCGGUAGGAUUUUUAUAACUUAGGCGAGUGCUNNNNNNNNNNNNNNNNNNNNNNNNNNNNNNNNNNNNNNNNNNNNNNNNNNNNNNNNNNNNNNNNNNNNNNNNNNNNNNNNNNNNNNNNNNNNNNNNNNNNNNNNNNNNNNNNNNNNNNNNNNNNNNNNNNNNNNNNNNNNNNNNNNNNNNNNNNNNNNNNNNNNNNNNNNNNNNNNNNNNNNNNNNNNNNNNNNNNNNNNNNNNNNNNNNNNNNNNNNNNNNNNNNNNNNNNNNNNNNNNNNNNNNNNNNNNNNNNNNNNNNNNNNNNNNNNNNNNNNNNNNNNNNNNNNNNNNNNNNNNNNNNNNNNNNNNNNNNNNNNNNNNNNNNNNNNNNNNNNNNNNNNNNNNNNNNNNNNNNNNNNNNNNNNNNNNNNNNNNNNNNNNNNNNNNNNNNNNNNNNNNNNNNNNNNNNNNNNNNNNNNNNNNNNNNNNNNNNNNNNNNNNNNNNNNNNNNNNNNNNNNNNNNNNNNNNNNNNNNNNNNNNNNNNNNNNNNNNNNNNNNNNNNNNNNNNNNNNNNNNNNNNNNNNNNNNNNNNNNNNNNNNNNNNNNNNNNNNNNNNNNNNNNNNNNNNNNNNNNNNNNNNNNNNNNNNNNNNNNNNNNNNNNNNNNNNNNNNNNNNNNNNNNNNNNNNNNNNNNNNNNNNNNNNNNNNNNNNNNNNNNNNNNNNNNNNNNNNNNNNNNNNNNNNNNNNNNNNNNNNNNNNNNNNNNNNNNNNNNNNNNNNNNNNNNNNNNNNNNNNNNNNGCCCCGUUGUGGAGAACCUUGGUGACGAUGAAGGGGCCUUCCCAAGAAGGAGCAAGCUUGUGUGGUUUGUGCUGAUCCACUCGGAGAACCAAAUCUCCUUCCUGGAAGGCUCGACCUCUCACAUUUCUGGCGUGGAAACGACGCAAAUCUUGUUGGUAGAUGGUCGACCGGAUCAGAGCCAUCUCCCUUUCUUCCUCUAAAAGGUCGACUGCGUCCUGCCGCGCUUGUUCAGCCUCUGCUUCGUUGUAGAUUUCAACUCGAGGAGCAUUGUGGAGAAGAUCACUCGGCAAGACUGCUUCAGCUCCGUAGACCAAGAAGAAUGGAGUUCUCCCGGUCGACCGAUUAGGUGUGGUCCGCAGUCCCCAAAGUACUGAGGGAAGUUCGUCGACCCAAGCUCCAGCUGCGUGUUUGAGAUCACGCAUCAGUCGAGGCUUCAAUCCCUUAAGAAUCAGUCCAUUAGCUCGCUCUGCUUGUCCAUUUGACUGCGGAUGGGCGACUGAAGCGUAGUCGACCCGUGUGCCUUGGGAGCUGCAGAAAUCUCUGAAUUCCUUCGAGUCAAAGUUCGACCCAUUAUCCGUAAUGAUGCUGUGCGGGACUCCAUAUCUGAAUAUUAGUUCCCUGAUGAAGCUAACAGCAGUACCGGUGUCAAGGCUCUUGAUUGGUUUAGCCUCGAUCCACUUGGUGAACUUGUCGACUGCCACCAGUACAUGCGUGAAGCCACUUCGUCCUGUUCUCAAAGGACCGACCAUGUCCAAUCCCCAUACCGCGAAAGGCCAGACGAGUGGGAUGGUCUUCAGAGCCGACGCAGGCUUGUGUGACAUAUUCGAGUAGAAUUGACAUCCCUCGCACUUAUCCACUAUCUCUUUUGCCAUCUCGUUCGCCUUUGGCCAGUAAAAUCCGGCUCGGUAUGCUUUGGCCACGAUGGUCCGAGAGGACGCAUGAUGACCACAGGUCCCCGAGUGAAUAUCAUUGAGGAUGAGUCGACCUUCUUCUGGUGUUAUGCACUUCUGACCAACUCCAGUCGCGCUUUCUCUGUAUAAUUGUCCUUUGAUUACGGUAAAGGCCUUAGAUCGACGGACGAUCUGUCGAGCCUCUUCCUCAUCCUCCGGAAGCUCUUUUCUCAGGAUAUAUGCGACAUACGGAAUCGUCCAGUCGGGAAUGACCACCAAAACCUCCAUGAUCAAGUCGACCACCGCUGGGACUUCAACUUCAGUCGGAUCUGUGGCACUCUUGGGCUGUGGAGUUUCUUCGGUGAAAGGAUCUUCUUUGACUGACGGAGUGUGUAUAUGCUCCAAGAACACACCACUCGGAAUGGCUUCUCUCUUGGAACCUAUCUUUGCUAGAUCAUCAGCUGCUUGAUUUUUCAGUCGGGGUAUAUGAUGGAGCUCCAACCCCUCGAACUUCUUUUCCAGCUUCCUCACUGCACUGCAUUAUCCAGUCAUGGCUGGGCUUCUCACGUCCCACUCUUUCAUCACCUGAUUGACCACUAAAUCCGAGUCGCCAUAGACCAUCAGGCGACGGACGCCGAGUGAAAUGGCCAUGCGCAACCCAUAUAAGAGGGCCUCAUAUUCUGCCUCAUUGUUGGAGGAAUCAAAGUGAAUCUGGAGCACAUAUCUGAGCUUAUCUCCUCUGGGGGAAACCAGGACAACCCCAGCACCGGAACCAUUCAACAUCUUAGAGCCAUCAAAGAACAUGGUCCAAUGCUCCGAGUGAACUUCAGUCGGCUGCUGCUGUUCAAUCCACUCGGCGAGGAAGUCUGCUAUUGCCUGAGACUUAAUGGCUUUCUUUGCCUCAAACUUGAUAUCAAGGGGAAGAAGUUCAAUCGCCCAUUUGGCCACUCGACCAGUUGCAUCCCUGUUGUGCAAAAUCUCUGAUAGUGGAGCGUCGCUGAUGACUGUGAUGGAAUGAUCAGAGAAAUAAUGAGCAACCUUCUUUGUGGUCAUGUAUAUUCCAUAUACAAGCUUCUGAUAAUGAGGAUAUCUCUGCUUGGAUGGAGUCAAGACUUCAGACAAAUAAUACACUGGGCGCUGAACUUUGAGAGCUUUUCCUUCUUCUUCCCGCUCGACCGUUAGCACAGUACUGACGACUUGUCCUGUGGCUGCGAUAUAGAGCAACAGAGGCUCUUUGCUGAUUGGAGCAGCAAGCACCGGCUGGGUGGAGAGCAGAGCUUUUAGCUCGGCAAACGCUGCAUCAGCUUCUGGAGUCCACUCGAACUUGUCUGUCUUCUUCAUCAGUCGGUAAAGAGGUAAUGCCUUUUCACCGAGUCGUGAGAUGAAUCGACUUAAUGCGGCCAAGCAUCCAGUAAGCUUCUGGACAUCGUGCACUCGCACAGGGCGUUUCAUUCGGAGAAUAGUGCCAAUCUUCUUUGGGUUAGCGUCGAUUCCCCGUUCGGAAACGAGAAAACCGAGUAACUUGCCACCAGGAACUCCAAAUGUGCACUUUGAUGGAUUGAGCUUGAUAUCAUACCUUCUGAGGUUGGCAAAUGUUUCGGCAAGGUCAGCGAGCAGGUCAGAACCUUUUCGUGACUUGACAACAAUAUCAUCCAUAUAAGCUUCCACAUUCCGACUGAUUUGAGUGAGUAGACACUUCUGAAUCAUUCGCAUGAAUGUGGCUCCGGCAUUCUUGAGGCCGAAUGGCAUGGUGAUAUAGCAGAAGCACCCGAAUGGAGUGAUGAAAGCUGUUUUUACCUCGUCGGGUCCGUACAGACGGAUCUGGUGGUACCCGGAGUAGGCAUCUAAAAAAGAUAGCCUCUCACAUCCCGCGGUCGAGUCAACAAUUUGAUCUAUGCGAGGGAGAGGAAAAUGAUCUUUCGGGCAGGCCCGGUUGAUGUGCUUGAAAUCAAUGCACAUUCGUAGCGACUUGUCCUUCUUAGGAACCAUGACGACAUUAGUGAGCCACUCGGAGUGGUAUAUCUCUCGGAUAAAUCCUGCCGCCAACAGUCGAGCCACUUCUUCACCAAUGGCUUUUCUCUUCUGGACGGCGGACCGCCGAAGAUGUUCUUUGACUGGUUUGGCAGACGAGUCGACUCUUAGGCGAUGCUCAGCCAGUCCCCUGGGAGAACCUGGCAUGUCAGCGGGCUUCCAUGCAAAAAUGUCCCAGUUCUCACGGAGGAACUGGAUGAGCGCUUCUUCCUAUUUUGGGUCGAGUGUCGUGGAGAUGCGGGUCGGAGCUGCUUCGGGGUCGGUCGGGUGAAUGUGAACAGGCUUCGUCUCACCGGACGACUGGAAUGCAGACUCUGUGGCGGGCUUCUUGGAUCGUAGCAAGUCACUCGGAUCUGCGUUUUGCUUGUAUUCUUCGAACUCGACCGCUGUCACCUGGGAAUCGGCGAUCUUGGAGCCCUUCUGAAAGCACUCUUCUGCCUUUUUCCCGGUGACAGUGAUCACUCCUUUGGGGCCGGGCAUCUUCAAUUUGAGGUACACGUAGCAUGGUCGAGCCAUAAACCGUGCGUAAGCUGGUCUCCCCAAAAUGGCAUGACAUGCACUUUGAAAAUCCACGACCUCAAACGUCAACUUUUCUUUGCGAAAAUGCUUCGAAUCACCAAACACCACGUCCAAAGCUAUCUGGCCGAGUGACUCGGCCUUCUUCCCUGGUAUAACUCCAUGAAAGCUCAUGUUACUAGUGCUCAAUCGGGACAUCGGAAUGCCCAUACCUUUCAAUGUGUCUGCAUACAAUAAGUUCAGCCCACUUCCACCAUCCAUCAGCACCUUUGUCAGACGAGUGCCUUCGACAACUGGAUCGACCACCAAAGCUUGCCUCCCAGGGGUGGCAAUAUGAGUCGGGUGAUCAGAUUGGUCGAAUGUGAUGGGUGUUUGAGACCACUUCAGAUAAUUUGCUUUUGCGGGGGCAACCAUGUUCACCUCUCGGUUAAUCACUUUCAGUCGACUUCUGCUUUCCACAUCUGCAAAGAUCAUCAGAGUGGAGUUGAUAUGCGGAUAUCCUCCCUCACUGUCCUCCUUGUCUUCGGCCUUGUCCGACUCCUUCUCCUUGUCCUUAGACUGUUUUCCCUGAAACUGCUGGAUCAGGAGUCGACAUUGGCGAGUGGUGUGCUUCGGGUAGAUGAUAUUCCCCUCUUCGUCUUUCUUCGUAUGGAUGUGACAUGGCAUAUCCAUUACGUUGUUCCCUUCUUUAUCCUUUACCUUCUUGGGGCUCCAGGAUCCUUUUGGUUUCCCCUUAAACUUUCCUUGAGUCACGGCCAGAGCCUCUCCGGGAGCUGCCGGUUCAGCCUUCCGCUUCUGUUUCCGACUGGUGUUUCCUUUUUUCGACUGACUCGGCUUGUGCUUGCCGCUUCGGAGUCGGUCUUCUUCUUCGCCGUUGGCGUACUUGGUAGCAAUCUCCAUCAUCCGACUCAAGGUCAUGUCACCGGUUCGACCAAACUUCAAACUCAGUUCUCUGUUCUUGACACCAUCUUUGAAGGCGCAGACUGCCCGAUGAUCGGACACAUUCUCCACAGUGUGGUGCAAAGUGAUCCACCUCUGAAUAUACUCUCUGAGAGUCUCAUUAGCCUUCUACACGCAAACUUGCAACUCCGUCAAUCCAGCUGGUCGCUUGCAAGUCCCUUCAAACGUUCUGAUGAACACUCGGGACAAAUCUUCCCAAGUGUAAAUGCUGCUAGGAGGUAAUUGAGUCAACCACGCCCUGGCAGAACCUUCCAGCAUGAGGGGCAAAUGCUUCAUGGCCACCUCGUCAUUCCCGCCACCAAUCUGAACUGCCACUCGGUAGUCUUCAAGCCAAGUUUCAGGCUUAGACUCACCAGUGAACUUGCUGACUCCUGUUGCCAACCUGAAAUUGGGAGGGAUAACUGCGGCUCUGAUGGCUCUGCUGAAACAUUCAGGACUAGAAACAUGCACUCGACUACUUGUGGGUGCAUCUCUGUCGAGUCCACCUCGAUGGGCUCUGUUCCGGUCGACCAUACCUUGCACGAUAAUGGAUCGCGCAUUGAAGCCUGGUUCUCUGGGGUCGACUGGAAUCCUUCGCCCUGAACUGUACUGAUGCCUGUCAUCUUGCUGUCAAGGAGCGUAAGACCCACCCCUUGGAGGGGAGUUGGGCACUUGACGCCUAUCAUCUCGGUCGAGUCGGUCGCCAUAUUGAUCUCGCCGAUUCUCGCGCCCUUCACGCCGCGGAGGCGAUCUAGGGCUGUGAGCCGACUGAACCGUAUUCACAGUGACGGAUCGACUGUGAAUUCUGUUGCGCGACUGAGACACGGCCGAAUUCUGAUCUCCUGCUGCUCGGAGCAGAUCCCUGAUCUGCAGCAAACCUCUGCCAGCUUCCGACUGCGAAGGCUGGAUGGACUCUGCCAUACGGGUCGCAGCUGCUAAAUUCUGAAUUGGGGUUCGAUAUACCUGAGUCGGCGGGAAGAGUUGACGUCGACUGGUGUCGGGAACUCGUUGCCGCGUGCGCUCGUCGAGUGCUCGCUGAAGGUUCUCAAGUCGAGUGCGCUCGGCCAAAUUGGCCAGAUGCGCCUCCUCCAAGGCACGAGCCUCGGGGGUUUCUCCUGCGAUGGGAGUAUGCAGGGCAUCCACGUUCCUGCGGCGAAGCUCCUCUCUUUGCAGAGAGUCGAGUGGCUCGGGCUGGUACUCUUCGUGGCGUCGUGCAGGGUCGCCUCCGUCACCUGAUCCAUCGCCACGGGCGAAGCCAGGGGGACUGCGGGGCCCGUCGACCAUCAAGAUUUCGGCCGCUGGAUCGCUGCUACCGCACUCGGAUGCAGUCUCUACGGAGCCAGUCGACUGAUCGAACAAGCCGUAGAGAGAUUCGUUGGGCUCGAUUGCCGCAACUUGGGUGGUGGCCGAUUGGCGAGCCACCGCGUGCCUCACCCAUCGCUGAAGCCUCGACCGGCCUGAGCGCUUGCGCUGGCGGGAGACCGGGAGGGCGGACGAUAGAGGAGCCGACCGAUACUGGGUCGACGGUUGCCGCAGCAGAACGCCGCGGACACAUGCGCGAAAAUGCGUCGCACCGCGGACGGGGAGCGCAUCUACGUCGAGUGGAGCCUCCUGGAGCCACGCGGAGUCGUCGGCGAUGAAGGUGAGAGUGCCGAGACGGAUCUCUUGACCCUCGACCAAAACUCCAGCAGACACCAUGAUGAAAGUACUCGGAAGAAUCGCAACUUCUCCACAAAAUCGCUAAAACACCGGCCCCACGGUGGGCGCCAACUGUCGUGGUUCUAAGCCUGACAGUAGAGUGGGGGGUAGGUAUGGAGAGGCAAGGUCCUAGCUAUGGAGAGGUUGUAAACACAAGGGAUGUACGAGUUCAGGCCCUUCUCGGAAGAAGUAAUAGCCCUACGUCUCGGAGCCCGGAGGCGGUCGAGUGGAUUAUGAGUAUAUGAGUUACAAGGUGCCGAACCCCUCUGCCUGUGGAGGGGGGUGGCUUAUAUAGAGUGCGCCAGGAUCCCAGCCAGCCCACAUAGGAGAGGGUUUAAGGUGAGUUAAGUCUGGGGCGUUACUGGUAACGCCCCACAUAAAGUGCCUUUACUAUCAUAAAGCCUACUUGAUUACAGGCCGUUGCAGUGCAGAGUGUCUCUUGACUUUCCGGUAGUCGAGUGAGUCUUCGUGGUCGAGUCCUUCAAGUCAGUCGAGUGCGUCCCUCGUUGGUCGACUGGAAGGUGACUUCUUCUAAGGGUGUCCUUGGGUAAGGUACUUGGAUCAGGUCCAUGACCCUACCCUAGGGACAUAACCCCAUCACAACCAUCGAGUCAAGACAACAGUCGGAAGACACAGUUAAAAUUGCUUGUUUGAUACCAAAGGUUACCUUCAAGCAUGAGGAAUAGCUUCUUGGCGAGUCCGCCCAGAUAAGCCUCCAGAUCAUUCUUCUUUCCCACCAACUCACUGGCCUUGUCAUUCAGGGCAAUCUUGUCAUUCUUCAGUCGAGUGACUUCUUGGUUGGCCAUGUCAAGAGCAGCUUUCAGAUUAGCGUUUUCUUCUUCAAGCUUGGCGACCGAAGCCAACUUCUCUUCAACAAGCCUAGUCUUGUCCGCGGCCAUUUUUUGCGCCUCGGCAAGGUCAAGGUCCUUCUUCUUCAGAGUGUUCUUCAGUUUUUCUAUGAGAAUCACAAUAAGGUCAGAAUCGGAGGCAGGUAAGAAGCAAAGAUAGUCGUCAAGAUUCUCACCAAACAUACCUUUUGCUUCCUCCUUCGCCUUCGUGAAGUUUUCUUGGACAAGCUUUUGGUCAAGCUCAAGCUGGAUGAACUUGCUCUCCAAUUCGGUGUAGCGAGAAACAAGGUCACAAGACUUCUGCGAAAGUUCAGUCGACAAAACAUCAACAUCAAUUCACUUCCGAGUGACUAAGGAAAAAUCAUAGCGUUUCUAAGACUACGGCCGAAUACAAACAUUCGACCGCAGUCUCGGGGACUACACCCAGUGGGUGCACUCAGCGUGCCCCCACUAGUUUCAUCAAGAGUCGACCAGUCGACCAACAAAAAAAAUAGGAGGUGUUCUUCAGACUAUAGUCGACUGCCAGCAGUCGACCACAGUCUCGGGGACUACACCCAGUGGGUGCACUCAGCGUGCCCCCACCGGUCUAUGAAUCUAUUCGACCUUGUCGAGUAAAGAAAAAACUCAAGGCAUAAAGACUAUGGUCAGCUGCCAGCAGUCCACCAUAGCCUUGGGGACUACACCCAGUGGGUGCACUCAGCGUGCCCCCACUAACCCGGAAUUUCAAUCGACACACACCCAGUGGGUGUAGGACAGACUCUAGGAAUUUCAAAAAGAAGAACAGGCAGUGACCGACUGACCUGAACAUUACUCUGAAGAGCUGAACUGGCGUCAUAGGCUGCCUGGCUGGCUUCUCGAAUUGCCUUCACUUGCUCCAUCAUGACCCCCGCUUGGCGUAUUGCUUCUUUGGCAGCACUGGCUUGGUCCUCUGGGACGUGGUAGGUUGAGAAAAGCGAAGGUGGAGCAGCACUCGACGAUGAAGGUCGAGCACUCGUCAACGGCACCGCAAAGGUUACGGUAGGCCGAGUGAUAUUGCCUCCCUCCAUGAACAAUGUCUCGGGUGCUGGCACGUCCUGAGUCGCCUCGCCAGCAGACGCUUUCCUGUUCCUUCUCUGCCUCAUUGGUUCCUCGUCGUCGUCGUUGGGAAGGUCGAUAACAACGUUAGAUGAAGCUGCAGAAAAAGAAUCAAAACUAGAGACAAGAAACCAAUCGACUGAAGACGGAGCUACAAGAGUCGUACCAGGCUUUGAAGUAACAGCAUCCUCCAUCUCCUGAUCUUCAGCCCUGCCCGAGGUAUCAGAAGUAGCAGCACUGCAGUUCUAGAAGUCAGUUGAUUAGCUCAUGAGUCAACCAAGAAUACGUUCAUGAGGAACAGACAAACUCAAACUUCGCCAUUACCCUGAGAUAGUGGGGAUCACCAUCUUCAUCUUCGGCAAGACCUUCGCCGGCUUCGGCGGCGCCACUCGAGAUUGCUUCGGAGCCUUCUCAGUCGGCGCCGGAGAAGUAGUCCGAGGGCGCUUGGUCGACUGCACGACGACUGCGACCCCCUUACCACGCUCGGCCGCGGGAUCAUGGGCAAGCUUCGAGCGUCUUUCCGAGCGAGGAGGUGCAACUUCCUCCUCCUCCUCCUCCUCUUCCUCCUCACCAGAGUCAUCACCCUCAUCAUCAUCAUUAGCAUCCGAAUCCCACUCCUCCGGGCUCUCGCCUCCACUUCCUUCCUCCUCCUCAGUCGGCGUUUGUGCUCCAUUGGGCAUCGAGUACAACUCAGUGGUGGCCUGCCGGACAACAAAACAGAACAAAGGUCAAUCGACCAAUUCGCAGCGAAGCAGAGUGAACAAAGCAAGAUUACAAUUGGAGAUAAGUGGUCAUACCUUGUCCGGCGUAUAAGUAUGGUCGAGUGGCGAGAUCCUCCUAGCUCCUCGAGGGUUGUCCUUAUUCCCUGUGAUUGCGGUCACCCACCGCCCCAGCGUGGCGUCGUCGACUGCUUCUGGAUGAACCCGAGUGGUGUCUUCGGUACCACAGUACAGCCACAUCGGGUGGCCUCGGUACUGAAGCGGUUGGAUGCGCCGUCUAAGGAAGACCUCCAGAAGGUCCAUACCCGUCACUCCGUCCUGAACGAGUUGGACUACGCACUCCAUCAACAUUUUUACCUGAGCCUUCUCUUCAGGAAGCACCUUCAGAGAGGAGGGUUUGUCCGCUCGGUCCAUGGAAAACGGAGGGAGACCAGUCGACUGCCCCGGCAUCGACUGGUCUUGGCAGUAGAACCAAGUCGACUGCCACCCUCUGACCGACUCAGGAAGGGUCAUGGCCGGGAAAGUACUCUUAUUCCUCAUCUGAAUCCCGAGCCCCCCACACAUCUGGAUAACCUUAGUCCUCUCAUCACCCGGACUCGCCUUUUUCACUGUCUAUGAGCGACAGGUGAAUAUGUGCUUGAAGAGACCCCAGUGUGGUCGACAACCCAGGAAGUUCUCACACAUGGACACGAAAGCAGCAAGAUGGGCGAUGGAAUUGGGAGUGAAAUGGUGGAGUUGCGCCCCAAAAAAGUUCAGAAACCCUCGGAAGAAAACACUCGGCGGCAGAGAAAACCCACGGUCUAUGUGAGUGGCUAGGAGAACGCACUCACCCUCUUGCGGCUGCGGUUGCCACUCGGUCCCCGGAAGCCUUGCCGACCCAUGGGGGAUCAGACCCUCGUUGGCCAGGUGUUGAGAUCCUUCUCGGUGAUAGUCGAGCGGAUCCAAUCCCCUUGGAUCCAACCCUUUGGCAGACGGGACCUUGACGAAGAUCCGCCCCGACUGGGCGCUCUCCCCUUCGCUUUCUCCGCCGCCGUCGCCUUCUUCGCGCGCUCCAAGGCCACCGUCCUCUCCUUCACCAUUGUCGCCGGCGAAGCACGCGAGGAGGGGAUAAGCGGGGGCGAGAGCAGGAGCAGGCACAGCGGGCGGAUGCAAAGAGGGCAGAGAGGGGAAUGAGAAGGCACUGUUCAAAAAACCCUCGCCCGGCGCUUUAUAUAAAGACACUUCCGAGUGGCUGACAAGUAGGCCCGAGCGAUCCUGUCACAUCCCGAAACAGUCGCGCACGCUUGAUAUGUGGCGAAAAAGGCGGCGCAGAAAUCAAGGCGCCCGCGCCUUAUCCCAUCCGAGUACCGCGGUCCGCCCCGCUUCGCGUGCUUCCCAAAAUUCGGAUCCUGCAAAAUCCGCCAACGGUAGAUCAAUCUGUCAGAUAGUAGAUUUCCUGCGAUCCGUCGGUCGGAAGUUCACUAAGUUCGAAAGUUCACUCGACGGAAGAAAGGAAUGGAUCAAGGCGACUGAAAGAAAAGUUAAUGCCGACGCCAAAAAAGAAAGAUCGCUAAUCCAGGAUACAACAUAGUCAGAGCGCGGGAAACAGGUCGGAGAAAAUUAUCAACCCCUUCCUCACUCGAACCUCGAUCCAUUCGGGGGCUAAUGAUGAAGUCAUGUACCUAGGGUAGGGUCAUGAACCUAUCUAGGGUACCCUACCCAAGGACAUCAUCCUCAGAAGAAGCUACCUUCCAGUCGACCAAGAGAGACUUCACUCGACGAACUCAAGGACACUCUACUGAAGGUAGCCACUCGACCAUGAAGCUAAUCACUCAACAAGCAGGAGACCUAAAGUCACUCAGUUCGCAACGGUCUGUCAUUAGGUAGCUUUAAUAGUCUUCAUGGCACUUUAUGAGGGCGUUACCAGUAACCCCCUGUCUUAAUGUACUUUAAACCCUGCAUAACUGAGGGCCGGAGGGGUCUGGCGAACUCUAUAUAAGCCACCCUCCUCCUCAGUGUAAAGGGUUCGCACCCCUGUAACUCAUAUACACAGAAACCAGUCGACCGCCUCCGGGCUCCGAGACAUAAGGCUAUUACUUCCUCCGAGAAGGGCCUGAACUCGUUAAACACUCGUGUGUACAACUACUCCAUAGCUAGGAUCUUGCCUCUCCAUACAUACCCCCCAUUCUACUGUCAGGCUUAGAACCACGACAGCGGCCACAUCGCCCACAUCCACCUACAUCCACGCUUCGGCAGGAACCAUAUAACAAAAAAAAUAUUGUGGACCAAAUGUUCAUGGAAUUCUGCAGUAUGAUAUAGACUACAAAUUGGUAUGAUAGGCAAGAAUCCUCAAAUUUCUAUUAUACCAUAAUGUCUAGCUUAGGGAUUUUGUUCCGUAUCUUCUUAUUUGGCACCACACCAACAUUUAGCAUGACGUCAACGACCACAUAAUGCCUUCAGCACUGGUUAGCGAUUUGAUCAUGUCUCUUACUACCUGAAAGCACAAAUAUUAAAUUCUAUUGUUAAAGAUAUAUUCUUAACAUGUCAAUAAGAGGGAAAAGCAAUAUGGCAAUUCAAUGUCUCAUCGACCCUGCAGUUGGCAACAUCCCAAGUGAUGAUCAAUUUUAAACAUAAUAUUUAACUACAAGAAUGACUACAAUACAAUUCAUCAUUUCUUUGUUCUGGGGAUUUUUGCCCCUGAAUACGUGAUAAUACAAGGACAAACUUUAAGUAUGCUGAUACGAUGUAGUGCCAUCAAGCAUGGAUAAUUAUGCAAGGACAAACUCAUGUUCUAGGAUUUUUUUUAACCCUAAACGAUGCAUGGAACGACCAAUAAUAAACAGAUUAGAAAAAUUGUGCAUCUCUCUUUGUCCAUAAUAAGUUAUGUUGCUUCUUCCAAGUUAGUUUAUUAUUUAACCAUAUCAUUCGGCCACCACUUUGUCCAUGUAGGGCGAGCGCUAGCAUUAGUAGCAUUUAUGUAAACUCUGAUUACCAGCACGUACAAUGAUUAACACGAAUGUUGGUGCAAAUAGAACUCACUUGUGGUGAGAAACUGAAUAAGUGUUGUCGAAGGGUUGAGGGAGCUCGAAGGGGUUGGUAUCACUAAACAAGCUGUUCGUCAGUAGAGCCCCAAGAAAACUUUAGAAAGGAUGUUUCUGUCCACCCACAUAAAUAAAGAGAUAAAUCUGUGAUCGUUCGGCAAGCCUGAUAAGCCACAUAAAUAAAGAGAUAAAUCUGUGAUCGUGCAUAAAGUAAUUAACAAAUCCGGUGUUGUUUUCUUCUGUCCACGGUCCGCUCGCUCCCCACCCCCGUUCUACCUCACGCCCCGUCCAUCCGCUCCCAGCUUACUCCCUAGCUCCAUGUUGCUCAUGCUUGCCCAUGUGUGCACUAUCAGCCAGCUGGUGGCCCCAACUCGUUCGGCUCUGUCCGCUUGGUGCCAGAUGAUUAGCACAUGGAUGCAUCCGCCGGCCGUACCACCUGCACAUCAAUGAACAGUGGAUUAGUACAUCGACAAGGUUAGAAAAAUAUAAAACUCACACAAACGGAAUUUACAGAAAUCAGCAAACACUAAUCUGAAUACCUUCUAAAUCUCACGUAGUGCAGGGGGUGCUCUGAAAGUCUAAAUAUCAUUGUGUUACAGAAACAAUGUUCCUUUCUCAGCCUACUGGGUGCCCUUAGACAGGGCCACCUCAUUGUCAACCACUCCCGCAUCCCUCACCCUGUCAAAUCGAGUCGCGGCUUACUCGGAAUUCACGAAUGCUCGUGCGACGUCAUCGAAAGAGCUAAGCAAAUUCUCGCCAACCGCAUCACCUUCCAGCAGAUGGUCAUUACGAAGGAUCGAUGCCGCUGCCCCUAUUCCACUUUCAAUAUGAUGCAUCCAGAUUCUUUUUAUAAUAAUUUCUCACAUGUUUCAAUUGAAUAAUUUGAUUAUCCGAACCAAUUAAUGAACCAGAGAUGGUUUUUAUUGCUACCUUUAAGUCAUACUGUAUGUUUUAGUGGUGCUGUUUUUUCUUUAGGCGGCUUGCAGAAUGAAUGAUGAAGUUUUUUGGGCCUGCAUUGCAAAUGGGUUUGGCCAGAUGCUCGACUGGUUUUACGACCAACUAUAGAAGUGUAUUCAUCAUUUCCAUUGGCAUGACCAUAAUUUGUGAAUCAGAAAAGAUAGAAAAGCAAACUUUUAUGUUAAAUAUAAAACGAAAGAAAAAAAGAAUCCAAGUAAUUAGAUUUGUAAAAAGAAAUACAUUCGAGAUGUUUCAUCGAUACAAUAAGCACAUCAGUAGGACAUUAUAAUCAUGGUAUAAACUUGCUCCCUUUUUUAUGACAUAGAUACACGCAUACUGGAAAAUUCGCAACAACAAUAGAUAACAAGAUUAUUUUUAGCUCACGUUCUGAUUCCAUUGUCGCUUUAUCAUCAGUUCAUCAAAAGUGAAAUUAGCCUACGAAGAUAACCAUGUAUACUGAACACACGAGAAAAACACAAGUUUAAUCCAUCGGCUUUAGAGAUCCUUGACAGAUGCCAUCAGGUUGAGAAAUUUGAUGUUAUGAAUAAGGCAUGAAGAAAAUUGUCUGUUGGUCAACAUUUGCAGGAGUAAGGUGGUUCAAGGAUGAGUUUUCGCCAUCGGUAAACAGGGACCUGUUCAUGUACAAGCUGUAGGAAUAAACUUUAGCAUUAAUUACUGAAUAGCAUACAAAAUUGUCUAAUGUACUGCAAACUAUAGAGCAAAAUCACAUCCCUGGUGUUGAAACACCAAUGGCACAAGGCACUUUGUCCAAUUUGUGCUUCCAAGGGUAGUCUCCGACUCUGACACGGUGGCACCAUCACCAACUUACACUCGCUUGUCAGCGCAGCUGUGAUGGCCCUUGCUGGGGCUCAUACCUCCGAGUCGUGCCCCUCUUUCCAGAAUUUGUCCAAGGUGCUUGAAAAAUAAUACUUAAUUAACCUCCAAUGAAAAUAAUAAUGCAGCAUGUCAGCAUGGAUAGCUAUAUGACUGUAUUAAAAAUUACUCUAAUCAUCUAAUGUGACACAAUGGUUUGAGUUGCUAGAUAUUGUGGGUCAUCUAGUUAAAUUCAGGUCUUACUUCCUGCUUGCUGCACGAACUUCCUCGGUGGUAAGCAUCGUAGUCGUCAGCAUACAGGUUCACCACCUGAACUUACGCGCACAAGACAUAACCUGAUGCCCGAUGUAGCCACAUGCAUAGCAGAACCACGGCAAGCGCUCGUACUGAAGUUUAAGCCCCACCCUUGUUCUCUUUUCCUUGAUCCUUGCUAUCAUUGCAACUGAAAUUUCCAGCGCCCGCUAUAUACAGGAAAAGCAACCCGUACACGAACAAAGUUUCCUAACUACUCUCCCAUCAUGUAGUUCAAUUUGGAGGAUUGUUCUCAUGUCCUUGCAUAGAGCACGUACCACCACAUCUGUUCUCCAAUUCAUCGAGACAUCAAGAAUGUGUAAAAUCGAAACACAUCGAAAUGGUACCAGCCGUACUUAAUAAUAGAAGGAUUUGGCAGAAAUAUGUAAAAUUGUCCCUCCUAAAAAAAUUAUUCCAGAAUAAAUGUUGCCCUCCAGAAGUACCAAAGGUGCGCGGAGCAUGAAGUGAGCCUAUUACAUCAAGUUCUUUUUUGACCUUUUCUAUUUGACCCGAAACCGAUCGAUCCAGCCAUGAGUAGGUUGAAGAGAGCUCUAACAGGCCUUGGAGGACCGAACCCACGUAUGUGGCAAAAUACGGGGAUGACUUGUGGCUACCCAUAUCCACAGCCAAAGUGCACAAAGUACUUAUUGCCUCCCAAAAACGUGAACGUCAGAUCCUCUUUGUCCUUAGCCUCCAAGCAUCUCCUAGCUCAUCAAACAGAAAACAUAUUUGCAGGCAAAAGUGAUUCAACAUAUGAGCAAUUAGGACAAGAUUAGUGCUUUGGGAAUUGAGAGAGUUGUCCUCCGUACUCAUCCUUAUGACAACAUGCUUUGGGAAUUAGGCAAGCUCGGGAUUCUGUAGAGAUGUUCGAUAACAUGCUUCUAGAAAGCGUCAUGUUACACCACGCCCAUCCUAGACACCAUAGUACAUUGUGAGGUUGACUCAUGCGCCACAUUUGCCACCUGGUCUGGCCGCCCUGCCAACCGAAGAUCGUUCCAAGCCAAUAUUUCGCUCGGUGUUCUGAAGAUCUGCAGAAGAGGUUGUAAAAAUCAUCAGGUGUGUAACCUGCAUACAGAAGAAAGUUUGAUACGUGCAUGUAAAACUGAGAACAAGCAAAUCUGAUUCAAACACAAAAGAAAAAGGGCAAGCUUAAUUAUGUUAUCCUGCUGAGCCACAACCGCUACUACCCCUCGUCGUUUCAGGAGGAGCAGGAGAGCACGAGCAGAGGAUACGGAUUCAGGGGAUGAGAGGGGUGGGGUGGGGAUCACGAGAGCUUAUCCAUGUCUUGGGGCGGCCAGAGCCGGCGGCGACGCGGCGCCGAGGUUGGUGCGACGGCGAGUUCGGGCGGUGAGGCGGCGGGGCAGAAGCUGCAGGAGAUGGCGGCGGGGACCUCGAGGCCGAGCUUAGGCCAUGGCUUCCCUGGCUCCAGAGGCCGUGGCGGCGUCAGACGCAGCGGCGGGGCGAGGAGGAGGCCGGCCGUCGGGGAGACAGGAGCUCCUCGUCCCCUCGAUCCAGAUCGGGAUCAAGGAGGGAGCAACAGGGGCGCGAGGGAGCGGGCGACCCGCGGGCGGCGGUCGGGGCGUAGGUUUAUUUUCGUAGGUUAACCUUCAUAGAUUUUUUAGGACGAUUUUCGGUCGAUGAACCGUAGUGUUUCACAACGGCAUAGUGGUAGCAUACCGGUUUUUUUGUCGGUCUCGAGGGCGAAAGGGGGGAAUCGCUGGGUUGCGGGAGGUGGGAUCGAGGACGAAAAUUAACCGUCUCUGAUGGGACGAAAAUUGACCGGCAAAGAUUACCAACUGCUCCAUUAGGAGUAAAGAUAUGCACGAUGGCACUUACAAAGUUACAAAGACGGCGACAUGACCAUUCCAUUGCUACUUGUAAGCUCGGUGCGCAUGCUACGUGGCAUUGGCAUACAUACAUGGCCCGCAGGCCUCAGCUAGCCACACUGCUUCAGUGUACACUCAUACAGUGACACACGGAGAACAAUUAGCUACUACGAGUACGUGCUACAACCACAUGGGAGUACACAGGUAGCCACACACACACUUGUUAAUUUACAGGCAGCAAACUCACUCACUCGAGGAUCCCAGCUAGUAGAGUACGUCUACGUAUCAUACCAAUAUUUAGCACGAGCACACAGCACAGGGAAGUUACAUAAGCACGCGCGUCCAAUAUCACACAGCCAUUACUCUUGUCGGUACUCGGUAGGAUGGGGGUUGAAGCCGGUGGUCCGUUCAGACGGUCGACCGACGAGGAUCACGGGCACUUGGGCCUCUUCCUGGGCCCGGCGGUGAGCAUGUCGCGGUAGCAGGGGCACUCGUCGCGGCUGCCGCUCCUCCCCGUCGGCACGCAGGCGCACUCCUCGCAACACAGCCCGCAGUACUUCAUGCACGCCCCCCGCUUUGCGCGCGACCGCCCGCACCGGACCGCGCACUUGCCCGCGCAGAACCCUGCACACCGCAGCACCGGCGCCCAACGCAUACAGCCAUGGAUCAGGCCCGCACGCUGCUUGAUGGAAAGAGGACACGACACGACGCGCGUAUGUAAGCUAUAGGUACGUACCUGAAGCAGCGUCGCCGGCCUGGAGCAGGGAGGCAGCGACGAGCAAGAGGAGGAGCAGGGCGACCUGCGUCUGCACUGCCCUGCACCUCGAUGGCUUGCUCAUCCUGGUCGAGCUUCGAGCUGCAGCUGAGAUGGAUGCAGGAGCUUGCAGAAGGAGCUAGAUAAGGUGGUCGCAGAGUGGGAGUGUGGGUAUGAGGGUGAGUGAGCGAUGAAUGAGUGAUGAUGUAGCUCAGGUCCGGGCACCUUUGUACCGGUCGAUCGGGAAGCCUCUGGAGAACGGGCGACGUGUCGCGCGGUCACGUGCACCUGCUCCUAGAAUUGAUGGGUUUUUGUUGGUGCCCGGAUUCGAGUUAAUGCACGGCGACGGAGGACAGGGCUGCUGGUCUGCUGGGUGUGUGCUGCACUGCGCCGCGGCAGAGGAGGAGCCGGUCCGUGACCACCGUGUUUGAUGAUCAGUGGCGCGCGCUGGCGGCCGUGGUCGCGUCUGCUCCGUGCAUGGCCCGGCGCGCGUGUCGGGCUCCGCCAGGGUCGGCACCACGGGACACGACGUUUGUCCUUUCGCACUGCAUGGUUCCGAGAAGCAUGCAGCGCCCGGAGAGGACAAGCACCCGUGCAUGUCCCGGACAGUACUCAAACAACGGAUCACUAUCCGUGCAAGAGCGGUGAAACUUUAACGUCUCCUUACAGGAUUAGGAUAGAAAUAUUAUAUGAAAUAGAAAUUUAUAUAAAUUGAGAUGACAUGUAUAUUAAUCUCUAUUUUCGUGAAGGAUAUGAAUCAAUCCAAUACAGAAAUACGAAUUCCUUCCUUCCAAAGGACUUUGGAGGAAAAUUUUGUGUAAGAAUCCUAUCAAGGGCGAUGCCUUCCUCAUGGUGGAGGUGGAUGGCAGCGCUCGACCGGGUGACGUCGAGGUCGCCCACAUGCCGAUCUGGGUGCGCAUCUUUGAACACGUUGCUCGGGAGCUUGGAGUAGAACUUGGUAAGGUUCUGGAGGUAGAUGCGGAUAGGGAAGGUAGGAUUUGGGGGGACUACAUGAGGGUCCGCAUAAACCAUGAUGUCGAUGAACCCCUCUGUAACGAACUAGAAUCACAUGAUCUGGCCAAGGGCAAAGUGUAAGUAUGAGAGGCUACCUAGGUUUUGUUGUUAUUGUGGUCAUCUUGGACAUGGGCAGCGCGACUUGAAGCUGCCGGAGGUCCUCCAAGAGAUGAGGUUCCCGGUAGCAAUGCGCUCGUCCCCGUUCAGAAGGAGCAACCACAGGGGUGGGUUUGUAGUGCCAGAGGCAAGUAGCACCCGUCGAUUUCUGCACUUUGGGACAGAAGACACCGGACCGGCAAAGACUGCACAGGCAAGGAUAACAACCGAGAAGUACAACUCCGUGCCGGAUGAUAUGCUGGCUGAUCCGCUGGUGCAAGAGGCUAUUGCAGCGGUCAGCGCACUCAGGUUGGAUGCAGAAAGGAACAGGCAAGCGGAGCAAGGGCUGGUAUCACAGUAUGCUGGUCUGAAUGGUGCUAAAGCAGCUGCUGCUAUAACGAAGACGUCAGAUGAAGACGGGACGAGCUCUAUACCCACCACCCCAAUACAUGAUCCAGCAACAUGUCAGGCCAAAGAAGAAUAGAUGAGCCUCCCCCAAGGUCCACCGCCUCCACUCCAGGCCGCUGGGGAAACAAACGGAGAUGGGAAGGCUGUCAAAGCCAAGGUAGCUGAGAACACGAAACAAAUCAAUCAAAGCCCUAUGCACCCCCCGGGUUUUGAACCAGGGGCGCAGGUGUGUCUUGGGGGAACAGAUGCGAAUGGAGUUAACAGGACAUUUAUGCAAGAUGGAGGCAAGGAGAUGGUGCAGAAGGAGGGUGGAGGAACAAAAGAGAACAGGGUGGAACCGAUGCAGGGAGGAGUGAAGACCCGGGAGCAAGUUCAGGACAGGAACCUGAAGAUGGCAGAGGGGGAUACAGUCACAGUGCUGGGAAAAAGAGGUGAACGUACGAUAGGAGCAAACUUAACUGAUGUUGCUGGGGAUGGUACAAAGGGCACUAGUCAAAACAAGAAGAAGAAGUGGGCCAGCAAGAACAAUGGAAAGGAUGACAAGGGUAAGCCAGGUGGAAAGGAAGCAACCGAGCUUGGGGCUCUCGGUCAAUUGGUGGAUGCCAAGUAGGGCGUCCACUAGGAGCCAUGACACUCCUAAGUUGGAACUGUCGGGGCCUAGGGCAACCCCGCACGGUUCAUGAACUCGUGCAAAUAGUGCACAAGCAUAGGCCCAAAUUAGUUUUUAUCUCGGAAACAAGGCAAAGCAGUGAGAGUGAAUAAUUUAAGGUGGAGGCUUGGCCUCAAGCAUUGUAUUGUGCAGCCGGGCUCCGGUAAAGGUGCCGGCAUUGCACUCUUCUAUGAUGAGAGUGUUGAAAUAAAAGAACUUGGCGUUGGCCUGAGGUACAUCGAUGUGUUGAUCCGCCUGUGUCCAAAUGGGGUUUAAUGGAGAGGUACUUUUGUGUACGGAGAGCCGAAAACACAUGAGAGGCACCAUAUGUGGGAACUUCUGAGAAGAAUCCGAAAUAAUGCAGCUGAACCGUGGCUAAUGAUAGGAGAUUUUAACGAGGCUAUGUGGCAAAGUGAGCAUCUAUCCAGAGCUAGGAGAUCAGAGAAAGGUAUGGCUGAGUUUAGAUCACUGCUGUCAGACUGUAAUCUGCAUGAUAUGGGUUUCAAAGGUACCGUAUGGACCUACGAUAACAAACGACGGGGCCAGAAAAAUGUGAAGGUUCGGCUAGAUAGAGGAGCAGCGAGCCCAGAUUGGAGCUGUUUAUUUAAAUAGGCUAUGAUAGAGCAUCUAGUCACAUCGAGAUCUGAUCACGUACCUCUACUACUCCGCUUUGGGGCAAGAAAAGAGUGGCGACCAAUCAAAAGAAAUUUCAGGUAUGAGUGUAUGUGGGAACGAGCAAGAGACCUGCCGGUGGUGAUCAAUGAAGCCUGGACAGGGGGUGGAAAGGGAUGUUCACUAGCUGAUAUCACAAAGAAACUGAGAAACAUGCAGGAUGUAUUGAGCAACGGGCUAGCAGAGAAUUCAAUUAUGUACAGAGUAAAGUAAGGGCUCUCCGAGAUAGAUUGAAGGGGUUGUACUCGCUGCAGCUUACACCAGAGGUCGAAGAUAAAAUAAAAAGAACAGAAAGUGAGAUUGAUGAAUGGCUCUAUAGGGAAGAAAUGAUGUGGAGACAACGCUCUCGAAUAACUUGGUUGAGGGAAGGAGAUAGGAACACUGAGUUUUUCCACAGAAGGGCCACCUGGAGAAGGAAAAAGAAUAAGAUUACAAAACUUCGCAAAGGAGACGGAAGCUGGGCGGAGAGGGAAGAGGAGAUACACCAAGAAAUAAAUAGUUUCUUUAAGGAACUGUACAAAAAAGAUGAGCAAGUAGAACCUACCGAGCUGUUGGAUUUGAUUCCUCAAAGAGUGGAUGAACGGAUGAAUGCAAGCCUCACAAAGGAAGUCACGGAUGACGAGAUAGGAGAUGCACUGUUCCAAAUCGGCCCACUCAAAGCCCCCAGGCCGGAUGGAUUUCCAGCGCGGUUCUAUCAACGAAACUGGCUGAUUCUGAAGGAAGAUGUCGCGAGAGGAGUUAAACUGUUUUUUGAAGAUGGAGUAAUGCCCGAAGGUGUAAACAAUAUUGUUAUUGUGCUGAUUCCAAAAGGAAAGAAUCCGUCAAGCAUCAAGGACUACAGACCAAUCAGCCUGUGUAAUGUCCUUUAUAAAGUGAUCUCCAAAAUCCUAGUAAACCGUCUACGCCCUUUCCUUGAUGAUCUCAUAUCAGAAACACAGAGUGCUUUCAUCCCGGGGAGGAUGAUCAUGGAUAACGCCCUCAUUGCCUUCGAAUGCUUCCACAAAAUUCAACACAGUAAAAAUCAGAGGGACAAUCACUACGCGUAUAAACUGGAUCUGGCAAAAGCAUAUGACAGAGUUGAUUGGAACUUCCUGGAAGGGGUAAUGGGGAAGCUAGGCUUUGAACAUAAGUGGAUCAAGUGGGUGAUGACAUGUGUUAGAUCGGUUUCUUUCUCAGUCAGAUGCAAUGGGUCUUUACUGGAAGCUUUCUUACCGACCAGAGGACUACGACAGGGAGAUCCCUUAAGCCCUUAUCUUUUCCUAUUUGUGGCAGACGGACUUGCCACACUUCUAAAAAAGAAGGUGGAUAGCGGGGGAAUAUCACCUCUGAAGGUAGCACAAGGAAGCCCGGGUAUAUCCAACUUACUUUUUGCUGAUGUUAGUCUCCUAUUCUUCAAGGCUACCGAUGAGCAAGCAAUACGGGUCAAAGAGACGUUGGUUCUGUUCCAAAAAUGUACAGGACAACUAUUGAGCGAGAGUAAAUGUUCCCUACUAUUCAGUGAAGUGUCCAGUGAACAUGAGAGGGAGGCGAUCAAGAUGAGACUUGGUGUGGAGUCAACUACGUUUGAGAGCAAAUACCUAGGGCUACCAACACCGGAAGGAAGGAUGAAAGAUGAGAUUUUCCAGCCAAUAAUGGAUAGAUUUGGGAAGAGAUGCAAUGAUUGGAACGAGAGAUUUAUGUCCAAAGCAGCUAAGGAAGUUCAUGUUAAGUCGGUUGCUCAAGGACUGCCAACCUUUGUUAUGGGGGUGUUUAAACUGAAUCAAAGCUUCUGUGAUAGCUAUGAGAAAAUCAUAAGGGAUUUCUGGUGGGGGGAUAAAGAUGAUCACCAGAAAGUACACUGGAUGGCGUGGGAGAAUAUGACAAAACCAAAAAGAGAUGGGGGUAUAGGUUUCAGAGAUAUGCAUCUAUUUAACCAAGCACUUUUAGCGAGACAGGCAUGGAGACUACUACAAAACCCGGACAAUCUAUGCGCCAGAGUACUUAAGUCUAAGUACUAUCCCAACGGAGAACUUAUGGACAUAGUCUUUGCCUCAGAUGCAUCCCUAGCCUGGCGUGGGAUCGAAUUUGGCUUGGAGCUGUUAAAAAAAGGACUGAUUUGGCGCGUUGGAAACGGAAGGAAAAUACAAAUUGUAAGAGACCAGUGGAUCCCAAGGAGUUCUGGACUCAAAACUGCUAGCUACAUUCGUAGAUCAAGGUUAAGAUGGCUCAACCAACUGAUACUACCAGAUUCUAGAGAGUGGAACACAGACCUCAUCAGACAAAUAUUCCACUCCUUCGAUGCAGACAAAAUUUGUAAGAUUCGGAUCCCGGCGAGAGAAGUGGAAGAUUGUAUAGCCUGGCACUAUGAAAAGACAGGGGUGUUCACUGUAAAGAGCGCUUACAAACUUGCAGACAUGCUGAAAAGAAACGGUACAGAGGGUCCAUCAAGCUCAACUAGUGAACCAGGAGAUAGAACUGUUUGGGAUGUGAUAUGGAAAGCAAAGAUCCCGGAAAGAAUUAAGAUAUUUGGGUGGAGGGUUGCUACUCAGUCUCUUGCAACCAAACACAACACACACAGAAGAACAAUUGUGCCUGAGGAUAUAUGCGACAUAUGUGGAACUGAACCAGAAGAUGAGUUCCACGCUGUUAUUACAUGCACUCGCAGCAAGGCGUUGCGGAAUGCCAUGAGGACAGUCUGGGAGCUGCCAAAGAGCAAGACUUUAGUAAAACUGGGAAAGACUGGUUGCAAUGUCUGCUCAUCCCACUUCCAGAUCAUGUCAGGAAUAGAACACUAAUGAUUCUAUGGAAAGCUUGGCAACUAAGGAAUAAUGUUAUUCAUGGAGAUGGAAAGGAUACAGUGACAGGGGCCAUGAGACAGCUGGUAAAGCUGGAUGAAGACCUGGAUGUAGCCGCAAGUGGCGAUGAGAAGACAGGAGACAAAGGUAGUCUGUCAGUGUAUGCACAGAGGAUUUGCAAACCAGACGGGUCUGGAACAAACCAAUGGACACCCCCACCAAGGCAGUCAGCAAAGCUGAAUUCUGAUGCAGCAUUUUUACUAGAGUUUGCAAGAGCUUGGGGUGGAGCAGUCGCCCGAGAUCACAAAGGAACCCCAUUCCUAUCUGUGGGCUGCCAGCUACAUCAGUGUAGGACGGUGGAGGAAGCUGAAGCCUCGGCUGUUCUACUGGGCCUAGAUGAAAUGAGCAAAUAUUUUGAUGGGCAUCUAAUAGUAGAGACAGACUGUGCUACUGUAGGGCAUGAACUACAAAGAGAAGGAAGGAGCAGAUCGCCCUGGUGUGGAGUAAUAACAGACAUAAAGGAAUGGAUGAGACACUUUGCCAGCGUGCAGAUUAGCAUUGUUAAGAGGAAUCAUAACAAGCUAGCACAUGAGAUUGCAGCGACGGCUAGAGAAUAUGGAAACCACUUCUUCCUAUCUGAAGUGCAUGACAACGUUAGACAAAGAAUAUUGUCGGAAUGUAACACCACCAUUACAUGAAUGUAUGCUUUGGUUCUAAAAAAAAGAAUCCUAUCAUAUAGAAAUUAUCUAUAUUCCUCUAAACCGAAGGAGGUGCAGGUAGGCGAGCACCACAAUACAAUCAUGACUCCUUUGAUUCACAGGAUAUGUAAACUUGUAGGAUAUAAGACGUCAUGCAUCUCAAAUUAUAUAAAUAGGAAUAAGAAAAUAGAUGACCUUUGAUCUAUACAUGAUAGGGAUUUUUCCAUCGAGUCUUGGCUAAGGUUUAUUUUUGUAUGAAAUCUGAAGAACAGAAAGUAUUCCGUCAUAGAAGUGUGAUUCUAUUCCUACAAACUAAAGAACCCUAAAGAAAAAAAUUCUAUAAAAUCCUAUCCUAUGAAAUUCCUACGAAAUACCUCCAAACCAAAGGAGGCAUCAGAUAUGAUGGAACCGCCUAGCCUCAUGUGCGCCUAGUGUGUGUAUGUAUGUAUUUACUGUAUUUCAUAAAAAAACCAAAAGGCCAAGACUUCAGUUUUUUUUAAAUUGUUGGAAUCAGACGAUUUAGCCAAAACCGUUGGAUUACAAUCCAAUAGUUGGGACCCCUUUCUUUUUUGCCACCACCUCCAAACAAUGUCCCACCCACUGUACCAACCAACAGACGACAACUCCCACCACCCGCGGUCGGCGGGGUUGUCACUAUGUUGCUGUUAACCUUGUCUCCCCCUCCUCCCCCCCUCGAACAAGUUAACAUCUUGUGGCUCCUCCACCGGUGACACGGUGGCAAGCCACAUCGUCCUCAACUCCAGCACGAUCCCGACGAGGCCACAACAUCCCCUACUCGCCUAGGGUAUUACACCCCCUCUUCCACCAGAAUCGGUUGAGGCGGAGAUUUUUUUCCAGCAAAUAUGGAUAAGAUCGCAUUCAAGAAAACAGAUAAUUGAGAUUGGGAGGAGUCUUGAGUAAGGGGAAGAAGGGGUCUAGAAUGUUUUCAUUUCUCCCUCCAUAUAUUUUCGGGCAUCAUCACAUUAUAUAUUCGCAGUCCACUAGGCAUCACAAGUUACCUCGGCCCAGGUUGUAAUAUUCCAAAAUUCUAAAUUUCAGAAUGUUAACUACUCCCUCUGUAAACUAAUAUAAGAGCGUUUAGAUCACUACUUUAGUGUUCUAAAUGCUUUUAUAUUAGUUUACGAUGGAGUAUUGAAGUAGGAUUAACUAAAACAUGCAUGUGCUGCUUGACAUUAGCUAACUUUGACUAGUAUUUGAAGCUUUGGGAGUUUAAAUGGAUAUUGAAUUGAGAGGGAAUAAAAGGAGUUUCAGAAAUAUUCAUUUUUUGAUUUAAUUGGAUCUUUAAAAAUACUCAAAGCAACCGCGAGAGAAGAUUAUAUUACUCUUCAAAAUAAUAGGCUAAAAAUACUUUAAAUAUUAAUUGGUUACAUUUGGAAUUCAAAACAUUUUUGUAAUUAUUUAUAAUCCUAAAAUAACAAUUUAGGAAAUAUUUAUAAAGCCCAAAAUAUAGAUUUAUAAAUUAUUAUAUGUAAUGAUAUUUUGGGACGGAAGCAUUAUUCCCGAGCUCUAAACACUAUAUUGAAUUUAUGUGAUUUUUCUAGAGUUUCCGGAAUUGAAUUGGUUUGAUUUUAAGAUCAAAAUCUAAUUCAAAAGUAGAAAACAAAUAAAAACUGAACAAAAUCUACCCAGCCUGAACAACCGAGUCACUAUCCACCAGGCUAACUGAUCCAAUUCAAGCAAUCAAUGAGGAUGAUUGAUGUGACAAAUCGCUUAAGAUUCAUUGUGACGUCAUCCACAACCGCGGCGCUUCGGUUUCCCUUCAGUUGGAAAACUCAGAUUUAUUUAGUUAUAUGUCAAUAUUGUUGUUGAGUCGGUCGUCCCUAGAGUGGCACAAGUUGCAUCGUUCGGGGCAGGCCUGCUUCUACAAAUGGGUGCCGAUAAUUCGCCUCAACGAGGUCGUCAGAUUGCUCAGCAACACCCUGAACAAGGGACACAUUUAGCAUCCUCUAUGGCACAAACUGGACUCAAACAAAGAGUUGAAUGCUAAAUUUUGUGGACUCGAGGCCGAUUCGGUAAUUGAACGAUGUUCUUCUUAGCGCGAAUAAGCUCGUGCAUCAUCUUUAUCAUUCGGAUUUCAUGAUACGACCUUAGUCGGGCCACCAAUCAACCUCUUCCGAGAGAUGAUAGAGUAUCACAGAGCCUUUCAGUAUCUCUUUUAUAGUUAACCUUUACAUCCAAUUUUGCUCUUUUGAGUCCAUCAGGAUCUCUUCAUGAGCAAGUCCAGCGGUUCUUUGAGUCUGAUUGACAAUCAGAAUCCUUUACGAUCGAGGACCCAGUCGGUUUCCUCAGCGAAACCCAGAUAGAGUCGGGGGCUAAUGACAAGUUCAAUCCUAUGGGGUAGGCCCGUGAAGACCUAUGUCCUAGCUAGGCCUAGGCGUAGAGAUGUUGUGGUACACUUAAGAAUGACAAAGAAGGGUCGUAACCAAUCGGAGUGGUGUUACCAGUCACACACGAUUUUUCAAUCACGCAUGAUCCAUCAGCGAGUUUGAAAGUGCAUUUGGCACUUAAACUAUAUUUUGGUGUGAUGACAAUGUGGUUAGUGGAACUAAUAUCGGUUGCUAAAGUUUAUCUCGGGAUAUUGGUUCCAUAUUGCGUUUGAUGGAGAUGUGUGACCCCCAAUUCAAAAAGAUCAAAGGCGUGGUGAUACGGGGCUAACCCAGUGUAGGCUGAUCUUUCACGAUUGGAGUGGAUUCCCUCGAAGAACAUGAACAACACGAUGAACACGGGGAAGAAUGGAGAGAAAUCACAAGGAGGAAACACUCAAGAACGAGUCCAAUCACACAUCCACUAGACAAUUAAACACAAAAGAUCCACAAGGUACAUGAACAACAAAAGGAAAGAUACAAGGUAAAGUUCAUCUCCAAGAGGAGCUCUUGAGGGGGGUCCUCCCGUGAGGGGGGCUUGACGAUAUCCUGCAGGAUCUUCUCCUAGAUGGAGGUCUUGGCCUCCAAUGGAGUAGUGGUCUCUCUCUCUCUCUCUCAAGAGGAGGAGCGGUAGGAGCAUAGCUCACAUACAAAUGAGCUAUCACUUUGCUGACCCUAACUAGGAGGAGGAGGUCUAUUUAUAGCCUUAGUGCAAAUGGGGGCGAAGUGAAGGGGUACAUGGGCCUCGGGCCCGAAACUGUGCGUAGAUAGGUACCGGACAUCCGGUUGCUCGCGGGCGUCCGGACGUCUGGUAGUCGCUGGACUUCCGCUAAUUCGGCUUGGUUGAAGUGGCACCGGACGUCCGGUCGCGUUGGACAUCCGCUGAUUUGGCUCGGGUGUGGUGGUGCUGGUCAUCCGGUGGAGGCCGAACGUCCGCUCGCUGGGAGGUGUGGCCGGUCGUCCGGUCCUGGACAGACGUCCACUCGCUGUAGCCUGCGUUGGCUGGGACUUGGGUAGGCUGGGGCUUCAAGCGUCGGACGUCCGCUCCCGACCGGUCAUCCGGUGGCUGGAGCUUCUUUGGUAGCUCCUUCUUCUUCCAACUUCGCUUCCACGCUUCCCUCGCAGGUGGUGUAGUUGUACACUUGCGCUUGCACUCCUCCUCAUCGUCCGUAGCAUUCCAACAAUACCUAUGCAUGCACACGAGUGGAGUGUCAAGUAGUAUACCAUCCUCGAAGGGGUCAAGUGAGCACGUGUAAAGGAGAUGAUUGACCUUUGUUUAUGUGAAGUAGAUGUGGCACGUGUCACUUGCCAAAUGGACUCUUGAUAUGGUGAUGUCCGUAGGAUGCUCCGCAUCAUCCCCCCCCCCCCCGGGAAAGAUCCGACCUCGGAUCGAAAACCAAAUCAUCAUGGGAAAGAGAUGGCUUCGCCAUGUAGAAGUGGACAAUCACCGAGUACUCAUCAUCUUCAAGCUUGAAAUGGGCACUCUCCAAUGUCACACCGUGUAGUGAUUCCUUCAAAAGGAGCAAAGACAACAAACACUUGCAAAAACAAAUGUGGUUAGCGUUAGUGCAAAACCAAACAUUCAAGAGGUGAGUCACCAAACAAGUGUCAUCAUCAAGCAUAGCAUAAGGUGUGACAAGGGAUUGUGUCAUGACAUGUAAGCAUAUGAAUUGAGCACAAACAAAGGCAUCAUGGAAACAAACAUGCAAAUGGGAGGUAGAGAUGCUAAUAUUUGUGACAAGAGAGUAAGCAUCAACCUCAUGGUCAUAGCAAUCAUGCACAAAUUGCUCAACGAAAGGUCUAUGGUAGGCAUAAGAAUCAUUCACAACACCAAAUAAAAUGAAAUGUCUAAACGCAUGGGUCAAGUGCAAGACAAUCCAAGCAUAACGUGCAUACGGUGUAGUGAAGAUAGUGUGGCACUCAACCCAAAUAGAAAGAGCAAUUGUUCAUCAUGUGUGAGGCAAUCAAGGCAAGCAUGUAGCAAUCAAUGGGGCAUGGCAUAUGUGACGAAAAGACAUUGUUGCAACCAAACAUAUGAGAGGAGCAAGUAGUCCAAGAAUUGGAUGCAACACACAAGGUAUAUAUAUGUCAUGAGGCAUGGAACGGUGAAAAUGAUAAGUCGAAGCAAGAUCUCUAACAUGUGUGCAAUCAAGUGGUCUAAGAUGACCAACAAGUCUCAUGGUGCAAGAAACACAAGUAGUAUGAUCCACAAUAUCCAUGCUCAAGAAAGAUGUCACAUUGAAGGUGUGUCCUUGUGCAUCCUUCACAAUGCUGAAGCGCAAGCAAGUGCGAUGUAGAAGCGAGUCGUGGUAGAAUGUAUGAGGUUCGCUCUCAAGAGCUCGAAUGGUCAACUCACAUGAAGUGGAAGUCGACACAAAGUCCAAGUAUCCUACACAUGCACACAACAAAGCAAAGAACGCAUGCGCAUGGUAGAUAAACACAUCAUCCAUCAUGAUGGUUCUCUUCUCUUGCACAUAACCAUUAGAAGAACAAGUACAUGAACAAUAUGAUGCAACAAUGGCUAUAUUCAUGGCACUAGGUAUAUGGUGCAAAGAAGCAAGGCAAGCAUGCUUCACAAGAAAUAUGUCAAAAUCUCCAAAUAUAUGCGAGAAUGCUAUGGGGGCAAUCUCAUUAGUAAGACUAAAAGCAUUAUUGCACUCAAUACAUGUCAAAUCAUCUAGCAUGAGAGAUGCAACACAUGGAGAGGUAUGACAAUAAGCAAUAACAAUCAUGUGCAAAGCAUGUAGAUGGUUCUCAUCAACCGCAUGAAAUGAGCAAGUAUGAAUCAUGGGUGAUGCAACAUGAGAAGGAAUAGAGAUCAGGUCUUGCAAACUAGUGGAGCGAAGAUGCAACACACUAGAGGAAAUCAUGGCAAUCAUGUCAUGUGAGCAAAUAAUAGGCACAGACAAUGCACAUGACAUAUCGCAAUCACGAACGCAAAGCAAAAUCAUAGUAUCAUCAUAGGAAUGGGUCAUAAAUGGAACAUGGCAAUAACAAGCAAUGUCUCCACCAAGCUUGAGAAUACACAUACAAGUACUAGAAUCAAUCAUCAUAUGUAAUGCAAAGCAUGGGUCACAAAUGCAUGGCAAAGGCAUAGGAAUAAGCAUAUCGUGCAAAUUGAACAUGGCAAGAUGGGUAUAUAAUAUGUAAUGGGCAUAACCCAUAGCCAAGUGAGGGCCAUGUAGAAGAACUGCGUGAAGUUUUUGCGCAACGGGGACGGCGGUAAGGAUAAUCCACGGUAUUCCAAGUCAUCGUUGCUCUCUAGAGCUCGUUUUGUCAACUCAUGGGAUUGUGAGGUUGACAAGUAUUCAUGGGUACCUACACAAAAUAGACAUAAACCAAAGAAAUUGUACGCAUGGUAAAUGUACACAUCAUCCGUCAUGAUGUGUAUGUGCACGUGAUGCAAUCAUCCUCUCCCCCUUCAAGCGAAACCGUCCUCGGUUUCAGGGCGGUCUUCAAAGGCUCCUUGUGUACAUCAAACACAUGAUCAAUCUUGAUAGCAUGGUUACCCAUAGGUUGCAGCACCCGUUUGAUGCCAACAUCUCGGAACACAUAAGUGUUAGACCUUCCCUCAUGUAUAGCAUUGCGACCAUAUUGCCACAGACGACCCAAUAGCAACUGGCACACAUCCAUUGGCACAACAUCACAAAUCACCUCAUCGUAAUACGUGUCAAUAUUAAACUUUACACGUACCUUGUGAGUCACCUUCAAACGUCCGGAGUUGUACAACCACUCAAUGCAAUGUGGCUGCGGAUGUGGCCAUGCCUUCAGUCCUAAAGCAUCCACCACACGCUUGCUUAUGAUGUUGGUGUAGCUCCCUCCAUCAAUAAUCAACUUGCAACACUUGUUUUUGAUCUUGCAUUGUGACUGAAAUUUUUUCCACCGCUGUCCCGAACUUGGAAUUUGAUCCUCUUUAGCUCGCUGCACCAUGAUGCAUGGCAGAUCAUCAUAAUCUAAAGGAUAGCACAUGAUAGGAUUAGAUUCACUUUCCCCUUCCUUGGGCUUAUCAGACUCUGAGUCAGUUUUGUCUUCGGAAACAUAUCCAUCAUUAACAAGGAGCACUCUCUUCUUGUUCAGACAAUCAGUGCGUUUGUGUCCCCUACCUCCACAUGUGUAACAAACAAUCUCACUAGUACGCAUAGCAGACUGCGCACUUGAAUCAGCCCUUGAAGCCACUUUACUCGCGGCCAUAGAUUCUUUGCUCAUCUCCCUGUGAUCGGUAGCAGCUGACCUAUAAGAUGAAGCUGGCUUGACAUUAUCAUCGUCAUGCGAAUAGGAAUGUCGCCCCAUGCUGAAAUUGGUGCGGCCUUUGGAAACUUGCUUGGCUUUGACCCACUGUUCGGCAUGCUCCGCUUGAUGAAGAAGUUCUUGCAUAUCAUUAUACUGCAUAAAAUCAACACGGUCACGUAUAUCCUCAUUCAGGCCCUCAAAGAAACGUGUCAUUGUUGCAUCAUCAGACUCAUGCACAUUAGUUCUGAUCAUUAGAACUUGCAUCCGUUGGUAAUACUCAUCCAUCGUCAUGGCUCCUUGGACAAGACGUUGAAGCUUUGUGUGUUGCUCCUUCUGAAAAUAAGCUGGCACAAAGCGAGCACGCAUUGUACGCUUCAUCUCACGCCACGAUUCUGGUCGUGCGUCAUUGCGGUUGAGUUGAUCCCACCAUAUUAAUGCAUAACCUGAAAAUUCAAGAGAAGCAAAAUGAAUCUUCCGCUCCUCGGAGUAACGGUGGUUAUCAAAAAUCUGCUCCACAUGCAUCUCCCACUCAAGGUACUCCUCAGGACCGGCCUUGCCUGUGAACGAAGGUAUAGUAAUUUUUAUUCUACCAAUACCUCCGUCCUCGUCCUCAUCACGGCGCCGCCUUGGUCCAUCAUCACGGGGACGAGCAUCCUGUCGUGGUCGGCGAGGCAAGUCACCGCGAGCAUCAGCACCAUCCUCGGACUCAGCAUCAUUGUCAUCGUUGGCAACGUCUGCGUCACGGACGUGUAGAGGUGCUCGCUGCUGCAGGGCAUGUUGUGCCCUUGCUGGAGCAGCCGUGCCGGUUGCCCUUGCCUCUAGGCGACGGAGGGCUUCCUGCAUGGCCUGGAACCCGUCGGUCACCGUCUCAUCGAGGGCCUUCACGCAGUUGUUGAAGUGCUGGUAUGUAGCCUUGAACAUAGCACGGACACUUGGGUCCAGAUCAGGACCAUAUUGCGGCGGCCCAUCAUCCUCCUGCACCUCAUCUGCGUCACGCUUGCUUGCAGUUGACAUCGCACAGUGAUAAACCUGGUGCUCUCUGAUACCAGUUGAUACGGCUCAAAUAGCUUUGAGUCGAUUUUAUGGGGUGGCCCUGAUCUUUCACUCGUGCAAAGAGCUAGCAGAAUAAACUUGAUAGGGCAGAUGAAUUAGAACAGUCCAAAUAUAUCUAGCUGUAGUGGUGAUUCUGCCAUGAAGUAGUAGUAGCUAGCUAUACCAGAUGGAUUAGUAGAUGUAGGAUGGUAUGUGCGUAGACAUAUAGUAACUAGAGGGAUUGUAGUGGAUGGAAGAAGGAGCGUGGGGUAGUACUAGAAUAUAUGGAGGGAUUAAGCUAACGAACGAUUAGCGGCGGCGGCGGCGGAGUAAUUAGCAGAUGAGAACUAAGGAACAGUACACGGAAAGAAAAGAGAUGAGAUCGAUCCUUGCAGGUCAAGAACCGAACUAACUAGUGCCCUGGAGAUCAAGUCACCGGAACACAAGCAAUCACGAAUCCAAUUAUGGAACGCAGGAAACAGACUGGCUCAUCAUCGGAUGCAUCUGAGAAUAUUUUUCAUCAACUAAAACCACCCUUUUACAUGGCCAUAUGGCCUUUAUUUAUAGGCACACGCAUGCACCUAGGCUAAGCUCGUAACUAACAGAAUCACAAACUGGACUUAACAAGGAAAAAAAUAUAAAGCAUCCAACUAGGAUACGGCUGGGACAAAACUAAAACUAGGAGACUUUGACCUUCACGUAAGCUUGCUUUCCUGACCAGAGUUGUACAAGUAGUUGCAUGGAGUUCUAAAACAAGGCACCACUUCAUCUGACGGAAUUAGCUCAAUAGGCAUCUCACCAAUACUUGGACCCCUGAAUAAAACGUCUUGUUUUUGACUUCCUUGGAUAUUUUGUGAGCAAGGCAUGGAGCCUAAUAUACCUCUUUGAUUUGUUGAAUGCAACACCUUCCUUUGACAUAAAGCAGGCACAACAUAUUUUGAUGUAUUUUCCUCACUAUCAGAGUCUUGUUUCGAAGGUAUCUUAUUUAGCACCAAUGGUGAAACAACAAUAUUACCUAGGGUGAUUGCAUCAACACGUGUGAGUUAGCACAAGAUAAUCACUGCUCAAAAAAUUUGAUGCAUGGUAUAAGAACAUGUCAUCCAUCAUAAAAGAAUAGGUAUUGUGUAUGACACGAUGGGGAUAUAAAUUGAGAAUGCAAGUAUAUGGCACAUCAAUAGCAUGUUUAUUCAUGGGGAGCAUAUGGUGCACAUAAUUAUUGGGAUCAUGCAAAGGAUGGGAUGGAUCACAAUCUCCUAACAUGUAUGAGGGAACUAUGGGGGUCUCCUCAUGAGCAAGAUUGGAAACAUCAUAUGGAGAAAAUGGACAACAUCCAAAACAAUGCAUAUCCGAAGCUAGGUGGUCAUGGCAUGGCAUAUGAGAUAAAUGAUGCAAAGGGAGCAUACCAAUAUCAUCACAAGAAAAACAAAUGCAUGGGCUUGUCAUCUAUGCCAUAAGUGCAAAUUGGGUUUAUUUUAAUGGCAUAUGCAUAGUCACUAUGAAGAGAUUGCAAAUAAGACAUAUGGUUGAUCUCAUGCAUAGCAUAUUACAAGUCAAGCAGAUUGUCAAACAUGAUGUGACCUAAAGAAUUGUCACAAGAAAUCCUAUGUAACAUGGCAUCACAACUAAUAGACUCCACAUGGCAAUCAUCAUACUCAUCAUAAAUGGGCAAAUCAUCGCAUGAGAAAAUCAUACUAGCAUGAAGCAUGGUACUAGGUGGAUCAACAUCAUGCAAGCAAUCAGUAUCAAGAAUGUCCACUAGUGGGACUUGAGCAUCACCUUCAACUAUGUUACCUUUGUCAUUCCACUCAAGUGGUGUAGGUGAGGUUGGAAAGACUAAAUGGUGGUCAUCUUCAUCUUGAUGGAACCAUGUGUGUGUGGGGGGGGGGGUGCAUCAUAUUCCACCAUGGCCAUCGUCUUGUCCAAAGGAAGGACGAAGUCGUCGAGGAUUGACGCGUCAUCAUAAAUGGGACCUAGCACCAAAUGAGAAGACACAAUAAAGGUAGAGGUCAAGUUGUUAGAAAUGCAAAUGUCCUCACGAGACCUAUCAACUGUCACACUCUCUCUAUGUGGUGGUUCACUCACUCCCUCAAAAUAUGUGCACUCAAAGUCACAUAUGGUGGAGUCACUCAUCUCACUCAAGUGGUGGGGGUUGUGGCUCUCCUCACAUGAAAAGUGGGGCAACUCAUCAUAUAUAGGGAUAGUGGUGAAGUCACUCUCACUCUCAAUAUGGUGGAAAAAGUCACUCAAGUCAUCAUACGUCGCCGUGGUCGAAGGAAAAAUCCCAUGCUCAACCAUCUCGUCGCCAUCGCCAUGGAUGAAUGCCGAACAUGGCACAUCAUCACUCUCCUCCAUGACCGAAGGGAAAAUCCCAUGCUCAAUCAUAUCAUCAUCGUCAUCGUGGAUGAAGGCCGAAGAUGGCACAUCAUCACUCUCGCCUCCAAAGAUGGAAGCAUCAUCCUUGCUCGCCACCUUGUCGCUCGCCUCCAAAGCUUGGUCCUUGAGAGUCUCCAUAGUCGUACUCGUCGCUGCACCAUCUUGAAAAAGAUUCGAGGUAGACUCGGCAUCAUCAAUGCCACAAAGAGGGAUGGCGGUGAAGUCGAACUUGGGAGCAUCGUCUUGGAGCUCAUCGGGCUUGGACAUCUUGGUGCUACUAUCCUCAUGCUCAUUCUCAUGGAGCUUGGUCGUCGCGAAGUGAUCUUGGGGUGGAGAAGCCUUGGCCUUCAUGAGUUCUUGUUCCGCCUUGAGAGCACCAAUGUAGUUGUCGUCGAGGGACUUGUAGUUCUCGAGGAAGAUAGUCUUGAAGGUGUCGUUGGUCAAUCCCAUCAUGAAGUGGAACUUCAUCGAAAUGGGGUCGUCCACGCCGGCUCGUCACAAGGCAUUCUUCAUCUCCUUGAAGUACGCAUCAAUGGACUUGGAUCCUUGGAUGGUGUUCUCCAAUUGGCGUCGAAGUUGUUCCGUGUAGGUUGGAGGCAUGAAAUCUCGCCUCAUAGCUCUCUUCGUCUUGGGCCAACUCAUGUCGUAGCUCUCCGAAGGUGUGUGAAGCCACCAUGUGGACGCGUAGUCAUGGAAGUUUCUUGUGGUGCACUUCACUUGAUCUUCGGAAGGGACUUGAUGUGGCUUGAGGUAGUCAUCCAUCAAGCGCUCCCACUCGAGAUACUCCUCGGGUUCUUGAGUCCCAUAGAAAGGAAUCUUGUGGUCGGUGUCGAGGUCAUAGUAGCUCAUGGAAGUCGCGGACUUGAGCUUGGGGAGCUUCUAUUGAGCAUAGUCUUGGGGUGCUUGUUGGCGAAGAUGUCGUAUGUCCGUAGGCGAAGAUGCCUUGAAGUCGUUUGGCGAAGAUUCCAAGGGAGAUGGUGAAGUCGUUGAGCGGUUGUGGUGUUGAGCUCUUGACCUUCACAUUCUUUUUGGUGAUGGUGUCGAUGUUGAUGUGAUCUUGACGGAGGUGGUAGCUUGUAGGCAUGUGCUCUUGAGCAUCUUCUCGAAUAUGAGAAAGAUCGCUUGUAGGACUUGAUGAGGGCCUUGAUCUCCUCCAUUUGAGAAUCCAUCUUGGCAUUCAAGUUGUUCGUGGCAUCAAACUCGUCGUUGUUGUUGUAGACCGAAGGUAAAAUGCUUUGCCCAUCCAUCACAAGACUUGAGUAAAUGUGAGUAGGAAAUGAGAUAAACAAUACCAAGUUACCUUUCCCAAAGUUGAGGAUGUAUCCCGUUUCACUUAAUGUGAAAUGAAAGAAUAGUGGAAUUGGUACCGGACUUGUUCACUCACACCUAUGAAGUAAAGCUUAUGGAGUAGCUUGCUAAGGAUAGUGGCACAAAAUUUGAUGCAAAAUGUUAGCAAGAGUCAAUAAUGUUGAAAGAGAUUCACAAAUUUGCAAGUGAAACAAGUAGACCAAUAGAAAUAUGUGGCACACAGAAACACACACACAGAUAGAUAGAUGGAGUCAUGCAACCAAGGAAUGAGCACAAAAUGUGGAAUCCACAGAAAACGCUCGUCUCGCACAACUCUAGAGAGACGCUAGCACGAUUGCUCUAUAGGCAGAUAUGACACUUGUGCACAACCUAUAAGAUGCAAAAUGGAUAAACUUUCUAUCCCAAGUAUGCUAUGUAUGUAUGUUUCGGUGCUUUAGCACAAGAUGAUCCAAGAUGAUCGAGUAUGAUACAUAUGAUACAUUGUGAUGCUAUGGCUAUUGCUUACAAGCUCUUUGUUCACUCGUUUUCUUUGCUUAAAAGCUUAUUCUUUUUUUUUCGAUAUGGCUACUUAUGCAAAAUGCAGAAACCAAGAUAGCAAUAGUGUAUAUGCGGGGACAAACUUGUGACACAAGAUAUAAUAUGAUAGCAAGAUGAUACCAAUAUGAUAUGGUAUAUAUGCAAUGGAAGGUGUAGAUCAAUGAUGACUAAUGUGCACAAGUAACGUUGUCGGCAAUACUCAAAUGCCUAGUCUCAAUAGGCAAGUGAUGCAAAAUGAGCUAGGGGUUAUCAAUGCAAUGGCAAGGGGAAUAUACAAUGGUGUCAUCGAGGUUACCGUCAAUGGUUUGUCAAGUGUACAUAAGGACGAAUAAUGUUGAAGUGGUCAAUGUCAAUGACGACCUUGCGGCGAUGAAGAGUGGCGGUGUGCUCGAUGUAGACCCGUCCCUAAUUAGCCAAAACACCUUAGGAAACGGAAAAACCACAACUCAAAAUCUCAAGGACAAAAGUCAAAUGGUGGUAGCAGAAAGCAGUGGUAGUGGUUGAUGAAGAAGAAACCAUCCCUAAGUAGCUGAAACACCUUAGGAGACUUGAAUCACUACUCAAGCAACCACUAAUUCUAUGGGGAUCAAAAUGGGUUAGGUUGCGGAAGGCUAUUGUGGUAAUGCGAAUGAUGUGGUGGAAGGCCUAGGCAAAGAUGCCAAAGUUCGGAAAAUUUGAUGGUGUCAAAUGAUGUUGGUGCUAUUUGUGUGGGAUGGAGGAUGUCAAUAGCUUCAAAAGGAGCUAAAGAACAUCGAAAUCGGAGUUCGGAUGAAUUAGUUAUGGGCAAAACAAAAUCAACCGAAGUUGAUACCUAUAGGUGUCGGACGUCCGGUGGGGCUUGGAAAUCCGCUAUUUCAGCUCGGGUUUGGGGUUCCGGUCAUCCGGUAAAGGGCGGACGUCCAGUGGGUCGGGGUCAACACAGGAUUUGAGUUCCGGGACGCGAUUUUGGGGUCAAAAUUGAGCGAAUUUCAUGGAUAAAAGAUGGAGAAACUUGGGGAGAUGCUAGAUCCACUCGAAACCAAGAAAAUCCAUGGAUCAAAAUCAACAAAACAUCAUCAAACCAACAAAUCACCAAAAAUUUUGGGGCUAUUUUUGGUGUGGAUUUUCAAAAUUUAGGAAGAAAUCAAGCAAAAGAAGGCUAAAAAACGGUGGGAGGGACUCCAAAUUCAUGAUCAACGUGGCUCACAAUACCAUAUGAUACGGGCCAAACCCGGUGUAGGCCGAUAUUUCACAAUUGGAGUGGAUUCCCUCGAAGAACACGAAGGACACGGGGAAGAAUGGAGAGACAUCACAAGGGGGAAACACUCAAGAACGAGUCCAAUCACACAUUCACUAGACAAUCAAAAUCACAAGAUCCACAAGGUACAUGAACAACAAAAGGAAAGAUACAAGGUAAAGUUCAUCUCCAAGAGGAGGUCUUGAGGGAGGGGGGAGGGUCCUCCCGUGAGGGGUUCUUGAUGAUAUCCCGCAGGAUCUUCUCCUAGAUGGAGGUCUUAGCCUCCAAUGGAGUAGUGGUAGGAGCAAAGCUCAUAUACAAAUGAGCUAUCACUUUGCUGACCGUAACUAGGAGGAGGAGGAGGUCUAUUUAUAGCCUUAGUGCAAAUGGGGGCGAAGUGAAGGGGUACAUGGGCCUUGGGCCCGAAACUAUGUGCAGACAGGUACCAGACGUCCGCUGGUACCAGUAGUCCGGUUGCUCGCACGCGUCCGGACGUCCAGUAGUUGUCAGACUUCCGCUAAUUCGGCUCGGUUGAAGUGGCACCGGAUGUCCGAUCCCGUCGGACAUCCGCUGAUUUGGCUCAGGUGUGGUGGUGUCGGUCGUCCGGUGGAGGCCGGACGUCUGCUCGCUGGGAGGUGUGGCCGGUCGUCUGGUCCUAGACGAACGUCCGCUCGCUGUAGCCUGCGUUGGCUGGGACUUGGGUAGGCUGGGGCUUCAGGCGCCGGGCGUCCGCUCCCGACCGGUCGUCCGAUGGCUGGAGCUUAUUUGGUAGCUCCUUCUUCUUCCGUCUUUGCUUCCACACUUCCCUCGCGGAUGGUGUAGUUGCACACUUGCGCUCGCACUCCUCCUCGUCGUCCGUAGCAUUCCAAUGCAUGCACACGAGUGGAGUGUCAAGUAGUAUACCAUCCUCGAAGGGGUCAAGUGAGCACGUGUAAAGGAGAUGAUUCACCUUUGUGUAUGUGAAGUAGAUGUGGCACGUGUCACUUGCCAAACAGACUCUUGACAUGGUGAUGUACGUAGGAUGCUCUACAUCACGUGGUCUACUGGCGAUUUGACGAUUUAUUUUUUGGUUUGAUUCGAGUCGUAGGAUAGACCGCACUAUUAAGAGGGGUCUCUAACGAAGUCUGUCGUGGGGGAAUGCUAUUGCCAAAACCUAUACACCUAGCCUACCUACUCCCACCACCCUCCUAUACAUUGUGUGUUGUCGGGUACCCAGAAAGCUUGCAACAGAAUGUUUCUGGAUAACUCGUGUGCACGGGGUCUUUUGACCCCCGUGCGCACGGGGUAGUCAGAAACUCUCUGAGUACCCCGUGCACACGGGGUCAUUUGACCCCGUGCGCGGGGUGCUUGCAAACUCUCUGAGGACCCUAGUGCGCACGGGGUGGUGCGUAUGUCUCUAAGUACCCCGUGCGCACGGGGCUGACAUAGCGCAUGCACACAGGGUCCAAUGGGCAGAAACAACCGCCCACUCAAGAACACUAUAUAAGCCCCCUUCUUCCACCUCCAUCCCCAACCCUAAUGUCUUAUUGAGCUCCACCAUUUCUACACUCCAUUUUGCUCAAUACUCUCAAUCCCUCCACCCAAACUUGUUGAAACUUUGGGGAUUGGGAGAGCAAGACCCGAUCUACAUCUUGACCAAACCAAAUCGCGUUCCCCGCAACAUUUCUUCCCCAUUGACUUGUUACUCUUGGGGCUUGGGCUCCUAGGAGGUUAGAGGUUGCUCCGGAAGUUUCCUUGGUUUUGGUGUGCUCUGGAGAAGUUUGUAAAGGUGUGGUGGUCGCCUUCAAAACCAACCCUGAGUGAUUCGAGGUCUGUUGGGGGUGACUUGAAAGAGAUUAGGUGAGCCUUCGGUGGCGUUCUGCAAGCUUUGGCUCCGGCACCGCUCUAAACGGAGAGUAGCUCUUCCCCAAGGAAGAAUGAACUUCGGGAUAAAAUCCACGUCCUUGUCUCACUUGUGGUUAAUCCUUUCCCGCACUUUACUUUGCCUUGUAUGCUUGUCGGCUUGCUAUUUAGAUUGUUGUCUAGCAUACUUAGCUUUAAGCUUGCUUGUCAUAUAGGUUGUGUUCACCUAGUUGCAUAUCUAGUGAACCCUAUUUAUCCGCUAAACCUCAAAAUUAACAAGAAAGAUUAAAAUUUGUAGUCUCCUAUUCACCCCCCUCUAGUCGACCGUAUCGAUCCUUUCAAUUGGUAUCAGAGCCUUGUGCUCUAAUAUAAGGUUUUACAAUCUUAGAGGAUAUGGUCGAUCCAGGGAAUGUGGUAGGUGGCACACCCAUUGUGGAGGAUGGUGAAAACUUACCCCCCCGAUGCACUUGGUGCUCCGGUCAUUGCUCCCGCCGCUCCUAUUAAUCCGGGUGCCCCUUGACCGCAACCGAUAUUAUUUCAAUGUUUGUGGACCUCAAAGCCGCUAUGUUGAAAGAAGUUCGUUCCUCGGUCAAGGAGGAAUUUGAUGCUCGCUUAAAGCCCUCGAUAUCCGCAUCAAACUCAUUUGAUCCAAAUGCUAUUCAUGAUGCAUAUGACUCGAGAGAACCUCUUCCAUUUCCGUCUCGUACUCAAGUUCCCAAGUACAAUGUCGUGGAACCCUUUUACUCUCCUCAACCCUUGCAACAUCCUCGCAUUAAUCCUGUUGGGCCUCUGCCCCCUUUGAAAGCUAAUGCGUUUGCUAAGUGGAAGCUAGAUAUGGAGUUUCAUGUUCGCAGUGCUUCAACACAGCUUUGGUAGAUUGUGGUCAAUGGAUUCAACCCCAAGGACCCAAUCAAUCUCACUCCAAUAGAAGCGGUUGAUGAUCAACUUAAUGCAACCACCCACAACAUGUUGUGCACCGCGGUGACCGAAGACUAUAGUGACUCCAUUGCUCUCCUUAAGACCGCCAAGUAAAUCUGGGAUUGCCUCGAGGAGGCUCUCGAAGGAGAUGAAGCAAUUCGAAGAUCUCGGUUGGAUUUGCUCAAGCAAUAAGUCAAUCUCUUUGUGAGGAAUGAGGGCGAGUCCGCGGAAGAGGUUUACCGAAGGCUAAAGUACCUUGUGCUCAACUUGAGAACCUUUGAGUGCACUUGGGCAAAUGAUGAUUUCAUCAAGGACAAGUUCAUAGAUGCUAUGGUUCUCAUGAAACAUACCAUGGCCACGAUGAUACAUCAACGUCCAGAUUAUCACAAGUUGACCGCGGCUCAAGUUAUCUCCACUUUCUCCACUCGUGUUCUUUUGGAGACCAAGUCCAAGAAGACCUUUGCAAUUGCUCAAGCAACCAGAACUCCAAUCUUGCCUUGAAGGCCAAGAAAGUGAUUAGUGAUAGCCCACAAGUAUAGGGGAUAGUUGUAGCCUCUUUCGAUAAGUAAGAGUGUCGAACCCAACGAGGAGCUAAAGGUAGAACAAAUAUUCUCUCAAGUCCUAUCUGCCACUGAUACGACUCUACGCACGCUUAGUGUUCGCUUUACCUAGAACAAGUAUGAAACUAGAAGUACUUUGUAGGUGUUGUUGGAUAGAAUUGCAAGAUAAUAAAGAGCACGUAAAUAAAAAGUAGGGGCCAUUUAGAUAAAGAAGCAAUAAAGUAAAUAUAGCGAGUGUGGAAAAGUGGUGGUAGGAGUUGUGAAAUUGUCCCUAAGCAAUUGACUACUUUACUAGACCGAUAGCAAGUUUUAUGUGGGAGAGGCCACUGCUAGCAUGUCAUCCCUGACUUGGAAUUCUAUGCACUUACAAUUGGAACUAUUAGCAAGCAUCCGCAACUACUAACGUUCAUUAAGGUAAAACCCAACCAUAGCUUUAAGAUAUAUUGGCCCCCCUUCAAUCCCGUAUGCAUCAAUUUCUAUGCUAGGUUGAAGCUUGUGUCACUCUUGCCCUCCAAUACAUAGUCCUAUCAACAUACAACUAACCCUAUGGUGUGAUCCACGCACACGCUCAUAUGAUGGGAACCAAAGGACAACAACAUAACCACAAGCAAAUUAAACCAAUCAUAGCAAUUCAUCAAUCACUGAUAGGACAACGAAAAUCUACUCAGACAUCAUAGGAUGGCAACACAUCAUUGGAUAAUAAUAUGGAGCAUAAAGCACCAUGUUCAAGUAGAGGGUACAGCGGGUUGCGGGAGAGUGGACCGCUGAAUAUAGAUGAGGGAAGGUGAUGGAGAUGUUGGUGAUGAUGAUGGAGGUGUUGGUGUAGAUCGCGGUGAUGAUGAUGGCCCCCGACAGCGUUCCGGCGCCACCGGAAGCAAAGGGGAGAGAGCCCCCCUUCUUCUUCUUCUUCCUUAACCUUCUCCCUAGAUGGGAGAAGGGUUUCCCCUCUGGUCCUUGGAUCCCAUUGAGGGAGUCCUGGAUAAGGGGGUAUCCGGACAGCCGGACUAUAUACUUUGGCUGGACUGUUGGACUAUGAAGAUACAAGAUUGAAGACUUUGUCCCGUGUCCGGAUGGGACUCUCCUUUGCGUGGAAGGCAAGCUUGGCGAUCCAGAUAAUAGAUCUCCUUCUCUGUAACCGACACUGUGUUACCCUAGCCCCCUUCGGUGUCUAUAUAAACCGGAGGGUUUAGUCCGCAGGAUAACAACAUUCAUACCAUAGGCUAGCUUCUAGGGUUUAGCCUCUACGAUCUCGUGGUAGAUCAACUCUUGUAAUACUCAUAUCAUCAAGAUCAAUCAAGUAGGAAGUAGGGUAUUACCUCCAUCGAGAGGGCCCGAACCUGGGUAAACAUCAUGUCCCCAGCCUCCUGUUAGCAUUAGCCUUAGACGCACAGUUCGGGACCCCCUACCCGAGAUCCGCCGGUUUCGACAUCGACAUUGGUGCUUUCAUUGAGAGUUCCUCUGUGUCGUCGCUGUAAGGCUCGAUGGCUUAUCCAACCUUCAACAAUGCCGUCCGGGGUGAGGCCUUCCUCCCCGAACAGAUCUUCGUGUUCGGCAGCUUCGCACUGCGGGCCAACUCGCUUGGCCAUCUGGAGCAGAUCGAUAGCUACGCCCCUGGCCAUCAGGUCAGGUUUGGGAACCUAAACUGCAUUGCCGACAUCCGCGGAGACUUGAUAUUCGACGGACUCAAGCCCACGUCAGGAGCGCCGAACGAUCGCGAUGUGCAUGACUUAGAUCUGCCGUCGGACAAUAUUCGGGAUAUCGCACGUGCUACCGCUCCGGACUUCGAUCCAGAGCAGAUCGUGCCAUCCGAGGACGGGGGGAUGGACCCCGCCACGGAGGUCACACACUCAUCAAUGUUAGAGCCGAACAUAGAUUCCACUCCUAAGGAAAUCUGUGUCGCCGAACCCCCGGACUUGUCUCCGGCCGCCGGUUCCGGACCGCGCGCAUCCGUGCCCGUCGGAACUGAUCAGGCACCAAUCAUGGAAUUCACUGCCGCGGAUAUCUUUCUGCACUCCACCUUUGGCGAUGUGCUAAAUUCGUUAAAGUCUCUCUCUUUAUCAGGAGACUCUUGGCCGAACUAUGCCCGGCCCGUGUGGGACACGGAUGAUGAAGAAAAUCGCAAACCACCCACCACCCACUUUAGAGCCACUAUCGAUGACCUAAUAGACAUGCUUGAAUUCAACUCUGACAACAUCGAUGGUAUGGACGUCGAUGCAUUGGACGAUCUGGAACCACCGCCCAUAGGGCGCUGGACUGCCACUUCAUCAUAUGACGUCUACAUGGUGGAUACGCCUAAAGAAGACAAUGGUGACAAAAAGUACACAACGGAGGACAAACCCCUGGGAAAAAAAUCAAAACGACGACGCAGGCGCCGCUCUAAGUCCAGUCACAGUAAAAAUAGCGAUAACAACGCAAAAAAGGAUGACACUCCGGUUGACUCCAAAGGCAACAACGACCAUAGGGACCCAGCGAUGGAGCAGGAUAAGCCAGGUCGUGUCGAACACAACCCGGAGCAGACGCCCGACCACAGCGAUCCCGAGGGCCGAAAUCAGCAAACUGCCUCCGGAGAGGAGGACAGUCCGGUUGAUGAUGCAUUCAUCAUCCCGGAAAGACGCUUGGAACAAGAUGACCUUCGUAGAAGGCUUAUGGCCACAACGAGGAGCUUAAAGAAGCAGAAACAGAGGCUUAAGGCCGCACAUGAUACGCUCAACCGAAGAUGGAAGAAAGUGCUAGACACUGAAGAAAGAUAUGGCGACGAUCGCCACACAAAGAGCUACCCAAAGCGCAAGCUGCUGCCGGAAUUCGACGAAGAGGCUGCAGAGCCCAUUCCGCCAAAGAACAAUACGGCCAAUCGGCCGGACCAGCCACUUAAUGGCCGCAAUAGAGCAGCCACUGACGCCGCAUACGAUUUACGUGAGCGCCUGGACAAAAAGGCUGGUGCAACCAGGUCCGUCUAUGGAUCCAGAGGGCGCGCUCCAGCACAGGAUUAUGGUCACCAAAAUGAUCAUACUGAUCAAAUACCAGUUCGGAAUCAAACCCGGAUACAACAAUCGUCGACAACAUGCCACGACAUGUCCAGGUUCAGAGGGGCCGCGCACCCCCUGUGUUUCACCAACGAGGUGCUGGACCACGAAUUUCCACAAGGGUUCAAACCCGUGAACAUAGAGGCAUAUGACGGAACAACAGACCCGGGGGUCUGGAUUGAGGAUUUUAUCCUUCACAUACACAUGGCCCGUGGGGACGACCUCCACGCCAUCAAAUACCUUCCCCUCAAGUUGAAAGGGCCAGCUCAGCACUGGUUGAAAGCCUCCCCGAAAAUUCAAUUGGAAGUUGGGAGGAACUUGAGGACGCUUUCAGGUCCAAUUUCCAAGGGACCUAUGUCCGACCUCUGGAUGCAGACAAUUUAAGUCACAUAAUACAACAGCCCGGAGAGUCAGCUCGCAAGCUUUGGAACAGAUUUCUCACUAAGAAGAACCAAAUCGUCGACUGUCUGGAUGCCGAAGCCCUAGCGGCCUUUAAACACAGUAUCCGGGACGAGUGGCUAGCCAGGCACCUCAGCCAAGAAAAGCCAAGGACGAUGGCGGCCUUAACAAGACUUAUGACCCGCUUUUGUGUGGGCGAGGACAGCUGGUUGGCCCGUAAAGGCACCAGCGACCCGGGCACAUCCGAAAUUCGAGAUGGCAAUGGGAAGCCACGACGCAACAAGAAUAAGCGUCGGAGCAAUGAAGAUAGUCUGGACAACAUGGCAGUCAACACUGGAUUCAGGGGCUCACGACCCGGUCAAAGAAAGAAGCCAUUUAAAGGCAGUAAUGAAGGACCGUCCGGCCUAAAUAAAGUCCUGGACAGACUGUGCCAAAUCCAUGGCAUCUCGGAAAAACCUGCAAAUCAUACUCACAGAUAGUGUUGGGUCUUCAAGCAGGCCGGCAAGUUAAACGCGGAACACAAGGGAAGGGGAAACACCAAGUGAAGACGAGGAUGAGCCUCGCCAGCCGAACACUGGGGAAUAGAAAAAAUUCCCGCCAGAAGUUAAAACAGUAAACAUGGUCCACGCAACCCACAUGGAGUUCGUUGCCCCCAAAUUCAACCCCUGGGCGGCCUGCCCGAUCAUUUUUGAUCACAGGGACCACCCGGCCAAUAUCCGGCACGGAAGAUCGGCUGCCUUGGUGCUCGACCCAAUAAUUGAUGGAUACGAUCUCACUCGAGUCCUAAUGGAUGGCGGCAGUAGUCUUAAUCUGAUAUAUCAGGACACCAUCCGCAAGAUGGGGAUAGACCCAUCCAAAAUAAGCCAGAGUAACACCACCUUUAACGGAGUGAUACCAGGCGUUGAGGCCCGCUGUCGGGGCUCCCUCGUAUUAGAAGUAACAUUCGGUUUUCCCGACAACUUCAGAAGCGAGGAAUUACUCUUCGAUAUUGCUCCUUUCAGCAGCAGUUUUCAUGCAUUACUCGGAAGAACGACCUUCGCUUGCUCUAACGCAAUACCGAACUACGCUUGCCUUAAACUUAAGAUGCCCGGCCCACGUGGCAUCAUAAUGGUUAGUGGAAACACAGAGCAGUAUGCGGUAGCUCCUGUAGCCGGACACUAAGCGGCCUCUCCCACCAGAACGCAUGAUCGGUCAUUAAGACCACAGACACGGCUAGACGAGUCCGGUGCACCACCAUCAACAAUAGCCCGGAUAAACCCUGGCUGGGUGCUAUACAUAUAUCCCCAUAAAUGGUACUAGGGGCUGUCAACACAUAAUAAAGCCCACAAUUCGGCUUGCCUUAUCAAUAGGCCAAUAUCUCAUAUUUCUAAUAUCCAUUGAGAAUAACCAACUUCCCGCACGCUUACUCCUCUAUAUGAUUUUUCGUUUUACAGACACUACUCAUGCGACACCCUUCCAGGAUACGGCACAAUGAAGACAAAGGUGGAGACGUGCAGUAGGGCCCUGCUCAAAGGUUUCUCUUUAGAUUAAGCCCCUGUGUAAACCUUCUUUACUGUCUUUUGUUGCUUGACAUCUCAUGGGUAUUCCAUACACCAACAAGGGACACUGGCGUUAUAGGCUUUUCGCCACGACAGAGCAAUGCACGUACCUGGAAAUACAGGGUCAAGGGCGUUACUCAGCCCAAUAUUUGUUAUAAAGUCCGAAUACCUUCGGGAGUGUUCGGCGUCGGGAGUUUGGCCUUAUAUGCAUCAUCUCUGAAUCAUGUCUUUGGUCAAAUGUUGGGUUAGCCCGGCUCCUGGGUUUGCUGCCUUACGUUUCGUUCUAUCAGCUAAGGUGCCCAAAGGAGAACUACUGCGAUUGUGCCCUGGUUAUUCUGGAUGAGCACCUCAGUAGAGAAAGCCCAAAACUGACUGUCAUGAUACAAAGAGAGACUGGUCAACCACUCGAGGACUCAUCGGAAUCUAUAGGAUUCCUCCGCAUCAGUGAAGGACCGAUUUCCCGGUCAAGUACGUACGUGCAUCAUAUCCGGAUGCACGCGGAAGUACUAGGGGCUACAUAGUAGCCCCACCUUUCAACUCCUAUAGCUAAGUGAAAGUGUUACAGCUAUAUAGUCCGGUUGCCUGGUUCGACGUGCGAUCACCUCCUUAAUGGACCAAGACGUUGGAUCAAGUGUGUUUACGCAUAUUUUUUCGAACACCCCGCAUCAUAUGCGUGGGGGCUAAAGCCAACGACUGCUAACUUUCAUGUUAUAUGCAUACAUAAACGGCCACACAGGAGACAUUCUAAUACUUUCAGGCAAAAGUAUAAAAACAGCCUCUAUAAUUAACACAUAAUUGUUUACAAUCUAUAGACUUGUCACUCGAACAUGACAUUCUUCGAGCACCGAGCCUCUAUUCUACGGGCACCUUCUAUGACCUACUCAAAAUAGUGCUCGGCUGGGUCUUGGCUCCCUGCCGGACCCUGGGUUGCAAUGCUGGUGGCCUCCAUAUCCGCCCAAUAUGUCUUAACACGGGCAAGAGCCAUCCGCGCACCCUCUAUGCACGCCGACCUCUUCACGGCAUCGAUUCAUGAUCUGGCGCCAAAUAAUUGCUGCACUAAACCAAAGUAACUGUCCGGCCUCGGUCCUUUCGGCCACAUAUGGUCUAUUAUAGACCUCAUAGCAAGACCGGACAACCUAUGGAGCUUGGCUAUAGCAGCCAUCUUCUCACUUAAUGGCAAUAAGCGCGUUGGAGCGCUAAAUUGCGACCAGAAUAGCCUUUCUAUUUCAUUAUCUUUAUGAUACUUGAAUUAGUUGGUCGCGUCAGCCGUACUCUUCGCCAAGUCCGCAUACUCAUCUGCAGCGCUCCAAACUUGAUCCAAAGGAGCAUACUUUGGAUCUAAGAACUUCAUUCACAACAAAUAGGGGUUUCCAGCCGCGAUUUCUCCGGCUUGUCGAAGUUCCUCUUGCGCGUCUCUAAUGUCAGAGUGCAUCUCCUUAGCUGAAUCCAGCGCCUUCUUCAGGUCAGCUGCCUUUGCCUGAUUCUCCUUCUCGAGAAGCUCAUACCGGCGCUCAAUUUUCGCUUUACCUAGAACAAGUAUGAAACUAGAAGUACUUUGUAGGUGUUGUUGGAUAGAAUUGCAAGAUAAUAAAGAGCAUGUAAAUAAAAAGUAGGGGCUGUUUAGAUAAAGAAGCAAUAAAGUAAAUAUAGCAAGUGUGGAAAAGUGGUGGUAGGAGUUGUGAAAUUGUCCCUAAGCAAUUGACUAUUUUACUAGACCGAUAGCAAGUUUUAUGUGGGAGAGGCCACUGCUAGCAUGUCAUCCCUGACUUGGAAUUCUAUGCACUUAUGAUUAGAACUAUUAGCAAGCAUCCGCAACUACUAACGUUCAUUAAGGUAAAACCUAACCAUAGCAUUAAGAUAUAUCGGUCCCCCUUCAACCCCGUAUGCAUCAAUUUCUAUGCUAGGUUGAAGCUUUUGUCACUCUUGCCCUCCAAUACAUAGUCCUAUCAACAUACAACUAACCCUAUGGUGUGAUCCACGCGCGCGCUCAUAUGAUGGGCACCAAAGGACAACAACAUAACCACAAGAAAAUCAAACCAAUCAUAGCAAUUCAUCAAUCACCGAUAGGACAACGAAAAUCUACUCAGACAUCAUAGGAUGGCAACACAUCAUUGGAUAAUAAUAUGAAGCAUAAAGCACCAUGUUCAAGUAGAGGGUACAGCAGGUUGUGGGAGAGUGGACUGCUGAAUAUUGAUGGGGGAAGGUGAUGGAGAUGUUGGUGAUGAUGAUGGAGGUGUUGGUGUAGAUCGCGGUGAUGAUGAUGGCCCCCGGCGGCGUUCCGGCGCCACCGGAAGCAAGGGGGAGAGAGCCCCCCUUCUGCUUCUUAUUCCUUGACCUUCUCCCUAGAUGGGAGAAGGGUUUCCCCUCUGGUCCUUGGCUCCCAUGGCGUGGGAGGGGAGAGAGCCCCUCCGAGAUUGGAUCUAUCUCUCUGUCUCUCUCUGUUUCUGCGUUCCCCGAUUCUGCCCUGGCACCAUUUCUUUUAUAUCUGAAGAUCUGUAACUCCGAUUGGAUUGAAACCUUCGCCCAAAUAUCUUUCCAAAAUUUAGCUUUCUUGUGGCCAAAGUAGAGCAUCAACCGCCUUAGGAGGGGCCCACGAGGGUGGGGGCCGCGCCCACUUAAAGUGGUGGUGUGGGCCACCCUCGUGGCCACCUCGGGCACCGUCUCGCGUUGAUUCUUCCUCCCAAAAAUCACAAAUAUUCCAAAAUAAGUCUCCGUCCAUUUUUAUCCCGUUUGGACUCUAUUUGAUAUGGGGUUUCUGCGAAACAUAAAACAUGCAACAAACAAGAACUAACACUGGGCACUGGAUCAAUAUGUUAGUCCCAAAAAAUAGUAUAAAAUUUUACCAAAAGUAUAUGAAAGUUGAAUAAUAUUGGCAUGGAACAAUAAAAAAUUAUAGAUACGGCGGAGACGUAUCAAUUAGCCAACCCACAAGGGAUGAAGAAGUGAGUGAGGAGACUUGUGAUGAAGAUGUUGACACCUCAUGCCCGGCAAAUGACUUUGCGGAAGACUUGGCUCUCUUAAUCAAAAAGUACUCCGGGACCAUGGCAAACAAAGGGAAGAAUCUUCAAGGAAGAUCAUUUGGACGAAGGAAAUGCUACAAUUGUGAUAUCCCAAGACACUUUGUGCAUGAUUGUCCGUAUGAGAGAUGUGAAGAGAAAUCCGAGAAGCUUGUGCUCAAGAAUAAGAAGUUCACCAAGUUUGCAAAGAGGAAAGAUGACAAGGCUCUUGUUCUUGAAGAAUACAUGUCCGGAGAUGAAGAUGACGGUGAUGAUGAGCAAGUGGCACGACCGCCAUUGCCAUGCAUGGCACUACCUCCUCCUCCACCACCGGCCUCUUCGACUCUCCAAACGAGGACAAGCCUUUCACUCGUCGGUGCCUUAUGGCCAAAGAGGUAAAAACUAAGUCCAAAUCCCAAAAACCCGCCAUCUACACUCCCAAUGUCUCAUGUGAGAAAGUGGUGGAUGAAUGUGACGAAGGCGUGGAUAAUGAUGAGGAAUCCUUGAUGGCUUUCAUGGUAAAAACUAAGUACAAAUAAAAAAAACACCGUCUACACUCUUCAUGGUGAAGCUCAUGCUCGCUUUGGCGAUCUCCUUAAGUCACUCGCCGAACGUGAUGACUUCAUUGAGAACGUUGAAAACCUCCUCAUAGGGGAAAAAGAGAGAGUCGAACUCCUCGAGCACGAACUACAUGAAGAGAGUAUCAUGAGAUCAUCACUUGAGGAAGCCUUGUCGACUAAUCAAAUUGACUUUGUUAAAAACCAAUGAUGCUUUGCAACUUGCUCUUGAGAACAAAGAUGCCCUUAAUGUUAAAUAUGAAAAGCUUCUAGUUGAUCAUGCGAGACUUUGUGAGGAACACGAGUUCCUUGUGACUAGUUCCAAGGUUGUCAAAGGCGACCUCAUUGCCUUCAUUGAGUCUUAUGCUCAACUUAAAGCUACCACCAUUAAGGCACUCACUUCCGUACCUCAUAUGGAGUCAAAUGAUGGUUAUUGUAUAGCUAGCUUUGUUCAUGAUUGCACCUCGCUCCAAGAGGAGAAUAAGAAGUUAAUGGCCCAAUUUGAGAAAGGCCUUGUGUCAUGCAUUCAAGGGGAGAAACACCUCAAUGACCUCUUGAGCAACCAAAAGGAGUGUGUUGCCAAGGAGGGAAUUGGGUUUAAUCCCGCAUCCAAGAAUGGUAAGAACAAGAAGAAGAGUAACAAGAAGAAGACCAGUCCUCCUCCUUCUCCUCCUCAAAAGGUGGUGUUUGUGCAAGAGGGGCACAAGGAGAAGGAGAAGUAAAAGGUGUUUUUGGGAAUGGCAAGGUCACUAGGGACAAGGCCAUUCCCAAGGUUUUCGCCGGCAAGAAUAAUCCAUCUUAUGUCCUCAUGAGAGGAAAUGAUGGCUAUACCUUUGCAAAAUUUUGUUGGCACUAACUAUAAUGAUUAUGCUUGGACUAUUUGGGUGCCUAAGACCCUUGUUGCUAACUCUCUAGUACCCAUUGCAAAAUGGGUACCUAAAACCAAAGCUUGAUUCUUGUAGGACUAUAACACUAGUGGAAAACAAUGGGUGAUCGAUAGUGGAUGCACCAAUCAUAUGACCGGGGAAAGGGAGAUGCCUAUGGAGUUCGUUGAUUCUCUCAAGGCCUCUUUGAACAUCUCCUUUGGUGACAAUAGCAAGGGAAAUGUAUAGGGGUUGGGAAAAGUGGUAAUCUCUAACGAUUCCUCUGUUUCAAAUGUCAUGCUUGUCCAAUCCCUUCACUACAAUUUACUUUCAACAAUUCAAUUGGCACGUGUCGGUUACGAUUCUCAUUUCAGUGAAUUCCAUGUGACCGUAUUUAAGAGAAGCAAUCUCAAAGUGGUCUUUGUUGGGAAUUUUGAAGACAAUGUUUAUGUGGUUGAUUUCUCAAAACAGAGAAGUCAUCUUGCAACAUGCCUAAUGGCCAAGACCGACGUGGGGUGGCUAUAGCACCGACGCCUAGCCCAUGUUGGCAUGAGAAAUUUACAAGCUCUCUUAAAGUGGGAGCACAUCCUUGGACUAACCAAUGUGUAUUUUGCCAAAGAUCGUCCUUGUAGUGCUUGGAUUGCCGGGAAACUACAUGAAAAGCUCAUAAAGUGAAGACUAUCAUCACAACCUUUAGGCCCCAUGAGCUUAUCCACUUGGAUCUUUUUGGGCCUCCAACUUAUGAUAGUUUGAGUGGGAGUAGGUAUUGCCUUGUCAUUGUUGAUGACUACACAACAUGUACUUGGGUGUUCUUUCCCAAGACCAAAGAUGAAACUCAAGAAACAUUCAUCAACUUUGCCAAAGAAGCUCAACGUUAACAUAAUUGUGAGAUCAUGGCAAUUCAAAGUGACAAUGGUACCAAGUUCAAGAACUACAUGAUGGAUGAAUUCUUGAGUGAAGAGGGGAUAAAGCAUCAAUAUGCUGCGCCAUAUACUCCCCAACAAAAUGGUGUUGCGGAGAGGAAGAAUAAGACUCUUAUUGAGAUGGCUAGGACAUUCUUGACGAGUACAAGUCUCCAUACAAGCUUUGGGCCGAAGCAAUCAACACCACGUGUCAUGCUUCAAAUCGCCUUUAUCUUCGCAAGCUUAUGAACAAGACCCCAUAUGAACUCCUAAUCGGGAGAAAGCCUAGCGUCAAAUACAUUCGGGUAUUCGGUUGUAAGUGUUUAAUUCUAAACAAGAAAUCCCAGUUAGCUAAGUUUGAGCCUAGAACUUAUGAGGGCAUAUUUGUUGGAUAUGCAUCAAACUCUCAUGCUUACCGAGUUCUCAUUAAAUCCACCAGAUGCAUUGAGGAAACGGUAAAUGUGGAGUUUGAUGAAGAUAACGGCUCCCAUGUGGAGCAAAUUGUUCCUAAUGUUGUAGAUGAUGAGGCUCCUUCACAAGAUAUAAGGACGAUGGGGAUAGGCCACAUUCUUCCACAAGAAACACCCCAAGUCCAAGUAGAAGAAGGAGUAAGAGCCCCUCUUGUGGAGUCUCCACAAGGGAAGUCAUCACUGGCACCACUUGUACAAGAUGCUAUGGGAGAUCAUGAACCUAUCCAAGAACAAGAUCAAGUCCCUCAUAUUCCCGAGCAAGAUCAAGGGCAAGCUCAGUCAAAUAGUGAAGAACCAAUUAUUGAGGCUCAAGAUCAAGCUCAAGUUCGUGAUCAAGAUCAAGAUCAAACCCAACCACAAGGUUCUUCAUCAUCGUCACUUCCCAACAAACAAGAACUUGUGGUUGCAAAGAGAAAGGUGUCUCCAGGGUUAAAACAAUCUCAAGGUCAAGCUUCUUCAUCAAGUCCAAAACCAAGUGAAUAAGAGCUUGCAAUCAAAGAGCAAAAAUUGGCCGCCAAGCUAAAGCAUCUUCAAAAUCUCACCGAGAACAUCUAUGGAAGCAUCAAAAAGGGGGUAACUACUCGUAGACGUUUGGAAAACUUUUGUGGGCAUCACUCGUUUGUCUCUUGUGUUGAGCCCCUAAAGGUAGAAGAUGCACUUGAGGAUCUGGAUUGGAUAGAUGCCAUGCAUGGAGAACUCAACAAUUUCACCCAUAACAAAGUAUGGACCCUUGUGGAAAGACCCAAAGAGCAUCAUAAUGUCAUUGCAACAAAGUGGAUCUUCAAGAACAAACAAGAUGAACAUGGACAAGUAAUAAGGAACAAGGCAAGGUUAGUGGCACAAGGUUUCACCCAAGUUGAAGGUUUGGACUUUGGUGAAACUUUUCCCCCCGUUGCUCGUCUUGAAUCCAUUCGCAUCUUGCUUGCAUAUGCCUCUGAUCAUGAUUUUAAAUUAUGUCAAAUGGAUGUGAAGAGUGCAUUUCUUAAUGGUCCUCUUAAGGAGUUGGUGUAUGUCAAGCAACCUCCCGAUUUUGAAGACCCUGAUCACCCCUCUCACGUUUAUGAACUCCAUAAGACGCUCUAUGGACUCAAACAAGCACCGCGUGCUUGGUAUGAUCACCUUACGACAUUCCUAAGUGAGAAGGGGUUCCAGAUUGUGGUAAUAGAUGCCACUCUCUUCACAAAGAGAGUAAAAGGAGAGUUGUUUGUGUGCCAAAUAUAUGUUGAUGAUAUUAUCUUUGGGUCCACUAACCAUGCUAUUAACAUUGAAGUUCUUCCUCAGUUUUCUAGUGAAGCAAUUGAGAGGAGGAACCUUCACCAACCAAUCUAUUUAUAUUCAACACAUGCUCAAGAGGUUCAAAAUGCAAGACGUUAAGCCCAUGAAGACACGAAUGCCCACAAAUGGCCAACUUCAUCUUGAUCCCAAUGGUAAAGAAGUGGAUCAAAAGGUAUAUCGCUCCAUGAUCAGUUCCUUGCUUUACCUUUGUGCAUCUAGACCGGAUAUUAUGUUGAGUGUGUGUAUGUGUGCAAGAUUUCAAUACACUCAUAAGGAGAGUCACUAUUCGGCGGUGAAAAGAAUCCUUUGAUAUUUGGUUCAUACCCCAAACUUGGGCCUUUGGUAUCCCAAAGGAUCAUCUUUUGAGUUAAUGGGAUACUCAGAUUUGGAUUGGGCCGGAGACAAGGUUUACCGCAAGUCCACUUCCGAUUCAUGUCAAUUCCUAGGGAGAUCUUUGGUAAGUUGGUCUUCAAAGAAGCAAGAUUGUAUAUCUCUCUCAACAGCCGAAGCCGAGUACAUUGCCACCGGAAGUUUUUGUGCUCAGUUAUUAUGGAUGAGGCAGACUUUGAUGGAUUAUGGUGUCAAAUGUGGCAAAGUGCCUCUUUGGUGCAACAAUGAAAGUGUAAUCAAGAUCAUCGAGAAUCCAGUACAACAUAGCAAGACCAAGCAUAUUGAGAUUCGUCAUCAUUUCAUUAGGGAUCAUGUGGCCAAGGGAAACAUUGAACCACUCCAUGUCAACACACAGAAUCAACUAGCCGAUAUUUUCACCAAGCCUCUUGAUGAAGCAAGAUUCCGCGAGUUAAGGCAUGAGCUAAAUAUCGUGGAUAUAAGUAACUUGGUUUGAAAUUCUUGCUCAUGCACACAUACUCAUAUAAUAUCUUGCUUAGAUGUAGGGACAUGUCUAGGGGGAGCUAUGUAACACCCUAAUAGUUAAGUUAUAGUAAACCCCUGUUAAUGAUGCCAGGUCAUCAUAAUUUAAAUUUUGCUAAACCUCACUCGUUCCAAAAUUAGUUCAAAUACAAAUUCAAAUAACAAGUCAAAUUAUAGUUUCAUAAAGCAGUGAAUUAAAAACGUUCAUUAGGUUGCAAAUAUUCAUUGGAUAAUUGUCAUGCAUUAACCAACAUUUUUCUAAAGGUUUAAAAUGCCACUGGAUAUGAAAACAGUACCCAAAAGAGCCGCAUAUAGGUCAUUUCCAUUUAAUAAAAAUACAAACAAUCCUAAACUUUUUGUGACAGUGGGGUAUGUAGUAUGUUGAAUACUAAAUACAGAGACCGGCCACACAUUUUACUAAAGUGAAUUAUUGAUCAAAGUGCAAACAGAACAUAGAAUAGAAAAGAAACAAACAGACAGAAAAAAAGGAACAGAAGACCAGCUCCCCCCUCCUGGGCUGAGAGGCCCAGCUGUCCAACCGGCCGGUCCAGUCUGGGGCCUACUUACCCCAACCUUAACCUAACUGCCCGCUACAACCCACUCCCCUGAUUCUCCCCACUCCUCUUGCUCGAUUCCUCACCUUCCCCCUCGCGCCGCCGCACACCAGACAAGAGGCAAGCCGCCUCAUGCCCGAGCCCCCUCGUAGCCUCUCCUCCCUCCGUUUGCUCCUGCUCCACCCCAUCGCCCCUGGACCUCCACCGAGCAGCAAGUAGCAGUCGCCAUCCUGGCCACCAUCUCGGACCUCUCCUACAACACGGCUACCGCGCCUCCGACCAACCUCGGACCGCACCCCUGCCUCAACACGGACGACCUCGACCUUCCAUGGCUUCACCGAGCCCUCCACGAGCUCUGUAGUGAGCCUGUCUGAUAAUCCCCCCACCCCCCUCAAUCUCGUUGCCAUAACCAACAUCCGCGUCCUCCUGUUGCCGCGCCCGAUGCCCCGCUCCACGCACGACCUGGUAUUCAACCCAUAUUUAUUGAUUCGACACAAGGGGAGCCAAAGAAUAUUCUCAAGUAUUAGCAGUUGAGUUGUCAAUUCAACUACACCUGGAUAACUUAAUAUCUGCAGCAAAGUAUUUAGUAGCAAAGUAGUAUGGAAGUAAUGGUAAUAGUGGCAAAAGUAACAGUAGCUGUUUUGUAGUAAUUGUAAUAGUGGCAACUGUAAAGUAACUAAGCAAAGACCAAUAUGUGAAAAGCUCGUAGGCAUUGGAUCAGUGAUGGAUAAUUAUGUUGGAUGCGAUUCCUCAUGCAAUAGUUAUAACAUAGGGUGACACAGAACUAGCUCCAGUUCAUCAAUAUAAUGUAGGCAUGUAUUCCGAAUAUAGUCAUACAUGCUUAUGGAAAAGAACUUGCAUGACAUCUUUUGUCCUACCCUCCCAUGGCAGCGGGGUCCUAUUGGAAACUAAGGGAUAUUAAGGCCUCCUUUUAAUAGAGUACCAGACCAAAGCAUUAACACUUAGUUAAUACAUGAACUCCUCAAACCACGGUCAUCACCGGGAGUGGUCCUGAUUAUUGUCACUUCGGGGUUGCCGGAUCAUAACACAUAAUAGGUGACUAUAGACUUGCAAGAUAGCAUCAAGAACUCAUAUAUAUAUUCAUGAAAACAUAAUAGGUUCAGAUCUGAAAUCAUGUUCACUCGGUCCCUACUGACAAGCAUUAAGCAUAGCAAAGUCAUAGCAACAUCAAUCUCAGAACAUAAUGGAUAAUAGGGAUCAAACCCUAACAAAACUAACUCGAUUACAUGGUAAAUCUUAUCCAACCCAUCAUCGUCCAGCAAGCCUAAGAUGAGAUUACUCACGCACGGCGGUGAGCAUCAUGAAAUUGGUGAUGCAGGAUGGUUCAUGAUGACGACGGCGAUGGUUUCCCCUCUUCGAAGCCCCGAACGGACUCCAGAUCAGCCCUCCCAAGAGAGAUUAGGGCUUGGCGGAGGCUCCGUAUCGUAAAACGCGAUGAAUCCUUCUCUCUGAUUUUUUUCUCCCCGAACGUGAAUAUUUAGAGUUGGAGUUGAGGUCGGUGGAGCCUCAGGGGGCCCACAAGGCAGGGAGGCGCGCUCAGGGGGGUAGGGCAUGCCCCCCACCCUCGUGGACAGGGUGUGGACCCCCUGGCCUUGGUUCUUUCGCCAGUAUUUUUUAUUAAUUCCAAAAAUAAUCUCCCUGGAGUUUCAGGUCAUUCAGAGAACUUUUAUUUCUGCACAUAAAUAACACCAUGGCAAUUCUGCUGAAAACAGCGUUAGUCCGGGUUAGUUCCAUUCAAAUCAUGUAAGUUAGAGUCCAAAACAAGGGCAAAAGUGUUUGGAAAAGUAGAUAUGAUGGAGACGUAUCAACUCCCCCAAGCUUAAACCUUUGCUUGUCCUCAAGCAAUUCAGUUGAUAAACUGAAAGUGAUAAAGAAUUUUUUUUACAAACUCUGUUUCCUCUUGUUGUUGCAAAUAUGUAAAGUCAGCAUUCAAGUUUUCAACAAAGAUUAUGAACUAACCAUAUUCACAAUAAUACUUAGGUCUCAUGUUUACUCAUAUCAAUAGCAUAAUCAACUAGCGAGCAAUAAUAAUAUAUCUCGGAUGACAACACUUUAUCAAAACAAUCAUAACACUACAACAAGAACCCCCGUAUAGCAACAUAUGUGCAGCAACGAUGAUGACAUGUGUUGUUGCGUUCAACCUCCCACCUCCCCACGAACCUCCCCGCACCCCCACCUCCAGCCCUGUACCUGCUUCCUCCUCAUAUCACGCAGAUAUAAGGAUAAAAAAACAAAUAUUUUUUCUCUGCCACAUCUCUCCCCCAAUUCCCCUCUCUCACGCGAGCUCCAUGGCCACAACCUUGCCGCCGCCUCCAAAUCAGGGCAGCUCCGGCGCAGUUCCGCGGCCCUGCUCACCGCCCCCUCCCUGCUCACUGUUCUUAUCCUAUCUUCCGUCGCCGGAACGUCGUCCCCGUCCCUGCACACGCCUCCGCAGCAACCCUAUUCGCCACGGGUCGCUGGCGCGGCUCCUCCGCCUCCGGUUUAUCUGCCAACUACCCCUGCGUCUCCGCACCCACGGACGCCCGUUCGAGCUCAACGGUGCUACUCCGCCAGGGUCACCUCGACUCCGAUACCGUCUGUUCUGUAAGUCACUCCUCCCCUCCGCUGCUUUGGGUGGCAUGGCCAUCGCGCCAUGGCUGAUUCCUUGCCGUCCAUCGCGAUGAUGACCUACACUAUAUAGUCAGAUCAUAAUAAACCAAAUAAUCCUGUUCAAGAAUUCAUCCGAUUAACCAGUUAACUUGCCGAUUAAUCCCUACUCGUUGGGUCACCGAGUAGCCGAUAAACCGAUAAAUCGUCCGAUUAAUUGAUUAAAUGGCCGAUUAACUUGCCGAUUAGCAGAUUAAUCCCCUACUCGCCAGCUAACCGAGCAGCUACCAGUUAACGAUUUUCUCAACAAUGCCAAAUAUUACUCUGUAGAAGCGUUACUUUUGUUGAGGUCGCUGCCUGAAUUUGUCCUUCCACUCAUACGUAAUUGUGGUAUAUCUUGCUAGUAAAAGUUAUGUCAGUUGGUGUACUAGCAUAGACGUGUGUGAACCCCGGACGCCCAGCAGUUAGUUUUUUUAAACCAUUUUCUUAUCAAAGCCGAUUGCUUUACUCUCUGAGUUUUCUUUGUGUGAACAUAUAGUAGGGUUGUGGUAUAGUUACAUUUAACCUGAAGAAAAUACGUUAUAUUCACUCUCCUAACUUACAUAUUUGUUAAUAGAAAUUUUUAUGUUUGUUCCAAGUGACAUUAAAACAUACUUGCAUUAGUUAUACCGUGUUUAUAUGAGGAUGUGUGCAAUAAACAGUGUGUUUUUGUCCUUUUGUAUACACAACUAUUUGUAUUACUGCCUGAACAUGUAAAUUUCCUUCGCAUAUGUUGUAGAACCAGAUCACAUCCUUGAUCCAGUGCAUCGCUCCAUGGUCUGAGCUCCACUGUCGUCAUCUGCAAGUGAAAUAUGACUACCUAGGGAUGGCCGUUGUGUCAUCAUAGAUCACAGGUGGACAACAACCAUCAUGGUGAGCGACCUUACUCGAUCCUGGAGGCCCAACAUUCCACUUCACAUUUCUAGGUAUUUCAAUUUUGGGCUUGCAUAUUUCAGUUUGUCAUUUAGUUCUGCCCAUGCAAGUUGUUUCUAGUUAGGUAUGUGUUAAUCCAGGAAAAAUAUCUCUGUCUCAUUUUUCUCAAUAAUUCUUUCUUGUGAUGCAUUAGGUUUCAUUCUCUUUUUGCUAUGUGUGUGGAUAAUUAGUUAUAUUUUCGUGAAGAUUUUCAUGGCAGAUCAAGUAAAUAAGAUGUGACGGUAUCUCUGGAUAUCUGAGCUGUGACCCUGUGACAAACUUACGAAAGAAGAUUCCUUCAAGUAUCACUUAAUAGGUGAGCGCUAUUAUCUAUGACAUCAUUAUAAUUUCUGGGAAAGAAAAUGUACUUAUCAGUGUUUAUGAAUCCUCCCACAUAGGAGGUGUUUGGCAACAAAAAUGGUAACGUAAAUGGUAGCGUAAUCAGAUCGCAGCGUUUUAGGAGGUGUAACGAGUUAUUUCUCAAUUUGUUUGGUUGGCCUAGGUAACGUAAUUGGAUAACGUCGCUCCUCCUCUUCUUCCCUAGCGCGUCUGUCUCCCCGACUCAAGACUGCCGCCGUCGCUCGUGAGCUAUGCUCCUCCCGCGCCGCCAGCUGCUGCGACCUCACUGCCUGCUCAGUUAAUCUAGCGCGCCGGCGGCCGCUGGAUCUCGCGCUCUGCCGGCCGCCGCAUUUCACGCGCCGCCGACCACCGUCUGACCCAAAGCAUGCGUGCCGCUAGCGGCUUCGAUCUCGCGCUGCGACGGAUGCCGGCGAAGCAUGCCGAUGGGCGACGGCUGGCGAGCUGUGGUUGCCGCUGCUCUUUUUCUCUCGCACCCUUUGAGCGGCUUGUGCAGCUGCGGGAACAGAAGACGGGGUCCCGAUACAGCCGAUUUGGGGCAUAAUCAGUUUUGUAUAGUGAUGGGACAUGAUUACAUUGUAUCUGAUUACAGCCGCGGCGAAACAAACACGAUUUGGCGGUAACUGAUCCCGUUGUAAUCAGAUUACGGUACAAUCUCGGUAACCAAACACCUCCAUUGUGUAGUUCUAUAGGAAUAAGCCUCACAUGCAUCUACUCAUCCUAAUAUUCCUCUUUAUUGUAUAAUCGUUAAUUUUCAUCUUCCUUCACAGGUUCUGAAGUGAUUUUGCUUCAGCUAACAUGCUUGCAUUAGCUUUUCUCUUACAGGUAAAUCUUCAGGACAUAUGAGUAUUGCAAUUAGCAAAUAUAUAAAUCAAUAAGUUUACAGAAGAUGCCUUAAGAAUGAACUCAGAGCUUUGUCUUUAUUGCAUGGAAUUCUUCGCAAGUUGAUGAUUGUGCCACACCACUCCUUUAAAUAAAUUAAGUUCUUUUUAAAAAAUAUACUGUUUUUAUUUCUUCAUUUUCGCAUUCUAUAGGUGAAUUUUCAAUGGAAGACUGGCAUACAUGUUAUCUAGCUUGAUAUUCUUGGCUGAUGUAAGAUAAAGCAUUCAGAUCCAUAUUUUGUACAACUCUAUACAUCAUAAUCUGGAAUCUUAUCCAAAAUCUUAGGAUGGAUAUAGUUCUUUGUGUUCAUGUGUUAUACAAGAUAAAUCAUUACAGAAUCUAAAUGCAAGAAUAUUCUAACCUUUGUUUACAUGAAUCACAACUAUCAACACGCAGAGAUAUGAAACAUAUUUUUGAAUUUUCAAAUAUGAACUCGUUUCAUGCAUUUAUUUUAUUUUCAGCUUCCAGUACAUCCGAUUUCCCAAGCUUUCUGUACCUAUUUGUAUUGUUGAUCAAUCAUUUGUCAAUCGUCGAGCUACCUUAAGCUGCACCAAAGGCGCACCCCCGCAUUGGUAAGCUUCUCUCUCUCCCUCUACGUUGGCAUACUUUACCUUGGUUUGGUGAAUCUGAAAGAUGACUACUACUACCAUUGUAGAAAAGGGAAAGAUCAGGAAAAAACUGCAUACAGUUGAAAACACACCUCUUCCUCUAGUGGAUGUUUCCAACUACUAGAACUAGAUGGUUCCUAUAUUGAGUUCACCACUAACCUGCUAGAAAAAGAAAGGACAUUUUAGCAUUCUUAAAUAGCAAAACAUACAUUGUGUAUACUUAUAAGUUGUAACAUGACAGGAAAUUUCAAACAAUAUUGCGCAGAAUUACUAUGGAGGUCUGAUUUCUAUCAUAAUUUGCCAGGCUUGGUGACUCAUGCCAGUUUUUGUUAUUGUAGAUUGCAAGAUAAAUAGAUGGUCCAUGGCUAAGCUGCUGAUUGCAAGAUAAAUAGAUGGUACAUGGCUAAGGUCCUGAUUGCAAGGCGGAGAAUGGGGCAACUACCAGAUAGUUCUACAUUAAUGUUAUUGAGUGUUAUUUUCAUUUCGAUGUAUAGGAAAUCAUGUGUAUAUUCCUUGGAUCGUGUUCCAUGUAUUGCAAACGAGUUGAUUUAAUAUAUGAGAUCCUUCUGUUUACUGGAUUGCUGGUCUUGUGUACUAUCUAUAUUGAUCUAGUAAUUAUUGAUGGAUAUAUAAAAUACUUCUAAUUUUUCAUGAUAUGUAGGUGUUAUCCCCAUAUAUAAAAUGGAAGCAUUGCACUGAUCUGUUAAUUAUGCCUAUUUCAAAUCAGCCUGUGUAGGUGUAACCACCAACGCAUUGAAGUGUUGUUAGGCUACAAUUAUAUACGUUGCUAGUUUGCAACGCGUAUUCGUGUUGAUUACCAAUGCAAUUAUAUACGUUGUUGUAGGCCCUAGCAACGCCAUCAAAGGCAACACAUAAAAAUCCGUUGGUGUAGACCCUAGCAACAUUUAUAUGGACAUUCAACAACGAGUUGAUGCGUUGCUAAAGGGGGGUUCCUGUUGUAGUGUAAUAUGAUAUAACAAGAUGGUAUCUCGCUAGCCCUUUCUUAGACCGCAAAACAUAAAUGCAGAGCACCCCUGAAGAUCAAGGACUGACUGGACAUUGUAAUUCAUGGUAAAAGAGAUUCAGUCAUAGUCAUACUCAAUAUAAAUUAAUUGUAAUGCAUGCAAAUGACAACGGUGCUCUCCAACUGGUGCUUUUUAAUAAGAGGGUGAUGACUCAACAUAAAAGUAAAUAGAUAGGCCCUUUGCAGAGGGAAGCAGGGAUUUGUAGAGGUGCUAGAGCUCGAUUUUGAAAUAGAGAUAAAUAAUAUUUUGGGUGGCAUACUUUCAUUGUCAACAUAACAACCAAGAGAUCUCGAUAUCUUCCAUGCUACACACAUUAUAGGCAGUUCCCAAACAGAAUGGUAAAGUUUAUACUCCCCCUCCACCAACAAUCAUCAAUCCAUGGCUUGCCCGAAACAACGGGUGCCUCCUACUAACAACAAUCCUGGGGGAGUUUUGUUUGCAUUUAUUUUGAUUUGAUUUGAGCAUAGGACUGGGCAUCCCGGUUACCAGCCAUUUUAUCGUGAGUGAGGAGCAGAGUCCACUCCUCUUGAGAAUAACCCACCUAGCAUGGAAGAUAUAGACAGCCCUAGUUGAUACAUGAGCUAUUCGAGCACACAAAACAGAAUUUCAUUUGAAGGUUUAGAAUUUGGCACAUACAAAUUUACUUGGAACGACAGGUAGAUACCACAUAUAGGAAGGUAUGGUGGACUCAUAUGAAAUAACUUUGGGGUUUAUGGAAGGGGAUGCACAAGCAGUAUUCCCGCUUCGUACAAGUGAAGGCUAGAAAAAGACUGGGAAGCGACCAAUUAAGCAUCUACUACCAAAUAUUGCAAGGUAACGUAGAACAGGAAAAUGUAUGCUAGUAAUUCUUUCAUCGGAAACCUUCCCCGUUUCCCCUACAACAAUCAUAUCGAUAAAUCCAUCCACAUCACUACGAUGUGGUUCCUCUAUGCUGCCCAUAAAGGGUAUCUUGCAAACCCCACAAAAAUCAUUUAGUGACAUCUCCGUAACCUCAUCAUAUAAAUGAAACUCCACUGAAGGUGGUGAUUUCCUAGCAUAAAAGUAAAAAAAAUUGCAUGAAAAUAUUAGUGAGUAGGAGAUACUGAUCGAGCUGGUCGUGGAGGAAGUCGGCGAGGCCUGCAUUCUCAGCAAAAUAAUAAAAAUCAUCAUGAAUCCCGGCUGCUCUCAAGAACUCAUCACAAGGCCAUUCACACGACCGAACUUCCGAUGUGCGAGGGAGAUUAUAUUUGGGCUUUUUAUCCUCUUCACUUUGCUUAUCCUCCGAGCUUUGACUCGAAGAGCCCCUCAAUAACCUCUUCAUCUUUUUCUGAAAAUUUCUGAAAUUUUUAGUAACUCAAAAUAAAAGUGAACCAAACUCAACAAAAUUGAUAGCAACUACUCCCACAACUGCCUAGAGACUAUAUCAUGCAUUAGAACUACUUGGGACCAAAUAAAUUUGACUUGCAAGCUCAAGAACAGGGUCACCUAGGCAGUAAAAGUUUGCAAUGAAUAAAACACUAGAACAAAAACUAAUUGGACCAUUGGAGGAGUCACAUACCAAAGAACAAUCCCCCAAAGCAGUUUUGUGAAUGGAGCUUUGAGCAAGGAGAUCAAAAAUUGCAGCAAGAUGAGCUAGAACUCGUGCUUAAGUUGGUUGGUGAAUUUUUUGGGAGGAAUAAGGAGUGUGUGGGUGCAGGAAUGAGUGGAGGGGGACCACCAGGGGCCCACGAGGCAGGGGGGUGCGCCCCAGGGGGGUGGGCACACCCUGGACCCUCAUGGCCAAGUGCUGGCUCCCUCUAGUGUGUUCUCAGUGCCAAAUAUUCUUAAAUAUUCUAGAAAAAAAAUCAUAUUUCAUUUCCAGGGCAUUUGGAGAACUUUUAUUUUUGGUAUUUUUUUAUUGCAAGGAUAAUUCAGAAAACAGACAGAAAAUACUAUUUUUGCUUUAUUAAAUCUAAAUAACGGAGAGUAAAAGGAGGGUACAGAAGGUUGUGCUUUCUAACUUCAUCCAUCUCAUGCUUAUCAAAAGGAAUCUACUAACAAGGUUGAUCAAGUCUUGUUAACAAACUCAUUCCGAAUCGCAUGAAACUAAAGAAUUUUCGAAUAACACUAGGUUACCUCAACGAGGAUAUGUACAUCCCCAACAAUAAGAAUAUCAUAUUUCUUCUUGGCAGUAGGAAUAGGAAAUUCAAAACCUCCAAUAAUAAUCGAUGGAAUCUUUCCAAUAGAAUUUAUACUGUGGACUUGAGGUUGUUUCCUCAGAAAGUGUAUCGUAUGCUCAUUACCAUUAACAUGAAAAGUGACAUUGCCUUUGUUGCAAUCAAUAACAGCCCCUGCAGUAUUCAAAAAGGGUCUACCAAGGAUAAUCGACAUACCAUCAUCCUCGGGAAUAUCAAGAAUAACAAAGUCCGUUAAAAUAGUAACAUUUGCAACCACAACAGGCACAUCCUCGCGAAUACCGACAGGUAUAGCGAUUGAUUUAUCGGCCAUUUGCAAAGAUAUUUCAAUAGGUGUCAACUUAUUCAAAUCAAGUCUACAAUAUAAAGAGAGAGGCAUAACACUAACUCCGGCUCCAAGAUCACAUAAAGCAGUUUUAACAUAGUUUCUUUUAAUGGAGCAUGGUAUAGUUGGUACUCCUGGAUCUCCUAGUUUCUUUGGUAUUCCACCCUUAAAAGUAUAAUUAGCAAGCAUGGUGGAAAUUUCAGCUUCCGGUAUCUUUCUUUCAUUUGUAACAAUAUCUUUCAUGUACUUAGCAUAAGGAUUCAUUUUAAGCAUAUUAGUAAAACGCAUACGCAAAAAGAUAGGUCUAAUAAUUUCAGCAAAGCGCUCAAAAUCCUCAUCAUCCUUUUUCUUGGAUGGUUUAGGAGGAAAAGGCAUGGGUUUCUGAACCCAUGGUUCUCUUUCUUUACCGUGCUUCCUAGCAAUGAAGUCUCUUUUAUCAUAACAUUGAUUCUUUGAUUGUGGGUUAUCAAGAUCAACAUCAGGUUCGACCUCUACAUCAUUAUUAUUGCUAGGUUGAGCAUCACCAUGAACAUUAUCAUUAACAUUAUCACUGGGUUCAUGUUCGUCACCAGAUUGUGUUUCAGCAUCAGAAAUAGAAAUAUCAUUGGGAUUCUCAGGUGUGUCAACAGCAGAUUCAGUAGAAGCAUGCAAAGUCCUAUCUUUUUCUUCUUCUUCUUUUUAGAAGGACUAGGUGCAUCGACAUUAUUUCCCUGAGUAUCUUGCUCCAUUCUCUUAGGGUGGCCCUUAGGAUACAAAGGUUCCCGAGUCAUUCUACCACCUCUAGUCACAACUCUAAUAGCAUUAUCAUUUUUCUUAUCAUUUAAUUCAUUGAGCAAAUCAUUUUGAGCCUUACGCACUUGUUCUACUUGAGUGAUAACCAUAGAAACAUGUUUACUAACAAAUUAAAGUUCACCUUUAACUCUAGACAUAUAAUCACUCAAGUGUUCAAUCAUGUAAGCAUUACGGUUCAAUUGUCUACCAACAUAAGCAUUGAAGUUUUCUUGUUUAAUGAUAAAAUUAUCAAACUCAUCUAAGCAUUGACUAGCAGACUUAUAACGAGGAAUAUCACCUUCAUCAAAUCUAUAGAGAGAAUUUACCUUUACUAUCUGUGUCGGGUUAUCAAGACCAUGUAUUUCUUCAAUAGGCGGUAAAUUCUUAACAUCUUCAGCUUUAAUACCCUUUUCUUUCUUGGAUUUCUUUGCCUCUUGCAUAUCUUCAGGACUGGGAAAUAAAACACCCCUUUUCUUCGGAGUUGGCUUAUGAGUUGGUUCAGGAAGUGUCCAAUUGUUUUCAUUAGUCAACAUAUUAUUCAAUAACAAUUCAGCUUGAUCAACAGUUCUUUCCCUGAAAACACAACCAACACAACUAUCCAGGUGGUCUCUGGAAGCAUCGGUUAGUCCAUUAUAAAAGAUAUCAAGUAUUUCAUUUUUCUUGAGAGGAUGAUCAGGCAAAGCAUUAAGUAAUUGGAGAAGCCUCCCCCAAACUUGUGGGAGACUCUCUUCUUCAAUUUGCACAAAAUUAUAUAUUUCCCUUAAAGCAGCUUGUUUCUUAUGAGCGGGGAAAUAUUUAGCAGAGAAGUAAUAAAUCAUAUCCUGGGGACUACGCACACAACCAGGAUCAAGAGAAUUAAACCAUGUUUUAGCAUCACCCUUUAAUGAGAACGGAAACAACUUAAGGAUAUAGUAGUAGUGAGUUUUCUCAUCAUUAGCGAAUAGGGUGGCUAUAUCAUUCAAUUUAGUAAGAUGUGCCACAACAGUUUCAGAUUCAUAGCCAUAAAAAGGAUCAGAUUCAACCAAAGUAAUUAUCCCAGGAUCGACAGAGAAAUCAUAAUCCUUAUCAGUAAUAAAGAUAGGUGAAGUAGCAAAAGCAGGGUCAUAUUUCAUUCUAGCAUUCAGAGACUUUUCUUUCAGCUUAGCUAAUUACUUCUUAAGAUCAGAUAUAUUGUUGCAAGCAAGAAAAUCUCUAGCAGUUUCUUCAUCCAUAACAUAACCCUCAGGCACAACAGGCAAUUCAUAUUUAAGGGGAGAAUCUUCAUCAUCACUUUCAUCAAUAUUAUCAGUUUCAAUAAUUUCAUUCUCUCUAGCCCUAGCAAGUUGUUCAUCAAGAAAUUCACCUAGUGGCAUAGUAUUAUCAAGCAUAGAAGUAGUUUCAUCAUAAGCAUCAUGCUUAGUAGAAGUGGCAUCAUCAAUAACAUGCGACAUAUCAGAAUUAAUAGCAGAAGCAGGUUUAGGUAUCACAAGUUUACUCAAAACAGAAGGAGAAUCAAGUGCAGAGCUAGAUGGCAGUUCCUUACCUCCCCUCGUAGUUGAGGGAAAAAUCUUAGUUCUUUCGUCUUUCAAGUUCCUCAUAGUGGUCAGCAGAUAUAAAUCCCAAGUGACUCAAUGAAUAGAUCUAUGCUCCCCGGCAACGGUGCCAGAAAAUAGUCUUGAUAACCCACAAGUAUAGGGGAUCGCAACAGUUUUCGAGGGUAGUGUAUUCAACCCAAAUUUAUUGAUUCGACACAAGGGGAGCCAAAGAAUAUUCUCAAGUAUUAACAGUUGAGUUGUCAAUUCAACCGCACCUGGAUAACUUAAUAUCUGCAGCAAAGUAUUUAGUAGCAAAGUAGUAUGGAAGUAAUGGUAACAGUGGCAAAAGUAACAGUAGCUGUUUUGUAGUAAUUGUAACAGUGGCAACGGUAAAGUAAAUAGCAAAGAUAAAUAUGUGAAAAGCUCGUAGGCCCUGGAUUAGUGAUGGAUAAUUAUGUCAGAUGCGAUUCCUCAUGCAAUUGUUAUAACAUAGGGUGACACAGAACUAGCUCCAGUUCAUCAAUGUAAUGUAGGCAUGUAUUCCGAAUAUAGUCAUACGUGCUUAUGGAAAAGAACUUGCAUGACAUCUUUUGUCCUACCCUCUCGUGGCAGCGGGGUCCUAUUGGAAACUAAGGUAAGGCCUCCUUUUAAUAGAGUACCGGACCAAAGCAUUAACACUUAGUGACUACAUGAACUCCUCAAACAACGGUCAUCACCGGGAGUGGUCCUGAUUAUUGUCACUUCAGGGUUGUCGGAUCAUAACACAUAGUAUGUGACUAUAGAAUUGCAAGAUAGGAUCAAGAACUCACAUAUAUUCAUGAAAACAUAAUAGGUUCAGAUCUGAAAUCAUGGCACUCGGGCCCUACUGACAAGCAUUAAGAAUAGCAAAGUCAUAGCAACAUCAAUCUCAUAACAUAAUGGAUACCAGGGAUCAAACCCUAACAAAACUAACUCGAUUACAUGGUAAAUCUCAUCCAACCCAUCACCGUCCAGCAAGCCUACGAUGGAAUUACUCACCCACGGUGGUGAGCAUCAUGAAAUUGGUGAUGGAGGAUGGUUGAUGAUGACGACGGCGACGGAUUCCCCUCUCUAGAUCCUCAAACGGACUCUAGAUCAGCCCUCCCAAGAGAUAUUAGGGCUUGGCGGCGGCUCCGUAUCGUAAAACGCGAUGAAUCCUUCUCUCUGAUUUUUUUCUCCCCGAAUGUGAAUAUAUAGAGUUGGAGUUGAGGUCGGUGGAGCCUCAGGGGGCUGAUACGUCCAUUUUGCAUUAUGCUUUUAUAUCAAUAUUUAUUGCAUUAUGGGCUGUUAUUACAUGUUAUGUCACAAUACUUAUGGCUAUUCUCUCUUAUUUUACAAGGUUUACCAUGAAGAGGGGGGAAUGCCAGCAGCUGGGAU